This 130492-nucleotide long non-coding RNA is filed under the name Cucumis sativus (cucumber). RNAcentral's name for it is "long non-coding RNA (CSAT_LNC000818)". Lineage: Eukaryota; Viridiplantae; Streptophyta; Magnoliopsida; Cucurbitales; Cucurbitaceae. The record is from RNAcentral.
AUAAUUUUAAAUAACAUUUGGAUCACCUUUUUCUUAAUUUAGAGACUUUUAAGACACUUUGGAGAUGAAAGACUCGUAUGUAGUUUUUCCCAAAAUCUUCUUCGAAAUUUCCUCCCAUGAGCAUUCAACAAGAAGUGACACCUCCUGUUGCAUGAACUCCAUAACAGUGGACAAGGGAAUUUGACAAAUGUAAAACGGGAAAAAGAUAGAGUUGAUGAAAAUUUCACUGAGCGCUCCAGAGCAUCAUUGAACACUACUUUUCCUUCUCCUUCACCCCUUUUAUUUUUGGCUUCAUUUUAUAUUCUCUUGCAACUUUUCUUCUCGCAAUUCCCUUGCCCACCGUCAGUCACCCAUCUCUCAGAAUAUGUUGACAGUAGCUUGGCUCAAGCCAAACCUAAGCAGGUGGUACCACACACGUUCACAUGAAAAGAGUCAAAAUAUGUAUGUUAUUGAUAGAUUAUAUAUGCUAACUAGUUAUUGCAAGUGAGUGCAAUGAUAUUUGUCACCCAUUACAUCAUAAUAGGUUAGUGUAUAUAAGUUCAAAGUUAAAAUUUAAUGAUGUAAAUCCGUCACCCUCGUCUACUUAGCAUGUGCUCACCUAAUGGUCUCAUAUGGUUGGGUUACGACUGACUUUACUAAUUAGACAUUUUAUGGCUUGAUUUAAUAAUUUUGCAAAUCACAACUCAUUCUUCUCACCUACUUUUACAUAUAGUUGAAUUGCAACCUACCUCAUUUCUAUUAAGUUGGACGCACUAUGCACAUGUCAAUGAAUUUUAGCCUUACAUUAUACAAACCUAUUACUCCCACUUAGUUGGCCCAAGUUCUAUAUACAAUCACAUGAUGGUUUUAGGUUUCUUCCAUUAGAGCUACAAUCAACAAUAUCUUACACAUGAUUGAAUCUAUUCAAGUUGGAUGACUUGUCAUUUUAGCACUAGCUUAUCACUUUGUGUAGUCAAAUGACCUAAUUAGCCAUCACAUGCUAGUAAAAUUCAACUUGAUUACAUAACUUCUUAGCUUACAAAUCAUGGCUAAAUUUUGAAGGUUUUAUAUAUGGAUCACAUUUCUAUAUUACACUCCUAACUUUUUGUGUAGUGUUAGCUCACAAAACAUUCAAAUUUAAUGUCGUAAGAUUUAAAUAAAGUAGAGAGAUGCCCCUUGUAUUGGUCAACAAACGAAUCCCCUUUAGAAUUAUAUAUAUAUAUAUAAUAGGUAGAAUUGUCUUGGGAGGAAUAAUAAUGAAUUAGCUAAGUAUAAAAUUAUAAAUAGAUGUUUGAUUGGCUCCAAGCCAAUGAGUGGUGUUAAGACAUUAAUGCCUAUAUCUAUUUUUCUUUGUGUGGUCUAAGAAUUUUGUUUUAUAAAAUUUGGGAACAAUAUUGAUUAAUUAAAUAUACCAAAUCCAAAGAUGCUCUAUUUCUCCUCCAACAUUAAUAAUUAAUAAUUAAACAUCCAAAACCAAAAACUUUACCAUUUUAAAAUUAAUUUAUGAGAUUUUUUUUGUUCUUAUUGUUAUAAAAUAAUAUUUUACAUAAAGCUUGCUUACAAAAUAUAAUGUUGGGCAUUUCAAUUUUACAAAAUAUAACAAUAAUUUUAAUAACUUCCAUUUUUUUUUCUCUUUUCAUCCAACAAGUGGAUUUAGGAGAAUUAAAAAAAAAAAAUCAAACUUUUGAAUUGCAGUGACUCUUUUCAACAAUUUAGUCUCAAUUAUCAUGUUAUGAUUUGUAUAAAGUUUUUAAAAUGUAAUUUCAAAUCAUUAAUUUUUCCAUCCACCACAGUAUUUGAUAGGAUGUUUUUAUAGAUAAACUGACAAUAUACUUAUUUAUUAUUUAUUUUUUGAAGCAAAUGGCAAUAUAUACCUGAAAAUAUAGACAAUAACUAAUAUGGGUGCAAUUGCAAGUCACUUCAAUUUCCUAUGUAAUAUUUUGAAUAGAUUGUUCUUUUUAUAAAUUAAAGUGAGACUAAAUCGAAAAGAACUAAGUUAUGUGAACCAAAAUGCUAAAAGUGAUAAAGUAGAUGAACGAAUAAGAAUCCUCUUAACUCAUGCAACUUUAUUCUUUUCUUAGUAAAUAGAAUCUAAGUUUAGUUAUAAUAUAUCUUAUAUUUGUACAGGAGAAUAACGAGAAGGGUUCUUUUUUUUUUUUUGUUAGUGUAAACAUUUGGAAAUUUUAUUUCAAAUAAAAAAGAGUAGUUUGUAGGGUGAAGAAAAGAGAUAGAAAUGAAAAAAAAAAAAAAAAAAGUUGAAACCAUCCAAGCAAGGAAUUAUCCAAAAAUAUAUAUAUAUACAAAUACAUAUUCACAAAAAUUAUUUGAAUUUGUUAAUGAUUAAGAUAAAAAUGCUAAUGAUUAGGUGACAUUAAUAGCCAUCAUUUAUCUCAUGGUAAUAAAACAAAUAAUUUAAAUUCUCUUUUAAAAAAAUAAAAAAAUAAGUUUUAAUUUGGCAGUUAAUGGACUGACUAAAGAUAACCAAAUAUUUUUCUUUAAAGAAAUCAGGAGUAAAAUUACCUAUUUAUGGAAAACCUAAAUAAUUUUUCUUUAAUUCAAAGUAAAUUUAUGUCUGUCGAAUUUUGAAAAAGGAAUUUAAGAAAUUCAUAAAUUAUAAACUUUGAGUUGAAAAACUAAUUGUAAUAUUAAAAGCAAAAUAUGUAACAUUGAUCAAUUAGAGUAAAACAAAUGGUAGAAUGCGUACAAAAAGAGAGAGAAAAGAAAAAGGAACUUUGAUAGAGGAAGGGAUGAUCAUCAGAAACAGCAUGAGAGGGUAAUGAAGGUACUGGCAGUAUAGAAUUUAGAAUUUACAAGUGCAGUUUUUUUAAUGAAGGGGUUUUUUUCUUUUAAACAUCAUGAGUCAAGAUUUGUUUUUGUAAUUUUUUUAGAAAAAAAGAAUUCACAAAGAACUGAAUCUUGUGUGUUUGUGAUGAAGCAGAAAGAAAUAGAGAAGGUGAAGUGAAGCUAAGGUUUUGUUAAGUCAAGGCAAAAACCCCAAACCCCUGUUGUUGUUGUUGUUGUUGAUGUUAUCUUCCACUUCCUCCUCCUCGUUGUUGUGAGCACCGCCGCCUUGUACAUCCGCCGGAAACUGGCCGCACUUCUGACAUCUGGCCACUACCAGUAUCUGACGGCAAGAAGGGCAGGAGGAGUGGGUACCUAGCCACGUGUCUACGCAACUGACGUGGAAGCAAUGCCCGCACUGCGGCAACUGUCGGAUCUCCUCCCCCUCCAAGAACUCCGCCAGGCAGAUCGCACAUUCCGCCGCUAUUUUCCCAUCUCCCACCGUUGACUUGUACCUGAAUUUCGGAAGCGACUGCAGUAUCUUCUUCUUCAGUCCUCUAUUCGCCGACGCCUGAUUUCCACGGCGGAGCCAGGCGCACCGAGCCACCGCUAUCAACCCUACCAUACAAAUUAGGGCACAGAGCAAAGCCGCGAGAAUGACCACGAAGUCCGACUCCAAGGCCACCGCUUCCGGUGGAGGCGCCGACGAAGUAUUUGCGGUGAGAGCUCUGAUAUAGGGAGACAUGAGACAGAGGGUUGAGAAGAGAAGGGAUUGGGGUUUGGGGAUUGAGGAUGGAGCAGUGAGUGCAAGUAAUAUUGUGUUGAGGGUUUCUUUCUUUCUUUCUUUUGAGGGAAAAGAAGAAACUGUAGAGUGUUUUUGUUGUUAGAAGGGAAAGAGGAGAAGAGGACAACUUGGGAGGUGGGGCCACUCCAUACUUUGGUUCUUUUUUCUUUCUUCUUUUCUUCAAAAGGGUUCUGUGUUGUGCUUAUCUUUUCUUUAAAACUCACUUCAACCUUCUGAAUUCCUUCUAUGUAGGUGCCAUGUAAAAUGUAAUGGACCGAUAUUCUAAUUACUGCCGGAAGUUUGACAUGCCAUUGCCAAAGAGAAUGUGAUCUACUACAAUGCCCACAAGAUUAAAAAAGGCAGUUUAGAAGUUGCUACUGCUAAAUACCUCCAUUAUAUAAAAUCAUGUAAAUAUGUCUUUCUUUUCUUCUCUAUACAUACAUAUUCUUCAUAAAAUGACAACAAAUUCAACAUUUGCAACUUUCCUACCAAACCAAGACUUGAUGCUUUAUGGUACAUUCAUAUUUUCUUUUUAUUUUCUUAGUGGUGAUCCCAAUCAAAACUAGAUCAUAUGUGCAAACAAAUUCUCAACACCUCUACAAACUCUCAGCUAUGGCCACCAAGCUUAUUUAUCCUAGUGUUGCAGGCUUUAUAAAUGAGAACUCAUCUCCUUCUUUAGUUUGAAUUGUACUGUGGGGUUGCUCUGUUUCAGCGAUUUGUUGUAUUUCAUCUCCAUCUUUUACAUCAACAUUAAUCGAUUCACUUGUUGACGCUUGUGUAGGUGUUGCUAAUGGAUCCCCCUCGUAAUCAGAUGACUCAAGGUCCUCAUACGUAGGCACACGUAUGGAGUGUCCUGUAGUUUUAAACCGUCGCAAUGAGUGUAGAGGUGAAGCAUUUGAACUACCUCCGAGGGUUUUAGUUGCUGAGGCUCGUUUAGCCCGCUUCUUCUUGGCCGUUUCCUGCCAUUUCAUGAGUGCCUUUGAUGUCUGUUCAUCAAAGAUGGACCUCUUCAUACCUGAACCCAUCUGCAUUAACCCGUAAACGCCAUCAUGCGACCAACCUUAUGCCUCAUAACAGUAUGAUUGAGUUGGAAAGAAUAGAAGAAGAGAAGAUAACGUAUAUACCUGAUUUACAAGGGCGUAUAUUGGAAGCGUAACAUAGCUGCAUAGAAAUAAUGCUACUACCCUACGAAACCAUAAGCAGAUCCAAACCUUGUGGUAAAAAAGCUCUUUAUAGAAGACAAGAUAAUUGAAGCGUUCAUGGAAGAAAGACUAACUUACCCUAAACCAACUUUUAUAAUUGUAAGGAUGUGACCAUCAAAGAAGCAAGAAUUCAGGCCAAAAGAAUACUGCACAAGCAACCACAUCGUUUAUUGUAGCUUAUGCAUUACACAAACUUGUAAUUGUAUAGAGUCAAAAGAGAGUAUGUUUUGAUUGUCACCUUCAUUAUUGUCUCAUCAGAUAGUUAUUUAUAUUCACAUUGUAUGUGCCUUUAAACAUGACUAAUUAAGACUGUAAUGUUAAUAAGAAACUUCUCAAAGUUCAUGAACCAUAAAUAAAACUUAAUUCCUGGUCAAGGGGUUGAUAUAAAUAAUGGUUAAGAAGAAUACCAGUGUAGACAAAAUAUAGGUGGUCUGGAAUGCAUUCUGCAUGUACCAAAUGAACAAAUGAUCAGAUCAACACCAAAACACACCUUUCUCUAGAUAUAGUCUGAACUGUAACAACUCCUAACCUUAUGUGCUACAUAUGAGAAGUUCCUGUUACCUGAAAUAAAGAAAAAUGCAUGAGAUGAAGAAUCAGUUGAGGGCGGCCGAACCAGAAAUACUUGUCGGAUCCUUGCACGAGUGGAAUUCCCUGGACCACUGCAUGUUUCUCAGAGAUUUCAAGAGCCAUUCUAGUCAAAAUGGCUUGAAGUUUUGAUCCAACGGCUAAGAUUAUCUGUGUGAGGUUAAAACAGACAUCGUCGUAUAAUAACUAACUAGCCAAUCUGGUGAAUUUCACCUCAAGAAAGAGAUUUUCCUUACAAGCAGAGGGAUAAAUGAUGCCCAGAACAAUGUAUGCCAUCCUGAAAAAUGAAAAAGUCUUCUUUAUAAUCAAACUUAUCAAACUGUUCGUGAAGUCAAAAUCAUUAGUUAAAAAUAAAGUUAUCUUACCAGAUAAAUUAAGGAGCAGGAAGAUCACAAAUGACGACCAUAGAAAAGGACUGCCAACAAAAUCAUUAAAAAAGAGAAGUUGAAUCGGCAUAACAAGUUAAAAGAAUUUAGAUGACAGAUUAUUACCUCACACCGACGACUACCUUGAAGUCAUCUUCUAAUGACCUUUUGAUAUAUCUCUGGAAGUUAAAUUUACUUCCAGGUGCUAAAUGAACCUACAAGAGUAUUACAUCACUUUCAAAAAUUUGAAGCUGCGAUCAAUCUAGUGCUUUGCAAUCGAGAAGAUGAGAACUCACUGUUAUGAAUCCAUUGCGUAGCGUCAAGUAAUCAGCCUUACUAACAGACCCAUAAAAUUGCCUGAAGAAGCAACUCUGCAACAUAAAAUCAAAUCUGAGUUAUUUCAUUUUCCCUCCGGUGACUUCAAAUUUCUAUUUGUUGAUGGAAUGUCAAGCUCUCAAAUUCAUAUAAUUGUUAAUGAAAAUCUUGGCAAAUAUAGACAUUAAUAGAAAUUUAGAGAAACUUCUCGUACAAUAUAGAAGAAGAAAGGAAGACGUGUCCAAAAGCUGGUGUGUGCUUUCACAAAAGAUGUCUCGUGAGUAAGCCUAAAUCUUGCAGGAUCUGUACAAAGAAGAAUAACCAAUUUUGGAUCAACAAACAUGUGAAGCUACAAAGUUCAUGCUAAGGAAUUGACAAAUAAACUCUGAUUUGAACCCAUGAGAUAAAAGAAUCACAGUUCAACAAGCGUAAAAUGACAGACCGUUGAAAAACUCAUAGUUAUGCGUUGAAGUUUCCUGCUCCCACUCCUUCCAGCCUCGAAUCUGAGCAGAAACACUUCUGUAAAUAACAAAGCGAUAAAGUAGGCCGAAAUUCACACGGCAAUGAUCCCAAAAGUUAACUACUUGACAUAACUAAGACCAAUUGUCAGACUGGUCAUUUUUCCUGAUUUACUCUAAGUCAUGGCUCAUAUGCUGCAUUUUGCUUUAUAUGGGAUUCAACGCAAAGCACAAUAAUAUGCUAAGUUGAAUUGAAUUAAAGAAAUUCUAGCAAGCUUGCCAUUCCCCAACAGAUAAAAAGUUCUUUCUUUUUUAAGAACGCCUAACAAUUCAAUAUAAAUAUUAUGCAAGGAGAACGAUGUAUUAACACAAUCGCCCCUAAUACUGAUUGCCCAACUGUAGUAACAUAUUAUGUAUUGUUUACAGCGCUUUAGCUAUUGAAAAGAAUUGAUUCAAGUAGUUGCAUGCAAGACUUAAAAUAAAACCAAAACAUAACUUUACCUUUAUCCUUCCAAGUGUCAUUGUGAUAACACUAAAGAGCACAUGAAACACAGCUAAGAAGAAAAUGAGAAUAUGCAACUGAUGCAAUCCAUCAAUGGAUAUAAGAGACACCUUACCCUGUUUGAAAGAAUGAGCAAUGUUAUAGACCUUCCACUAUUUAGCAACACUUAAGUUUGUAAAACAAAGGGUAAGAAGCAUGAGACAGUGGUCUUACAUCCUCACACGAGACAACAUUGUGACCUCCAGCCAAUGAUCUUCGAAUUAGCCAUUGUAGUCUCCGGUGAUGUUCGUCUUCAUCGGUUGAGGCAUUUUUCUCUUCACGGCGACAGGGCAACAUGGAGUUUGCAAUGGCCGGAGGAAUACAAAUUUGGACAAUAUAUGCUUGAGCAAAAGUCAGAAGCAGGGAGAUGAAACCCAAAAUCAUCAACUCUGCAAAAAUUUUAUGGAAUGUCAAUCGCCAUCUCUUGGUUUUUUUUCUUUUUUCUCUCGUAUUCAGAAAGUUUGAUUAAAUGUUUGAUGUACGAAUAUUGUAAUACCCACCAGCCUUAACCUUCUCCAGAGCUUCAUACAGAGAACUCUUGUGCUUUUUUGUCAACCACUAGAGGAACAACAAAUACAAUCAGAAAUGAAUGGCCUAAUUGCCAACAGAACAAAUGGGUGGAUUUGGGCUAUGAAAUUGUUUUCUUAUUUAAUAAAAAAAUAAUAAAGUACACAAGUAUUGCUCGUACUUUUACACCCAAAAGCUUACAAAUAUAAUAUUAUAUCCUCGUUGAGACAAGUGAAAAUCAAAACUAAUCGAGAAAGAAAUAACAUAAAAAAAGUCAAUGAAUUACCGUUCCAAGUUUGUGAAUAACAUUUUCCAAGACAAUGGAAAUAAGAACGAAAAAGAAGCAAACAGCAGCAACAGCCCAGGUGGGUGUGUUAUCGAGAUCCCUGGAGUGGGAACCGCCGUCUCCACCGGACGCGGCGGCGCCAGUCAAUAAAAGGCAGAAGCAAAGACAAAAAACAGACAUAAGAAAGAAGAAGAAGAAGAAGAAGAAGAAGAAGAAGAAAAGGAAUAAAUUUUGGAAAAGUAAAGUGAAGUAGUAAUCAAAGGUGUGUAAAAUGAGGGAUGAAGUUCAACAUUAUUGAAUUGGAUGACCCAAUGGGUGGGACGAUGGAUCCCACCAUCCAUGUGUGAUUAUUUAAUAAUGAGAUGAGAGGUUCCAAUUCAAAUAUUUUAAAACUGCACGUUAAAACUCUAAAAAACAAAGGUUACACAGAUAAAUAAACGGAUCUGCACGCCACCAACGCCAAUUAUACUAUCACUCCAAGUCCAUCCAAUUAAAUGGGCCAUUUUUUUCUGAACAAUAAUUGCAAAGGAAAGACGACGAUGAGAUGUCCAGAGGUUUUGGAGGGGAGACCUCCACAUACCACAUUCUAAUAGAGUAACAGAUAAGAAAAAAAAGGUGGGGCGGGUCCAUUUUGUUUUGUAGCGGGGACGGCUUUAGCUUUGUGAGUUCAUUUAAUCCCAAAUGAAAGAGCUAUCAGCUAUGGGUGUGCCAUAAAAGUCACAAGUCUGAGUUUAUAGUGAUCCAUUUUGCAGUUCCGGUGGCGGAGCCUUCCUUACCUUUCCCCCCUCUUUUUAUUACUCCUCUCCGCCCUCCAGGUUCGCCAUUUUCUGCAUUCCCCACCCCCCAUCCUCUCCUGUUUUUAUUUUAUUUUUUGAUACACACCUACUACUCAAUGCUCAACCAUCAUUAACAUCAUCUUCUUCUUAGUUUACACAUUAAUUCAAACUUUUCUUAUCUUGAAAAAAGAAAACCAAAUCCACUCUGCUUAGUUAAUUACUUCUUUUCUUUUUCAUAUUCAAAUCUACUCUAAUAUUCAAGGUAUGUGAAAUUGUAAGUCAUUUCUUUUAAAUACCAAAGAUCUUAUAUACAAAAUUACAUUUCUUUUUUCUUCUAAUGUUAAUAUUCCAAGCAGACCUAAUUUGGGAGAUUUUUAACAAAAACUGUUCUUCAGUUCAGCUGGAUAAACUUAUAAUUCUUUCUUUUAUGAUUGUUUUUCAAGGAAAUUUUGUAUCUAAUAGUUGAUGAACUUUAAAGUCUAAUAGAUGAUAUGAAGAGCCUCAACGUUGAUAGCUAAAUUCGUAAGUUAACCAAAGUUAGAAAGAUAAUUAGAAAAUUAACAAAAAUAGUACCUUUCUUGUUUCAUAUUUUAAAAGUAUAGCAUCCUUUGAGAAAAUUUAUUUUUUUUCCAUUCCAAGAUUCUUUUCCAAUUGAUCUAAUUCUUCCAAGGAUUUAUCACAAGUCCAUCGUCGAAAUUGAACUAUAUAAUGCUUACAUAGUAUGAUUUCAUAGCAACUUUGCCUUCGUUCAUUGAUUAUGCAAUAUUAAUUUGUGUAUUAAUUAAAAAAAGUCAACGUUUUUGUAUGAUCUCAAAUCAAAUAAAACUUUAGAACACAUAAAUCCUAACAAAGAUUCUCGUAGCAAAUUUGAUCGGAGAAGAGUUGGCUUCAAUUUCAAAUCUUUAACAGAAAAACUAACUCUCUAGAUGCAUUUCACUUAGAGAAACUCUUUAAUGGUGAGAAAAACAAAAUUAAAAGUUCUUACAAUCCUGAUAUUUUGAAAUAUAAAACAAAAAAAAAAGAUGGUUUCCUCAAUCUUUCAAUAAAGUUUUCUUUUUUACAAAAAUAUCACAAUAAUAUAGGGAGUAGGGACCGCGUUUUUCACAUGGUGGCUUCGCUGGGCCCUUUUUGUAUAAUAAUUAAUUCCUUUCCACAUAUACAUACAUAUAGACAUGUAUGACAAAUAAAUAUAUAUAACAAAUUAAAUCAAACUAGGGGGCUGUAAAAUCUUUUUUCUUCAACCUAGCUAGUUCAUGAGUUUUAAUUAAAAACUUUAACUCCAAAUCUAUUAUGAUAAUGUGAGAAGUGAUUCUAAACAACUCAAUAGAUUCUAGGCACUAAUUGACAAAAAUGUUCAUAUCUCAGUUUGUUAAAAGUAUCAAUAACGACAUAUCAACUUUCAGGACAAUAUAAUUGAUAUAUACUUUAUAAAUUUAUUAAACAUUUAGAAAUCUGUAGGAAUCAAGUAAAUUAAAAACUAACUUUGUAUUGUGUUUUAUAUAUUUUGAAUGGAAGGAAUUAAGGUAGGUUAAGGAAUUAGAGAUGGGGUUGUUGUCUUUAUUGGAGGUGGCAUCCAUGCCCAAUAUACAACUCCUCCUUAUUUCUUUAUUGGGAGCUUUCUUAGCCACUGAUUAUUGCAACAUUCUUCCUCCCCAUGCUACAAAGUCUCUUAAUAAGGUAUCAUUAUUAUUAUUUCAUUCUAUAUUAACUCAUUCCAUUGUAUAUAUGUAUGUAUAUAUAUUCUGAUUAAUUGUUUUGUUAUUACUGCAUGUGCAGAUUGUGUUUGCUGUUUUCACCCCUUGUCUCAUGUUUGCAAAUUUGUCCAAAACGGUCACCUUUCAGGACAUUAUUUCAUUGUAAGUUAAUAAACUUUUCCUUUUGUUAAAUUUAAUAUAAUAUAUGAAGCUAUUUAAUGUUGAUGUAUAUAUAGGUGGUUCAUGCCUGUGAAUAUUGGAUUUACGUUCUUAUUUGGAGGAAUGUUGGGAUGGACAAUUGUGAAAAUUUUGAAACCAAAGCCAUAUCUUGAAGGCCUUAUCGUUGCUUCAUCUGCUACUGGUGAGUGAGAUAUAUAGUCGUCUUAAGAAUGGAUUAAUUAGUGAAUUAAUAUAUAUCAUACAAACAUACAUAGGGAACUUGGGAAACCUUCUUCUGAUAAUCAUCCCAGCCAUUUGUGGGGAUGAGGGGAAUCCUUUUGGGGAUCGUGAAACCUGUACUUCUCGUGGAUUGUCUUAUGCAUCGUUUUCCAUGGCGGUACGUAAUUAUGAAUGUAUGUAUUAUUAUUCCUGAAAAUGAAUGAAUGAAUUAAAUUAAAGAUUAUUAUGCAUUAUUGUAUGCAGUUAGGGGGAUUUUACAUAUGGACAUACAGUUACCAUGUAGUGAAAACAUCCUCAUUACGCUUCAAACAACUUGAAGUUCCACAUGAUGAUUCCCAGUUGCACACUCAUCUUCUGCCUCAGAAACCUGAUCAAGGACAACCACAAGAUUCUUAUCUUCCCUCUACCAACAACAACACACUCAAAUCAGAUCAGGUAAUUAGUUAAUUUAAAUUGAUCUGAUAGGUGAUUGGUUUAACUUAUUUUUGAAUAACUGAUCUCUCAUGCAGAUUGAAUCUCAAUUAUUAUUAGAAGAUGGUGGAAGCGUGGUACCCAUUUCAGAGAAACAAUAUUCAGAUGAUGUGAUAUCAUCAAAAGGAUCAAGAUUAUUAAUAUUAUGGGGUAAAUUACAACAUUUGCUUCGCUCUAUUGUCAAGGAGUUGAUGGAGCCACCCACUUUAGGAGCUGUAAGUUUAUUACUUACAUAUAUAUAUGUAUAUUAAUUCUCUUUUGAUCAUCUAUUAAUACUAAAACUGCAACAAAUAAAAUGGAAUUGUUUUGUUUUGUUUUGUGUAAUUAAUAAAUAUAAUUAGAUUGUUGGAUUCAUUUUUGGAGCGGUGACAUGGCUGAGACAUUUGGUGAUUGGGGAGAGUGCUCCAUUGCGAGUAGUCCAGGACGCUGUCAAACUACUGGGGUAAUACUAAUAUGUAUAUGAUAUAUAUAUUAUUGUUCUUGGAAAUAAUUGUUAAUGAUGAAUAUAUAAGAAAAAUGAAUGCAUGCAGCGAUGGAACGAUCCCAAGCACAACGUUGAUCCUGGGCGCCAACCUAAGACAAGGGAUACAAUCGUCACAAACAUCAGUGCAACCAGUGAUCAUCCUAGCCUUAAUCCUCUCUCGAUAUGUUGUUCUCCCUGCAAUCGGAAUAGCCAUUGUGAAAGCAGCAAUGUGGUUGGGGUUUCUGCCACCGGACCCAAUGUACCAUUUCUUGUUGAUGGUUCAAUACACGCUCCCACCAGCCAUGUCCAUCGGCAUUAUGACUGAGCUCUUUGGCGUUGGUCAACAAGAAUGCUCUGUUAUUAUGUUUUGGACAUAUUCAGCUGCUCUCCUUGCGCUCGCGCUUUGGUAUACACUCUUCAUGUGGAUUUUAUCUACUUAAUUCUUAUUUUGAUUCCAGAUACAAAUUAUAAGUCGUCCAACAAAAUAGAAGGGCAUUAUAUUGUGUGUGUGUGUGUGUAUAUGUUAGAGGGCAUGCAAGGCCUACCUAUUAAUUAAUUUGGAGUAUGUAAUUUGUAGAAAGUAUCUUCUUUUCAGUUUAUUUUUACCUUUCCCACAACUUUUUCUAUAUACCUAAAAGUAUUUGAUAUAUACUCUAUAUCUUCCUUCUCACAUCACAUCAUCUUUUCCUUGUCUUAUCUUAUUACCUAUCAUUAUUAGACUCUCUUACUUGAUACUAAUUCAGUUCUUAAUUAUUUCAUUCUUUCUUUUAUUAAACUAGUGUAGAUAAUUAAUAAUGCUUUUGAAUUUGGAGAUAAUGCUUUACUACCCCAAAUAUAUCAUUCUAUCGGAUUUCAUAUGUCUGGCUAGGGUUUGGCUUGCCUUGAUCAUCAAGGCUAAGCAUCUCCUCCUAGACCAACUACAUAUGUGCCUUGGACAUGCUUCAUUCACUUUUCGUUAGGGUUGGCCAAGGUAAAGGCCAAACAUAUAUACAUUUUGGACUUUCAACUUGUUUGCUUUGGGCUACGGUCCUAUUCUUCUGUUCAAGUUAGUUAUUGAAAAAUUGCAAAGAUGACUAUUUUAAGGAUAUAACAACAUUUUUUAAAAAUUGCAAAUAUAGCAAAACUAUCACUAAUAAACUUGUAUCGUUGAUAAACUUUAUAUGGUAUAUCAGUGAUAGACCAAUAUUUGACUUAUAUCAUUGAUAGAAUUUGACAAAUUUUGCUAUAUUUGUAAAUUUUUUAAGAUUGUGCUAUAUACUUAAUUAAUUUGAAUUUAAUUGCUAAAUUUGCAACUGUCCCUUUUUUAUUCUCUCCAUUUUACUCCGAUUCUUAUUUUAUAUCUAGCCAUUAUACUUUUCCAUUUAAAAUUAUUAACAAAUGAAAACAACUUCAACCCUAAACUAAAAAGUUUUCCAACACAUAUAUAUGAGUAGGAGACUUGCUCUCUUUAUCUAGACAAAACACUAAACUUAAUUAUUCAACUAUACAUCAUUGUAGAGUAAAGGAGUAAAAGUCUAAAAGUUGGGAUCUUGAUUUGACACAUGCAUCUGCUUGUAACUUAAAUAGCAUACCAAUAUCUUCAAUGUUUCGAUAAUUGAAAAGACUAUAAUAUUGUUAAAUAAUUGAGGUAUAUGAUAAUACACCAAAAGAUUUUGUUUGAUUUUUUUUAAAAAUAAUAGAUUUUUUAUCAACUACCUUUAAAAGAGAUUUUUAUAAAUAUUAAGUUAUCGUUUAAAAAAAAAUUCUCAAAAAACAUGCUCAGCUUCAGGAACAGCUUAGAAGUAUAACUAGACCAACUUCCUUGAGCAAAGAAUCUUUGGAACCUGGGCAUUUUGGAAACGUGAGAAGAACAUAUAGAGACAAACUUGAGUUGGCACCAUAUCCUAUUGAUGGGGAGUGGCUACCAAAAAGUGCUGUGUACGCGCUUGUGGAUCUUAUGGUUGUUAUCUUUAGCCGGCCUAAAGGUCUCUUCAAAGAGUGCACAAAACGAAUUUUAUCUGGAAUGCUUACUAUACAAGGUAAAUAUUUUAGAAUGUUCACACCUUAACAACUACGAAACUGAAUAUACAUUUGUCCUAGAUUAACUGAUGUAGCCUAAAGAAUAAAAUGAGAGAAAUCUCCUAGAAUAAAGUCAAAAUCAGCCGCCUGGUGUACUUUGACAAAGGAGUUUAGCGCCUAUACUAUUCAAGACUUGUGUUUGAACUGGCCAGCCUUCACCACUUGAGUUUUUUGGCUUUUCUUUGUUCCAUUUCUCUGUUUUUUGUUUCCUAAUGUAUUUCUGUUUUACGUAGGAAUGUAUUUAUGAAUUUCUUUGGAUACUAGUUUCUUGAUUGGAAAUGAUAAGGUAGCUAACGACCUUACUUUUUUGAAAUGGAGACAAACCUAUUUAUUAAUAAUAAAUGAGACUAAUGCUCAAAGUACAAGAGUACUAAGAGCAAAAUAAGAAAAAGACAGUCAUCAAAGAUGAACCCAAACAAAACAUAUGGGAAAAAGACCAACAAACAAUCACAAAGUAGAAACAACAAAAGAACCAAAGCAACAAAGAGUUGAGACACUAGUUAAGAUCUUAAUACAAAGCAAAUAUAUAUACUUUCAUGAAAAGCACCCACUUCAGAUUGAAAUUUUGAAUACCACAUGCUUCAAUUCGAAAGGAGAAGGGAUCCAUCGGUUGCUUCAAUUAGAAAUUUUUGCUCUUUCUUGAAUAUGAGAGAAUUAGUUCUGAGUAAGUGGUCAAGAGACUAGAAUCAACACUUUAUCUGCAACCUUCAAACCUUACGAAGUACCUGAUUAUUGGACCAAAAGAUGGCUGAAAUCAGAUCUCGAAAGAAAACUAAUUUGCAUUUUUCUACUAUUGAGAAAUUAUCUUCAUUGACCUAGAUGAGAAGGAGGAAGGUUAUCAAAUUUUCAUUAAACCAAAAUGAUUUCACAAUCAUUGACUAAGGGCAGCAGAUCCUUAGGCAAUUCCAAGGGAACUUUGAUGGGAACAACACUGGCUUCAUCAAAUAGAAAAGAGAGAUCAGCCCCUUCAAUUUUUUCAUUAUUCUUGAUAUCAAAACCAUUUGUAAACCCUAGGGCCUCCUCACUACUGACACUAAAUGGGAACUCCAAGGUCUUGGAGGUCGGUUUGUCAAUGUCGGCACGACAAGGGGAGUCUUGCAACAAAUUAACUUUAGAGUUAAAAAUGGGGAGUUUUGAAUAUUUGAAAUGCUUGACAGGAGAGCCUGAGUUUAUGGACCUGGAAAGACGAUUAGAAGUUUGGAUUUUGGAGCUGCAAACCUCCAAAAGGUCAGGAUUGUUUGCUGAGAUAGAAUGCUUUGAAUUAUGCCGCCGAGAGGGGGCUGAAGCAAAAACUGAAGGAGAAGGAUCCUUGAAUUAUGCUUCCAAACUAAUUAGUCUUGUUGCAGAAACCAGAAACUGAAGCUGCGGAGGCCAUAAUAGGAAGUUGCCGUUGGUUGGAGGAAAAAAUGUAAUCUUUAAUUACUUUUGAGGAAAUCUCAUAAUUCUGCAUGAUAGUACUUAAAGGAGAUUUACCCUUUUUUCUUUCACUUCUGCAUGAUAGUACUUAAAGGAGAUUUACCCUUUUUUCUUUCACUACUUAGAUUUACAUCUGCCGAAUUAAUGGGAAGUUGGUUAAAAUCCAUGUGCCCUAGUUUCUUUUUAAUUCAAUUGUGACCAAUAAGGUUUUCAUUAAUUAGAAGUGGAGACUAUUCAGAUUCUCGCCCAUGGCUGCCACCUGUGUAAUUGAACCUUUCAUCUUCUCCAGCGUCAUACGGCUGGCCGGAAAAUGUUGCAGAGAUUGACAAGGGUUUCUACAUUUUGGUAAGGUUGCAAAAACUGAUCUUGGUACAUUAAGUACAAGUGGGAAGGAGGAGAGAUCACAUCCCUCAUCGAGCAAAGUUUCUCUUACCCUUAGUUGGUCAAUGGAGUUGCUGUAAACGUCUUGUACACUGGGAGAUUUUCUGGAAAACGGAGGGUUUGGAAACUCAAAAUCUCCAAAUGUAGAAAUAUGUUUUCCCUCUUUUGGUUAGAAAUUUCGAUCGUUAAAGGAACGAAUCCACACUGGUUUUUCUUGACCUUAAUACGAGCUUCACUACAAUUGGUAAAAUUAAGGGUUGGCUUUUUCUGAAUUUUCUGUUCAUUGUUUUACAGUUUUUUCUGGUCCCUUGUAAUAGGCUGAUUGUUAUUAGGUUGCUCCUCUGUUGGUUUUUGUGUUGAUGUUUUCUUUCUCGGGAUAUGAUGAUUGGCGUUAUGGAGGUGUCAACCUAGUUUAGAUGUCUGGGUGCGCCUUCUGGUCCUAUAGGUUCCCCCUUUCUUCUUUAUUGCUCUCUUUGUAUUAAUCUCUUAUACUUAGAGUUCUUAUUAAUAAAGAAGUUUUUGUCUCCGUUUCAAAAAAAGGGUUUCAGAGGCUAUUUCUAUGAAUCCUCCAAAAUGGUCUUUGAUUGUUUCGAAAAUACUUCUACACCAGAAAUCAAGAGGAAGGUUCUUCACUUUAAUCCAACCUCCAUAACCUUUCAACACCAAUGGCCUACUAUGUUUUGCACUGGCCCAUUUUUCAAAUUUUAGGUGGAAAUUGUCCCAUUCUUGCCAUCCUAGUUGAGAUGUUCGAGUGCAUCCCCUGACCCCUAAACCUCUUGUACUUUGAGUUCUGAAUAUCAAUAAAGAGGUUGUCUCCUUCUAAAAAAAUACUCAUGUACUUUGAGCUUUAGUCUCAUUAUCAUUAAUAAAGAAGCUUGUUUAUGUUUUAAAAAAAUAUCGAGGACAACAAGGUUUUAUCAAGUGCUUCCAAACUGAAUUGCAAAGUGGACAGCAUUCCGAUAAUGUACCUUUGUCUUCCUUUGUGUGGCUAUCUAGUUGAGAUGUUUGGGUGCACAUGCUGAUCUCAUAGGCUUAGAUCUUGUCUCUUCAUUUUACUCAACACUACUUUGUCUAUUCAUUUUCUUAAUGAAGAGGUUCAUUUUCCUUUUUUUUUCUAAAAAAAUCAUAACAUUUUGGUGACUUUCCUCUCUGCAAACUUCAGAAAGAUAUCAUUUUUUUUAAAAAGGAUACGAGUCUCACUAUUAUUAAUAUAAAUAAAGAGACAAAGCUCAAUGUACAUGAGGGUUAUACAAAGAGCAAUAGGGGGGAGGGAGGAUCAACGGGCGCACCCGGGCAUCUCAACUAGGUUGACACUCCCAUAGCGCCCUCAUCACAUUCAAAAAACGACAAUACAAGAAUCAAACAAAAAGCCACAAAUACAAGGGCAAACAAAAUGAUAAAAAUAAUCUGUCCAAAGCAAAAUCAUAAAUCAUAGGCAGCAGGCCGAGAACAAAGGCAUCAUUAAUAGUGGUUAUAGUGUUUUGCUAUCCUGCCUCUAACCUCAUAAAACUCGACACUGAGACCUGCAAGAAAUUUGUAAGUACAGCCAGUUUCCACAGUUUUUUUUAAUGCUUUUGAUCCUCUUUGACUUCCACUCAUACGUACCAAAGAGGUCAAGUUCUUGCCAAAUUCUUAAGAGUGAAAAUUCUGGGUAACUUAAUUACUUCCCUAUUGUAUAUCACCCAAUUCAAGGUUUGGCAUCCCACUUGGCAAACAAAGGAUUUUUUUAUCUCUGGUGCAAUUUUUUCUUUCAUAAUGUAACCAAUCUCUCCAUGUCCACGAAUAUACAUCUGAACACUUUGGGACCAACAAAGAAAAUUAUUCCCAUUAAGCUGGAUGGAGGUUAUUUGGAUGGUAGAACCGUUGGAAUGGAUUCAAUUGUUUAAAACUUUAGCAAUAGAUGACUUGUUAUCGGACAUUAUUGCUGGAAGUAGAGGAAAAACGAACUAAAACCCAAUAACCAGAGAACCAAAAGAAGGAAAGAAGGGAAAAGCUAGCCGCGAUAGCCUUGUUUGAUCUCUACCUCCGUCAAAAGGAAAGGUAUCAUCUUAGGCAAACCCAUCACUGAUUACACAAGUUUUUUCUGCCAUAUCUUUGUUCGUUACAUCAACCUCUCAUCUGUUCGUGUAGCUUUCAGAUCGACCGCCGACCUUUGGUGGGUCUCUACUAGGAGUUGUUUCCAAAUCCAUCGUCUGUUGUUUGUCUUAGCUCUGUUGCCUCAAAUUCUUGUGCACCCUCAAACCCGCAUAGUCCUCAUAUGCGCCGCUUCAUCCUACAAAUCCAUCUGCUGUGUUUAGAUUUGUUUAAAUCUAGAUUCGUCGUUGAUCCAUCUGCUUCAUCCUUCAUCGUUUCAGUCUAGAUUCAAUGAAGCCUCGACCUCUGAUCCGUUGGUGGCUUCACUUGCACCGAUCACCAUGGGUUUCAUUUGUCAGCACCACCAAACUCGUUGUUUGGUGUGUGCUUUUUUGUUCGUGCAUUAAAUUUUUCCCAGUUUGUAAAAGAUUAUCAUGUACCCUCUCAAUUAUUCUGAAUAUUCAAUAUAUUAUAUAAAAUGAUCAAAUCUGAAUUGAGAACCCUAUAAAAUCCAUGGAAAAAGAAAUUCUGGAAGAAGACUUGAGACAAUUCAAAACAACCGAGGCAAGAUAACUUUAUUGGGCAUGCUAAUCGGCUGGAAUCCCAAAUUUUCUUUUUGAAUUAAUGUCUUCUUGAAAAAACAUGUUUUCUGUCAUGCACUAAAAGAUGAGAUUAUUUUCAAAGAAGCUGCAAAUAAGUUAACGCCACAAUCAACUUACUUGCCAUGUUUCUACAAAGAAGAGAUCUUCGAACCAUAUACAGAAAAAUAAAUUAUUUGACUUUACAACUUCCAAUCUCCAUAUCCUUAACACUAGAGAAAUGAAAACGCAGAGGAAGGAGGCUAAGCAACAACUUACUAACCAGAGAAAGUAGUAAUGUUAACUGGAGAAUUCGGCAAAAGCAAUUGGAGAUACUGACUAAAGAGAGAGCGAGAAGAGAGAAGGGUGAGGAGAGAACAAACAUACCUCUAGAAUUCUUUUGAUUUAAAAUGCAAAUGAUAUUUUAUGUGCUCAUAUGAGUAUUAUAACAAUGUUGUAAAUAUCUUUUCAAGUUGUUUUUUAUUUUAUUUUAUCUUAAUAUUUUAAACAUUUUUGUUAUAUUGUUCUUUAUGGUCAUUUACCUUUUCCUACUUAGGUUACUCUUAUACACAUGUAUAUAUAUGUAUGUGUCUUCUGUGAACGGAAUAGAUUAUUUUGAUUCUCUCAAACCUUAGAGUUUUACCAUCACUUUCUUAUCAUCCCUCGAGAGUGAGAAUUAGCUACUAGUUGUUGGUAAGAGUCGAUUGACAAAUCAAUAACUUAGCAAAAAAUCAAGAGAAUGAAUUUAGGUGGCUCCUCAAUUAACUUGAUAUCGAAUGUUUUAUACAAUUUAGUUUUGGCCGGACUAUGAUUCACAGGCUCUACUUUUGUUUGUUUUCGGAACUCAAAUUUGCUCAUAGAAAUUUUUCUUGCAGAGGAAUUGGUGAAGCUUGGGAUAGCUGAUGGCGUAAGAGGUAACACUUGGAAGUUAGAAUACUAUCCAUACUUCUACUUCCCAAUGUUGAAUUUUGAUUGUUUCUUUUCAAUGCAUAUUUUGUGUGCAUGUAUAAAUGCAUAUUUUGUAAAAAGAAUGGGAAAAAGAUCCUUCCAUGGAAAUUGGUGACCGUUUAACUGGUGAAAUUGUUGGUUAAUUUCAAAUAUACUGUUGAGUUUAUACUUCAUGUCAUAUUUUCUUUGAGAAGAAAAGAGUUCUUAAACAAAAGGAACACUCAAUACAAAUCAAGAAAAUACAAAAUCAGUAAAUAUAAUAUAAUAAAGACAAAAAUGGGAAAUUGCUUUAAGUGACAAAAUUAUUGAACAUAUUCACAUAUAUAUCAAAAUGUCACGUCUAUCAGUCUAUCAACGAUAGACCGUGAAAUUUGCUAUAUUUGUAAAAGAAAUUGUUCAUUUUGCUCUAUUUGAAAACAACCCUACAAAAAAUAUAUAUUUAACAUAAAAGGAAGCAAUAUAUACUCCCCUUAUGUGACAACAAGAUAUCGUUUAUUGCAACCUCGUCAAUUGAACUGUUAAAUUGCCAUUUUAGGGGACCUUUAGUUAACACAUAACAAUUUUUUUUUUUUAACACAACAAUUUGUUCUAUUGUUGGGAAAGUAAGGAAUGCAGAUUACUCUAGCAGAAAUAUUCUCACACGCCCUCAUAUAUUCCUUCCUCUCGCCGGCCACUAACAAUUCUCUCCUUCCACCUCCGACGAUGGGCAGCACAACCGACAACGCUUCAUUGGGAUCCUUGUUCCUCUUUGAUAUAUUGCAAAGAUCUUCGUUGUGGGUCACCAUGGCCUCGUCGGUUCCACCUGUAUUCUAGAAUUCAGAGAAGUAUAUUUCUUAUACAUAUUGAGUCAGAGAAAAGUUACAUAUUUAUAUAGAGAAUAAAAUAAACCCUAGACACUAUGUACAAUUACAAUAAAGGACAUAGUUAUAACUAUAUAUCAUAACACUCCCCCCAAGCUGGAGCAAAUGUGUCGAUCAUGCCCAGCUUGUUGCACAGAUAGCUUAUCCUUGCUCCAUUUAAAGCUUUAGUCAAAAUAUCUCCUAAUUGUUCUCCAAUCUUUACGUAUCCGGUGGACACCAACCCAUCUUGGAUUUUCUCACGAAUGAAGUGACCAUCCACCUCAAUAUGUUUAGUUCGUUCAUGAAAUAUUGGAUUAGAUGCAAUGUGAAGUGCAACUUGAUUAUCACACCAUAAUUUAGCUAGCACUGUAAUACUAAAGCCUAUCUCAGAUAAUAAUUGGUGAACCCAUAUUAUUUCGCACACAGAUUGUGCCAUAGCUCGAUAUUCUGACUCAACACUCGAACGAGAAACAACAUUUUGUUUCUUACUCUUCCAUGAUACUAAGUUUCCACCUACAAAGACACAAUAUCCAGAAGUUGAUCUCUUAUCCUCACAAGAUUCUGCCCAAUCAGCAUCAGAAAAACAUUCAACUCUCGUAUGUCCAUGAUCUUUGUGAAAGAUCCCACAUCUAGGAGCAACUUUUGGAUAACACAAAAUCUGCUCUACUGCAGCCCAAUGAUCCAUUGUAGGGGAAGACAUGAACUGACUUACAACAGUUACAGAAUAAGCAAUGUUUGGUCGAGUUACUGUUAAAUAGUUCAACUUCCCAACUAAUCUCCUAUAUCUCCCAGGAUCUUUACAUAAUUCUCCUUCUUUAACAAGUUGCUGAUUGUAGAUUCAACAUGGUGGGUUGAGGUGUUGUAAAGGAAGUACAACCUUUUGUUCCGCUUUUGGGUUUGGACUUCUUUGGCAAGAUGGUUUUGAGAUCACCGUCUGCAUCUUUUUGCUAGUCUCUAGAUUUGAAUGGUUUCCUUUUGAGAGAGUUAUUUUGUUAUGCUUUGUAUUUAGUUCUCUUCGUUUUGUUUUAGUUUUAACUUCAUUUUUUCUGUUGGAUUUCGCCUUUUUAGCCUAUUCUUUGCUUUUUGUUUGUUUUGGUCGUUUUCCCUUGUUUUGGCUGAGAUCUUUUUUGGGCAGUUUGUUUGGUUGUUUUUGUCUUUUCUUGUUUUGCUCUUUGUAUAAUUCUCUUAUACUUUGAGCAUUAGUCUCAUUUUCCUUUAUUAAUAAAGAAACUUGUCUCCGUUUCAAAAAAACAAGUUGCUGAUUUGGCAUCAUAGGAGUGCCACUUGGUUUGGUUCCUAAUUUUCCUGUCUCGGACAAUAAAUCAAGUACAUAUUUUCGUUGAGACAAAUAAAUACCUUUCUUGCUUCUCAUCACUUCACUGUCAAAAAAAUAUUUCAAUUGGCCCAAAUCUUUUGUAUAAAACUGACCUUGAAGGAAAGUUUUGAGAGAUGAAAUACCCGAGCAUCAUUUCUAGUAAUAACAAUAUCAUCAACAUAUACAACUAGUAGAACUAUACCAUUAUCAGAUCGGCGAUAGAAAACUGAAUGAUCAGAUGUACUCUUCUGCAUACCAAAGCAUACAAGAGCUUAACUAAACUUACCAAACCACGCACGAGGACUCUGUUUCAAACCAUACAAAGAUUUUCGAAGGUGACAUACUUUAUCUCUCCCUCUGAGCAACAAACCCAGGUGGUUGCUCCAUAUAAACUGAUCACCAUGCAGAAAAGCAUUCUUAAUGUCAAGUUGAUGCAAAGGUCAUUUAUGGGUAGCAGCCAUGGAAAGAAAUAGGCGGAUGGAAGUUAAUUUGGCAACUGGAGAAAAUGUAUCUGAAUAAUCAGUUCCAUAGAUUUGAGCAUAACCUUUGGCAACAAGGUGACCUUCCUCACUCAGGUUUGUUCUAGCACUCAAGUAAUGGAACUCUUCAAUAUAAUGGAACUCUUCAAUAUAUUUGGCUAUCGUUUUAGUACCUUGGCGGCAAUUCUGGUACUGGUUAUAUAAAGCUUGUUCAUAAGUCGGAGGUAAGAACCAAGCCUUCAACAACUUCUUCAUCUUCUCCCAAGAACGGAUGGGCUGCUUCCCACAUCUUUGUCUAUUGAUCUCUAGCUGACCUUACCAUGCCAAAGCACCAGCUCUGAGUUUCAAGGCCACUAAGUGCAUCUUUUCUUGUUCAGAAGUAUCCAUGUAGUUGAAAAAAUUCUCAAUGUUCUUUUUUUUUUUGCAACGGAGACAAAAUUCUCAAUGUUCUUUAUCCAAUCUAAGUGCAUCUUCCUCCCGUUUGCCACUAUACGUUGGAAGAUCAAUCUUCAUCUUGUAAUCAUGAUGUACCUCUCUUCGUGCAUCAAACCUCCUAUUGUUUCGUCUCAUUCGCACUUCAUCAUUAUGGUUCCAUAGAUUUCCUUGUUCAUUGUUGCCCUUCGUACCAUCUUCUUGUAGUUCUUCCCAUACUUCUUGGUCCUCUUGAAUAUCUUCUUCAAGGUACUGUGGCGGGUCGUAACCGGGCCUUCCUCUUUGGGCGUGUCAUUGGUUGUGGAGGUUUUUGUAAUUCCUUCUUGCUCGUCGACCUCGUCUGUCACUGAAAUUAUAGUCGUUUGCCACAUUUGCUUCUUUUCGCGGCGGCGGCGGCAGCUCAUCCAUCCUUCUGUUCAGCAACUCGAAGUUCUCCAUCAUUCUAUCAAACUUGUUGUGAAGAUCUCCCAAGGAUUCCUCGACGGCCAGCAAGCGAACCGUUGAUGUCUCUGGAGAGAGGGCGGCGAUUUCCUCCACUUCUUCUUGCACACGAUCGUCCCCCGCGGCUGGGUUUAUUCCUCUCCGGCCAGCAAGGUUAGUUAUGAGAAAGUUGUUACAAAACAGUUAAGUAUUCUAACUGUUUUAACUACCAUGCAGUUUGGCUAACUCUUUAGACUAUCUCUGUUAUUAUUCUUAUUAUAUCAAUAUGUCUUUCCCUUAUUCACAGCAUCACAAUAGUCUCACUUAAAUAGAAGAAAGACCUAAAAUAGAAAGGGAAAAAAUCAUAUCGUAAUAAUCACAUUCUAAUUUCAGCAAAUAUAAUAACACUAAUUAAGGGAUAAAUCUAAAGUUGUAUACACUUCACAAUUUCAUGUUGUAACAAACUAAAAAACUCUAAUUAAUUAACUCUAUGAAACUUUGUUUUUAGCAGAAGUCAGUUUGCAGCACUCUGCCAUAUGGAUGGCUGGCGUUUAUUUAAUGCUCAUUAUGCAACUUCUUGAAAACAAAGUAGCCAUUGAGUUGACACGUUCUGAAUUUGUUGAGGCUCAAGAGGUAAGAACUAGGAAAGUUUACUUAUCUGUGAGUGUACUUUUUUUCAAUUGUCAUCCCUCUCUCACCCUCUAUUUGUGUCUUGUUGACUUAGUCUUUUCCUUUUCCUUGUGGUGUUCUAAAGGUUUUCGUGAUAUUCAGCACACACUUUUAUCCUCUUUUGCAAGAAGUAUCUCCAAAUGAUACAAGCUAAUGUUCGUUAGUUGUAUUUUGUUUGGUCGUUUUGCUGGAGUUUGUUCUGUAGCUUCAGAACUUUAUAACUAGGGUAUAUAUAUAUAUUACCAAAAUAAAUAAAUAAUAGAAACAACAAAGGUAUUAAAAUUGGUAUUAAAGUUUGGUUAUACCUCAUGGCCAGCAUCAUACUUCCUGUGACCUAAGAGCUUUGCAAAAGUUUCUUUUGCUCAAAAACAUUGUUUAGAUGUAAAUUUUUUUGAAAUAGAGACAAACUUCUUUAUUAAUAAUGAAACUUAAAGUACAAGAGAAUUAUACAAUGAGAGUAAAUAAAAAAAUCCUAUAAGAGGUAACCUUGGGGAUCAAGAGGCGCACUCGGACAUCUCAACUAGGUGGACACCCCCUAGCGCCAAUCAUCAUAUUCCAAAGAAACGAAACAAAACCAAACUAAAAUUAUUUGAUGUCCAGAUUAAUACAACAGAGUCGAGACAAAAGAAGCUAUCAGAAAAGAAAACAAUGCAAACCAGAGAAAACAUCUAACACCUGUGAAGGCCAAAACAAGAAAUACAUGAAAAUUCUAUGGCUAAAGUAAGAAAAAAAUGAACCAAUCCACCAAGACUUCAAAGCGUAGAAAGAGGCCUGCUGUAAGAAUCUUUCAAUCUGAAUAUUCUGCAGUCGAAAUCACCAACUAUAAUGCUGGUUGAGAGAGAAAAACAUCCCAGGCAUAUGUCUUGAAUGGAGUAAUUCUCAAAUUCCUUAUUUAAAGAACACCAAGCUGUAGCAUUACGUUAGGCAGACAAUUUCUGACCUUGGUCUUUCCUUAUCAUGAAAAAUCCAUUUGUUACGCUCGAGCCAUAAUUCCGUAAGGAGAGCUUUAGACCUGUUUACCCAUAUUAAAUGUGGUUUCUUAGAUAGAAAUGGACCCAUCAAAAGCUGAAGCACAUUUGAACUUAGGGACCCAUUAAAAACCCAAUCAGUUUUAAAGAUAGAGAAUAUGCUACCCCAGCAGAAGGAUGAAAAGGGACAGGUCAUAAAGAGAUGAAGAAGGUCCUCAUUAGCCUUCAUACAGAGAGGACGGGCUGAAGAAGAAGGUACUUGUUAGUUUAUUUCCUUUGCCAGAUUUCUGAACUGUUGAGGAACCCAAAAACCAUAAUCCACAUUAGAAUAUUAAUUCUCUGAGGACUGCUUGAAUUCCACAUAGCUUUAAAUAAGUGGUUAUCCAUCGGGGAGGCAGUUUGUAGAUAAACCCAAAGAGACUUAACAGUGUAAUGGCCUUGGUGGUCAAUGGACCAAUAUCUAUAAUCUUCAGAAUCUCACUUUUUCAGACAAGGGGAGGUAUAAUAAGGAUUAAAACUCUGCAAUUUCAUCUUCUUUCAAACAUCUUCUAAAAGAUAAGAACCAAGAUAAAGUUUCAAUGUCCCAAUGUGUUGCAACAGAGCCGUUGAGCAAUAGAGCAAUUCUAAAAAGCUUGGAAAAUUAAUCCUUGAGAGGGAUGACAUCAACUCAAAGAUCUAUCCAGAAUCCGAUUCUACAACCAUUGCCAAGUUUAAAUAAAGCUAGUGAUUCCACCGACCUCCACACUCUUGAAAUGCUUACCUAUGGACUCCUUAGGCUAUUACCAAACUUUUCCAUUGCAAACCAGUCAAAUGCCUCUUUGCCGUGGAUGCUUCUUUCUAUUUGCCUACAUAAAGCUGUCUUCCUUUUAAAGUUUCCACCCUCACUUAGCAAGCAAAGCAAUGUUAUGUACUUUAAUGCCACCUAAGUCGAGACCCCAUCCUUUAUUGAUAGUGUAACCUUGCUGCAAUUCACAAGUUGAUUGAUUUUACUGCCAGCAUAACCUUCCCAAAAGAAAUUCCUCAUAAUUUUCUCCAAAGAGGCAGCCACAUUUUUCGGGGAUAGAAAACAAAGAUUGAUAGUAUGUGGGGAGACUAGCCAAGACCGAAUUGGACAAAGUAUGUCUACCUCCUCUAGAAAUGUUAAAUUUUUUCCAUCUAUCUAAUUUUUUGUGAACUCGAUCAAUAACUGGUUGCCAAAACUCUUUUUGUCGAGGGUAGCCUUCCAAGGGGAGACCGAAAUAUAAAAAAGGUAACUUUUCUGCCUUGAAACCUAACCGGUUUGCUGUUUGAAACAAGACUUCCUCAACCACAUUGACACCGCUAAGAGCUGAUUUUACCCAAUUUACUUUCUGCUCCAAACACCAUUCGAAAAGCUUUGGCAGUGUUUAAAGUAGGAAAUGGCAGAAGAACAGCCUUCAGGUCAGAUCUGUGGGUGGUUAAAAUUCCUCUAAAAUUCGCAUUCCCACGUUUGUUCAGAAGUGCACGCAUUUCGGAAGGAUCUACUGCUGACCAUUGGGAUUUCUAUACUUCUUCUUGGUCUUUAACCUUCAUAAGAUUGCGGAAAGAAGAAGAAAUUAAUGAUUUUCAGGCUCUUUUUUCUUUGUUGGCAGGAAAAGAAUUACCGAGUGCCCCAGAUAAAAGAAUGUGGUCUUUGGAAACAAGCGGUGCCUUCUCUAUUAAAUCCCUUGUUAAUCACCUUUCUUCUGCUACACCCCUUGAAAAUUCACCGGAAGUUUGCAUCUGGAAAUCAAACAGCUCGUGAAGAGUGAAUAUUACUCUUUGGAUUAUGCUUUCUGGGAAUUUGAAUUGUGCUGCCGUUAUGCAAAGGAAACUCCCCUCGGUCCUUUAGGCCCCUCCAAACCCAGACAAAGGUAGGUUUCUCUCUCUUCUCUCUCCUCUCUCCUCCCCCUCUCCCAUCCUUCUCCUUCUCUAGCAGUCAAUAUCGACGACUCAAUUUUUCUUUUUCGUUCUCCUCCUAGCGUUUCUUAAUCCUUCAGUCAGAAGUUUUGAAAUGAUGGAAGUGAUAAGAUGUCGAAUCCUCCAAGCACACUGCUGUAUCUGGUUGGAAGAUGGAAAGUUCCAAGUAGAAGAUGUGGAAGCGCAAAGAAGGUUGUCAGUUUCAAAGGCACAGCUGAACCAUGAAAUCUAUAGCGGUCCUUAUGAGAGGUACAAAAGAUGGUUUCUUUCAUAAUUCUGGGGAUUUGGAUCGAGGAAGAAUGAAAGUGUCGAAAUUCUGGUCCAAAGUUGGAUGGAUGCUAUGCUGUGAUUUUUGGCCUUUGUCAAGUGGUCACUCCAACAUUCGAAUGCGUGCAGGGGAGGACAGGCAGAGGUGGUUAGAUUUCCAUAAAAUGUUAAAGAGUUUCCUGUCUAAGGUAGACUAUACAAGAUGGUUUGCAAAUACAAGGCCCACGUCUAAUUUUCCAUCUGAGAGCAAGAGUUUAAGCUACGCAGACAAGGUUAGGACGCUAAAAAGGUGUCAACCUAGUUGAGAUGUCCAAAUGUGUCCCCUGAUCCUUAGGUCUCUCUUUUGGUACUCUUAGUAUAUAACUUACUUUGAGUUUGAAUAUUAAUGAAGAGGUUCUCCUUUUCAAAAAGCAAAGGAAACUCCUCUCUCAUUGCUUAUUGCCUCAUAUCUGCCCCCUUUGUUUAAAUAAUCUGGAGGAUUUACAGCACCAUCCCUUUGAUUGUGACUAUGCUAAGAGAUGCUGUUUCAGAUUGCUUCAAACCUUUAAUCUAUCUUGGGUUUUUGGAAAUGAUUUUAGGAGUAAUGUCCAACAUACUUUGGUUGGUCCAGCCCUCAAGAAAAGGCCUUUUUUUAUUUGAAGCAACGCGGUAAAAGCCCUACUAUCUGGAUUAUGGUUUGAAAGAAACCAAUGAGUCUUCCACGAUAAAAUUUUCCCUUGGCUAGACCACUUUGAGCUUCCUCAUUUAAACGCUUCUUCAUGGUGUAUGCUUCCAAAUAUUUUUGAAGACUUUUCAAUUCAGGAGAUCAAUCUGAAUUGGCAGGCUUUCAUUUUCCCUCCUAAGUAGCAGAAGACUUUUUGUGUACUUAUUUUUCUGUCUUAGGAGUCAUUUUGUAUUUGUAUCACUGCUUGUUAUUUUCUUGAGUUCUUGGUCUUAAUGUUCCUAUAUUUUUUUCUUUGGACAUUGAGUUUGGGAUGUAUUUCUUAUUUCUUAUUUUGACUAUUCUCCUUGUUCGGAUAUGAUGAGAGCGCUAAGGGUUGUCAACCUGGUUGAGAUGUUGUAUAUUUUCUUGUAUUUUGUAUAGUGACUCUGUUUCUUUUCAUUAAUCAAUGAAAAGUGUGUUUCCUUUUUUAAAAAAAAAAAUUGAUUAUAAUACACGAGGAAUCCUAGGUUUGGAAUUAAUUAUAGAAGAACAGGACAUCUAAAAAUAAUUAUAAGAUGUAAAUGACUUCACAAAUCUACAUCUUGGUAUUCCAUUCUUUGGAUGUUUCAGGUUUUGUCUUCUUACUCUUCAUUGGAGUAUAUAUUCUUUGAACAUUUUUGCUUCUUUUCAUUAAAAAAAAAUUUCAUGUUAAAAAAUGUGACAAUAUCCCAAAGAAGAAAGUGGAAUGUUUGCCUCUCCGUCGGUAGGCGCAUCCUUUGUCUAAAUACCUGUAUUGUAUUAUGUAGGCCUUAGUGCAGAUGAAGAAUUGGUUCUUGCGCUUUCCUACAAUCUUACAGGCAUGUGAGAGUAUGAUUGAGAUGCUUAGAGGCCAGUAUGCUCACUACGUUGGUUGUUACCAUGAAGCAACUUUCCAUUAUAUCGAAGCUGCAAAGGUCUUGCAAUUUUAGUUUCCAUGCUUCUGAUACUGCUUGAAAUCUCACACUGUGCUUAUGGUUUGUUAUUUGUGUCAAAUUUUGUUGAUUCUCUUGUCUGAUUGUGUAGCUUACAGAGAGCAAAUCAAUUCAAGCAAUGUGCCAAGUUUAUGCUGCUGUCUCUUAUAUCUGUAUUGGCGAUGCUGAAUCAUCUACUCUUGUAACAUUUUCUCCUGCUUAGAAUUUAUAUACAAGAUGAAAUAUACUAGCUUCCACAUUUUUUAGUUUGAUUGAUUGAAAUAGCAUUACAGGCACUUGACUUGAUUGGACCAGUUUACAGCAUGAUGGAUUCUUUUGUUGGUGUUCGAGAGAAAACAAGUGUUCUUUUUGCGUAUGGCCUCUUACUGAUGAAGCAACAUGAUUUACAAGAAGCAAGGUAUCUUUUUCCAUUUAGAUAGGAGAAUACAGCAAGUAUUUGAGGUCUUAAUCUUCCCCUGCAAGGUUUUAAGUGGCCAACUACCACUGCCUUGUAGUGAGUUCUGACCCUUUGCCAAGUGAUCUGUUGAUUUGCAUUUUUUAUGGCCCUUAUUUUAGAAGCUUUGUUAACCUUCCUACAAACCAAAGUAGGGGUGAUCUUCAGUCUCUCCUUUUGUGUGUGUUUUGUGUAUAAUUCUCUGAGCAUUAGUCUUGAUUUUAUUAAUAAAAUUUGAGACUGUCUCCUUUAUAAAAAAAAAGGAAAAACAAACCAAAGUAGGGGUGGAAACGGUUUGGUUUGGUGGCAAACUGAACUGAAUUGCAGAUUUGAAAGUUUUUAAUGGCAAAACCAAACCACCCUGCUUUGUCUGUACAGACCGAACAGCAUAUAUGCUGUUUGUUUCGGUUUGAUUUUCAAUUUUUCUCUUUUCUUAGAAAGAAAUUGAAGGAGAUAUUGAUUGGCAAGAGGGUGAGAGAAGAAGUAUGUUGGAAAUUAAAGCAUAAGACUGCCAAAGAUUAAUUUUUUUUUUACUAAUAAAGCAGAAGACUGCUGGAGACGAAGGUCAAACAGAGAGAUGAAGACAGCCUGCCAAAGAUGGAGAUGAGAAAGAAUCGGAAAUGGUCCAGAUGGAGAUGAAGACAGGGGAUGAGGAGAGUUUGAGAGAUGAGAAGGUGGACACAUGAGGAGAACCGAGAUACUGAGAGAGAGUGAGUGGCCGAGAAGAUUGGAAAAGUUGACCAUGGGCAGUGGCAAGUGGGCUGCGAACUGCGGAGAGUUGAGAGACUGAGAGUGAGCAAGAGAUGAGAAAAAUAUAAUGAAAAUCAAGUGGGCAGGCAGCGGCAAGGCACUAGGCAAGGCAACCCUAAAUUAUAUAUAUAUAUAUAUUUUUAUAAAUGCAGUUUAGUUCAGUUUGAAAAUCAGUUUUCAUAAAUGAAGCUAAACCGAACUGAACAAUUCAGUUUUAAAAUUUCUUUAAACCGAAUCGAACUACAUUUUUCAGUUUUAAUAAGUUUUCAAUACCUGAUCCCCUAGGACUCCCCCGUUUAUCUUCUUUUUUAUUGCUCCCUUUGUAUAAAUCUCUUGUACUUAGAGUUCUUACUAAUAAAGAAGUUUCGUCUCUGUUUAAAAAAAAAAGUAAGUUUUCGAUUCGAUUCGGUUCAGUUCAGAUUUUAUAAAUGGUUUGGUGUUAUGGUUUCAGUGACCACCCCUACCAGCCAGAUUUCUAAAUAAGAAUUCGGGUCGGAAAAGGAAAUUUAAUAUAGUAGAAGGAAGAAGAGGAAAGAGAGUGUUAGUGUUGGCACGUGUGAGUAGGUUGUGUGAGUUAGUUAGGAUAUUCUUUCUAAAUCAUUAUAAACAGAGUUGUAGUCUUGGAGGGAAAGUAGUUAGAUUUCGGAGAUUUAGUCAGGUGUUUGUGCACCUUUGAGAGAGAAGGUUGUUGAUUUUAUGGAAUUAAUCUAUAUUUCAUUCAUUAUUUAGUAGAGAUACAAGCCUAUAUAUAACCAUAGAGAAAUACACUUAAGGAAAUAAUAUCAAAUAAUAUCUCCAAAAUAAUAUCUCCUAAGAAUAAUCUAAUUAUAUUAAUACCCUCCCUCAAACUCAAGGUUGAAAUCACAAACUUGAGUUUGCUAAGAACUAAGAAAAGAAACAAUAUAUCUAGAAUAGAAUAAAAAACCCGAAGAACAAACACACAAAGAACUUCUAGGUUAAAACAAACCCACGAAAAACUUCUGGGAUAGAAACAUAGAUCUUCGUAUAGAGAUCUAUAACAGAACCUAGGAAGAACGAAACAAGAACUUCGGGGGCAAAAUGAAAGAGCAAAACUGAAGCAAAGUAGAAUCAAAGCUGGACAAAAACAGGGUCGGAAUUGGACAGAAGUGUUUUGUCGGAUCAGAAUGGAACCGAACGAACUAAACUAGAGCAAGUCAGAAUCAGAUUAAACGGGAAAUCUGGGGCGAACAGAACGGAAACUGAACUGAAUGGAGCAGAGAGGCUUAGCGGAUCUGAACAAAAACAGAAACGAGGCGUCGUUGGAUCUGGGCUUCGAUCUAAACUUUGAAGGCAGACAUGAAGGAUGGGUCUGAACGAAAUUAGACAGAUUUGGAACAGAUUGGAGGCAGACGCGAGGAUCUGAGGACAUGGGGUUUCAUGGUUUUGUUGGGACAGCGCAAGGAGAUGGAGCAACGGCAACUUUAUGUUGCGGCGAGCAGAGCUUCUUGGACGACGAACAAAACCGAAACUCUUCGGCUGGGCGUUCGACUUCAACUGACAAAGGUUCAAUCGGCUGCUUGGCUAACGGAAAAACAAGAGAUCGGACGAAGAACUAUGAAGGAGAUGGCCGCCGCAGACGCUAGUGAAAAACGAAUGGGGUUUCUGGGGUUUGGAUGGUGGCAGAUUUGAACAGCAAUGAGUGGCAAAGGGAAGGUGCAACGACAACGGCGGAUUUGCAGAUCUAAGGGGCGGCUUCAGCUAAUGGGAGAUGAUUCUGCCUCCGUUGAUGAAUGAUCAACGGAGGCAGAGAUCAAACGGGAUGUGGAGGCUAGAAUUCAAUAAGGGGAAAACCCUAGAGCUCUGAUACCAUGUUGAUUUUAUGGAAUUAAUCUAUAUUUCAUUCAUUAUUUAGUAGAGAUACAAGCCUAUAUAUAACCAUAGAGAAAUACACUUAAGGAAAUAAUAUCAAAUAAUAUCUCUAGAAUAAUAUCUCCUAAGAAUAAUCUAAUUAUAUUAAUAAAGGUAGCAGUGAGAGAUAGUAACCGAAUUGAGAUUUCCUCAAUUCGUUUUAUUAUUCUUCUUCUUUGAUAUUGCAUUCGAUUUGGUUAAAUUAUCAAUAAAAGUUUCAUCGAUAGAACACAACCUUAGUGUUCCAUCACAUUGCCAAUGAAGUGGUGGAAGAAUACAUAGUGAAAAAGAAGAAAGUGUGGCUGAUUAAGUUGGACCUUGAAAAAGCGGGUCAAUUGGGACUUUUUAGAAAAAGUAAUAGCACAAAAAAAUUUUGAGAUGGCCGAUGGAUAAAAUGAUAAUAGGUUGCAUGCUCAAUCCCAAAUAUUCAAUCUUUAUAAAUGGCCGACCAUGAGGCAGAAUUCAAGCAUCAUGAGGCCUUCAAUAAGUAGACCCACUUUUCCCAUUUCUUUUCCUCCUAGCAAGUGAAGUUCUAAGUAGCCUAAUUUCAAUAAUACAUACGAAUGGGAAUGUUUGAAGGCUUUAUUGUAGGCAAAGACAAGGUACAUUUUUCCUUUAAAAAUGAUGAGGCAAUGAUGGAAAUCCUCCAAAAGACUUUGGUCUUAUUAGAAUGGUGUUCUGGACAAAAAGUCAAUUGGGAAAAAUCUGCCAUUUCUGGAUUUAAUAUAGAGGAAAGAAUGAUCACUAAAACGGCCUCAAGACUAAGAUUUAAGAUGUAAGAUAGAAAAGCUUCACUUAAUGUACCUUGGUUUACCGCUUGGAGGCUACCCAAAAAGCUCCUUAUUCUGGCAGCCCAUUAUAGAUAGUGUUGUUUUUAUGGAAUGAAUCUCUAUUUCAAUGAUCAUUUAACAAAGGUACAAGCCUAAAUAUACUAGAUGAGGAAUAACUUAAGGAAAUAAUCAAUAGAACAAUAUCAUAAUAAUAUCUCCUAAAAAUACUCUAAAUCCUCCAAUACCCUCCCUCAAACUCAAGGUUCAAAUCACGAACUUGAGUUUGCUGAGAAAAGAAACAAAUCAGUAGAUUAGAAACCCACGGAGAACAAACACGAAGAACUUCUUGGUUAAAACAAACCCACGAAGAACAAGACGAAGAACUUCUAGGAUAGAAACAUAGAUCCUCAUAUAGAGAUCUAUAUCAGAACCUACGAAGAACGAAACAAGAACUCCUGGGCUUAGAUGAGGGGAAGGUUGGUUGGAUUUGGAGCAGACGGAUCAGAAUCGAACAGAUCUUGAAACGAGAUUGGAUCUGUGGGACAAAGCAGAUGAAAACCGGAGAUGUGCGGGACAAAUCUGAACUGAAACCAGAGGCGGAAACCAAAUCAAAGCAGGUUGGAAUCAGAUUGAACGGAUUCGAAAUCUGGAGGUGAACAGAACAAAAACCAAACUGAUCAGAGCUGAGAGGCUGAGCGGAACUGAACAAAAAAUAAAUCGGGGGCGGAUGGUGGUGAAAAUGAAGAACACGAAUGGGGUUUCUGAGUUUGGAUGGCAGCCGAUUUGAGCGGCAAAGGGAAUUAAGGUGCAACAGCGGUGGCGGAUUUGCAAAUCCAAGGGGCGGUGGCGGUUAAUCGGGGAUGGCUCUGCCUUCGUCGACGAAUGAUCAAUGGAGGCAGAUAUCGAACGGGGAUGUGGGGGCUAGAUUCAAUGAGACAAAAGAAACCUAGAGCUCUGAUACCAUGUUCUUUUUAUGGAAUGAAUCUUUAUUUCAUUGUUCAUUUAGCAAAGGUACAAGCUUAAAUAUACUAAAUGAGGAAUGCACUUAAGGAAAUAAUCAGCAGAAUAAAAUCUUAAUAAUAUCUCCUAAAAAUACUCUAAAUACUCUGAUAGAUAGAAUUCAAGGUAAACUAAGCAAGUUGAGAUACAACUUAUCUUGUGGUGGAAGAAUCACACUGUAAAUCGGUCCUUUCCAAUCUCCCAACUUACUACAUAUCAACUUUCCUCAUGCCAAUUUCAGUUUCUAAUACCUUGGAGAAAAAUCAUGAAAGAAAUUAAGGGAUUUGAGAAUAAUGGGGGAAAGCUGAACCAUUUAGCUAAAUGGUCUAAAAUCAUCAAAAGCCAAAGAGAUGGGGGCUUCAGCUGAGAAUAAGAAAUAGAAAUAUGGCUCUUUUAUCAAAAUGGGGAUUGAGAUUCAUGUCAUAACAAAAGGCCACCUUGAGUUUGAGAACCCUGUGGAUUAGUAUUUCAAGAGAAUGGCGCAAGAUUAAAGUACUAGCCACUUUCAAAAUUGGUAAUGGCAGCAGAGUGUUUUUUUGGACUGAUCCAUGGCUGGAUAAUAUUCCCCUAAACAGCAAGUUCCUUAGAUUAUCUCGUAUUGCCCUCUUGCCUAAAGGGUCAAUUUCUGAACAUUGGGAUAGCCAAAUUAGUUCCAGGGCGGUUUACUUUAAAAGAUUAUUGAAAGAAGAGGAGGUUGUUGACUUUCAAUCACCGACGAUUUCUUUAAUGGGAAAAUGGUAAACUCUAAUCAGGACAAGAAAGUUUGGUCCCUAUAACCAAGUAGCUGCUUCAUCGCUAAAUCCUUGCUUACUCACCAAUCACCUACUUCUCCAAUUGAUGUUUCUUUAUACUGGGGGCUUUGGAAAACUAAGAGCCCUUAAAGAGCCAACAUAUCUGUGUGAAUUAUGCUUCAAGGGAAUUUUAAUUGUGCUAAGAAAGCUUUCCUCUCAUUGCCUAUCUCCUCAUAUGUGCCAUCUAUGUGGUAUGAAUCAAGAAGAUCUUUUUUCGAGUGUCCUUAUGCAGUGAAUUGUUGGUGUAGGCUGAUGCGAAUUUUUUAUUUCAGAUGGGUUUUUUAUGGCAGCUUUAGUGGUAAAGUGCUGCAAAUUCUCUCUGGACCAGAUUUAGAGAAAAUCUCAUCAAUAUUGUGGUGCAAUGCAGUCGUAGAAAUAUGGUUUGAAAGAAAUCAACGUAUUUUGCACGGUUUAGAUUUGUCUGUUAGUCUUUUGUUAAUGAUAGGCUGCUGUUGUAAAGGUCUUAUUUUUUGGACCACUUUUACUAGCUCUAUGUCAUUUCACUUUUCUAUUUUUUGGAUAUGAUGAGGACGCUAAGAAGGUGCCAACCUAGUUGAGAUGUCCGGUGCGUCUAUGAUCCCUAGUUCUUUAAUUGCUCAUUGUAUAACCCUAUUGUACUUUGAGCUUUGCCUCAUUUUUACAAUAAAUGAGAUCCGUUUCCUUUUAAAAAAAAGGAUCACGUAAUUAAUGAUCUGCAUGUCUGUAGUUUUCAGCUUUGUGUCAAUCAGCAGCUGAAUUAUGGCUUCUUACUUUGAGCCUUCCUGUAACCAUUCCUUGUAUGUUUUCUAAGCUUUUCUUUGUAAAUAGUGUUCAUAUUUGUAUCUUAUCUUUUCUUAUCAAUGUAUUAGGUUCUAGUUAAUGGAUGUGGCAAAGCUAUACUUUGCUGCAUAGUUUUUUGCUUUUUUUUUUUUUUUUUGUAAAAUUCACUUUUGGUCCACAAGAUUCAGAGUUGAUAUCUUUUUUAUCUAUGAGAUUUCAAAAGGUGCACCUGUUAGUCAAAAUGGUCUCUAACUCGAAUGGACUAUUACUAAUAGCAUGGUAAUCAUUUGCAACUAGAAUCAUUUUCAAAUUUACACAUUAAAAGUGUACCUUUUGAUAGUUGGAACCUUAGAAACAAAAAGAGGCUACAAAAUAGUCUGUCGAUAUCUUAAAUAUAAAACCAGUCUUGCCUCCAUAUUUCCAGCAUCGGUUAUUUCCACUGCACUCACAAGAAUCAACUCCUAAAAUAUCGAGGCCUCAAAUAAUAGCAUAUGGUAUUUGUUAUGUCAUUGAUGUUGGGAAAGAAACAUGGCAUCAGCUAAGGGUGUUUUCCCCCUCUUAUUCAGAAAUCGGUUGGCGAAAGGAUUACAAUUGACCCACAAUCAUUUGGGGAAUCUUCAACUUGUCGCACAAUAUUUGACAAUCCUCGGGAGUUUAGCACUUGCUCUACAUGACACCGUGCAGGCCAGAGAGAUAUUAAGAUCAUCUUUAACAUUGGCAAAGAAACUCUAUGACAUCCCAACUCAGAUCUGGGUACUAUCAGUUUUAACAAGUAUGCCAAUGAUAUAUAUUCUUUCUAGUUACUAUUAACAUUUUAGUGGAAUGAGAUUUUCACAAGGCACUUAGAAUGAAGAACACACGCUGGGAGCAACUGUCUCAGAACCAUUUUUUUUCACAUGUUCAAAUAAAGUUGUUUAGUCUUCGUACAAAUAUAUAUAGUGAACCCCAUAAAUAUUGUUACACUUUCCGGUGAUAUAUGUAUUAUAUUAAUAAUGCACAUACAAAUUAAUUUUUAUUUUUGUAUACAUUAUAGCUUUAUACCAAGAGUUGGGUGAAAAGGGGAAUGAGAUGGAAAACGCGGAAUAUCAAUGUAAAAAGGCAGAUGAUCUGCAAAGGAGACUGGUUGAUGCACAUUCCUCCAUUCAUCACAUCGAAUUAGUAAGGCGUUCAUGUUACUCUGAUAUUUUGAUGAAUAGUUAGUGUGUUUGAACAAAUAUCUGCUAUUAUGCACUUACAUCUUUUAUUGCUUUUUGUUUACCCCUCAUGCAUUUAGAUUGACAAAGUACGGCUUGAGAUUCAGCAACUAAAGGGGGUUGACAUCAAGCGUGCAGGUAGCAUCUCACUUGGAGUUGAUCUUGAUAUACCAGGAUCCAUUGGUGUGUCGGUUUCGACUUCAUCAUUGAAGCUUAUGGAUAUAGACUCAGGGAGACGUGGAAAGAGGAAAAUUUAGAGCUUGCCUGGGAAAUUUUUCAAACCAGCUUCUUGUUGUUGUUAUUCUUUUUAAUCUUUAAUUUUGUUUUGUGUUUUUUUUCUAAACUAUUAUUGACUUGUAAAUAUUAAUUUAUUGCUCACUUUAAAUUAAGGGAAAGUGUGAUGGUUGACAAAUGUAUUUGGGGUUUUAGAUUUUGCAGGUAUAUCAAAACUUUCAGAUUUGAAUUUCAUUAUUUUUCAUAUUUUCAGUUUACCCUCAACUUUUGCUAUAUUCCUAUUUCACCGUCGAAAGUUUAGCACGAUAUUUCUUUUUUCCUCAACACGCUACAAUUUCACGUCUCAGGUGAGCUAGGGUUUUGAUCUUCUUUUUCUCCCAAAUUCUGAUAUUUUUUUUCCACGGGUGUUUUGAUAUCUUUCUUUCCAUUCUCAUUGUAGCUUUUAUUUUUUUCACUGGUGUUUUAAUCUUCUUCUUAUUGAAUUUUCAUUUUCUUCACAGGCAUUUUUAUAUCUCUUUCUUAUUGUUGUUUUGGUUUCUUCUUAAAAAUGCUAUUUGAGUUUUGAUUUCUUCAAUUGGCAUUUACUUUGAAGAAAAUGAAAAGAUGAAGAAUUAACUUUGUUGAUGGAAAGAAACAUUAGAACAGAUGUUACUGCAAACAAUACUUUUUCAACAGAUAUAUGUAUAUGAAUAACAACAAAAAAUGUAAAAGAAAUGAAAGCAAAAAAGCUGGGGCGAGCGGGUUAACAAAAUUAAAAAGUAGCAAAAAUUAAAAAGAGAGAGAAGGUGACUAAAAAUGAAAUGUUGAAUCUUAGAGAGAGGAAUUUUGAUUUCAAAUCAAUUAAAUAUAAUUUGAAAUUAUAAUUGCAUCCCCUAUUUUAGCGUGAAUUUAAUGUUUUGUAGAUGUGUGAUUUAUUUGUUCUUCUAUUUAAGGUGAAUUUGAGAUUUUAGAGAUAAAAAUGUAAUUUUAAGAAAAGAAAAAGUUAUCUUUAGUUCCUUUAGAGUGCAUUUGGGGGAGAAAAAGAGUUGAUAAUAAUUAUGAUAAUUCUAGGAUAAUGUGUUAUGAUAAUAUAUGUUUAGAUGAUUUAUUAUUGGUAGUGUUAUGGUAAUAUGUUUUUUUUUUUUGGGAAAGAUUAUGAAUAGUAGUGUUAUGAUAAUAUAUGUUUGGAGAGGAUUAUAAUAGAUAGUACUAUGAUAAUAUUUGUUUGGAGGAGAGAUUAUGAUAGUAGUAUUAUGAUAACCUGCAUUUGGAGGGAAGAAUUAUGCUUGUAGUGUUAUUAUAAUAUGCAUUUGGGGGAAGGGUUACAUUAGUGUUGAUAAAUUUUCUUCUAUAUAAAAUAAACAAUAUUAAUACAUGUAAUUAUAAUAAAUCAUAUUGUUUUUUGUAAAUAUGUUUUGCAACAUGUUUUUUACAUACCCCAUUUAAUUCAUAAUUUGGUUUAUAAAUCUUUAUGUUGUGGUGGGUUUCUUUUUUUUUCUCGGGUCGUUCAAAACGUAACGCACAAAUAUGUUAGAGCAUGCAAAUAAAAGUUUGAAGCUGAACAAUUGUGAAGAAUUGGUUCACUACAAAUUGUCGUUCACAUAACAACAAAAUACCAAUAUAUAUGAAAAGAUCGUAAACAAUGCAGAUAAAGAUAUCGAAAAGCACUCAAGGGUUUUCUCGGAGAAUGACCAUACAUAAGUUUAAAUUCAUGGAAUGCUUUCAUGUCGCUAACGUUGUGCAUUAGUAUACGCAUACAGCGACACCUAUCGAUUUUAGUCAAUUUGGGGAUGGCAUGUAACUAUCGAAUGACCUCUUGUCAUAGUGUGCUUGCAUCUUUCCAUUGUAAUAUCGACUAGUAUGCAAUGCAGUUAAGCUACUCAUUAUCGUACUCAAUGACAUUGCGAAGUAUGUGUGCAGUUUCUAUCGACUGUCCUCUCCAUUUCCUCUUUGAUUUGCUAGAAGAGCUACUCAUUAUCGUACUCAAUGACAUUGCGAAGUAUGUGUGCAGUUUCUAUCGACUGUCCUCUCCAUUUCCUCUUUGAUUUGCUAGAAGCAUUCCUUCUGUCACCUGCACGGGAUCGUGUCUCCAUUAUUUCGUCAGGUGAUAUGUCUAGUCUUUGACUGUACAUUGUGGGAAACUCCAUAUCGUUGCCAUCAUCAGAUGCAAAUCCCUCGUACCCACCAAGCACAUUGGACCCGACGCGGUAAGAGUGGACUGAAAUUCUUGUUUGUCUUUUACAAAUUCUAUAUUGAAACUCUGUUGAAAAAAAAUCUUAAGUUAAAAACAAAAUUGAUUAACCUAAUUGUAGUCUUUGUAUUUGUAUAAAAAAUCUUCACAUCUACCAACCAUAAUUUUGCUAACGCGGUUUUUAAAGUCUAGUUGCGGAACACAUAGACUAAACAUAGGGAUAAAACAAAGAAAUUAGUGUGUCAUGAAUAAUGAAGACAUGGAACAGACAGGAGCAUAUGAAAUACACUGAAUGGUAACAACAUGGGGAUGAAACUCAACAAAUAUGAACAUCUAUAAUUAAGUGAAAAAUGAUAAACGUACCAAAGAGUAUCUAGAGAUGCAAAAAAUUUUAAGACUGAGGAUGCAAUGGAAUGGGAAGCAAGGGGCAAAUAUAUAGUAAAUGGAUGAUGGUAAUAAAUUGGACAACAAGCAACCAACAAGUAUCAUGGAAAACAAGAGAUAUGACACAUACAGUAACAAACGAAAAUGACAAAGAUCUAAUAGAAAAAUUAGGCAAUUAGGACUCUGCAAGUACACAAUGUCCAUGAAAAUAUAGACCUAAGCAAGGGGUAUGUGGAAAAAUUAGAAUUUAGAAGCCCUAAACCCUAAUAAAAAGCAACAAAGUAGGUUUCUACCAAUAGAAUAUGGUAUUUGGGCAUAACAUCCGUCACUUGAAGCACCUUAAGGUUGAAACAAAUGCGCGGCAAGGGGAAGUAGGACCAACAACUGUUACAGCAAAGCUGUGAACGGAAACAUAGAGAGGAAGGCGAGAAGUUUAAGAGACAACGAGUGUGAGCGGCAACCGAUCAAUGAAAACACAAAGAGGAAGCGAUCCGUUUCAGAGGCAACGUGCACACAACCCUCAACGAAAACGCAAAAGGGUUUCAACGAAGGGAAAAUGAAAUCAGGGAUGAAAACACAACGACAGAGGAAGACGAAAAUAUGCAAUAUAGGUGUAGAUUCGAAGAGGAAAGGUGGGGAAAUCCGUUCAACUGUGUAUUUUCUUAAGGGAAAAACGAAAUUGGAACAGAAAAUGACGAAGAAUACGAGUAAAAGAGAAGAAAAUUCGAUGGAUUGGCGAACAAAUUACAUAGGGUUUCAGAAGGAUUACGGCCGAAUUGGAAGAAGAGUUGAAGGGGGUUUAUCAGAUGGGUUUUGAUGUGUGUGUCAAAAUUAACCGUAGACUUUCAAAAGUUUCAAGAAAGUCUUCCUUACUUUCGAAAAGGGUUCAAGCUUUAUUUCAAAAAUAGUCGUGAACUAUUGAAAAUUAAUUUUCAUAAACAAUCUUGAAUUUAUAAAAAACCAACAUAAAAUUUCUUAGCCCACAAAACAAAUAAAAAAAUUUAACUAAAACUAUAAUUUUUAAAUUUUCCUUAGUUCUCUAGAUAUUCUCACAUUUUCAUAGGUUGGAUAUCAACCGAAGGAUAAAUUGAUAUUUUGAAAAAUUCAUGAAUCACACAAGAUAAAAUAUAAAAUGUCACUAACAUAAAUAAUGACAUGUUUAUUUAUUUCAAAAUAACAAAAUAUUUAUUUGCUAAUUUAAAAUUAUUUUUUUAUUAUUUUUAUAAUUUUUCAAAAACAUCCAUUGUAAUUUAAAUUUCUUAAAACUAAGACUUUGAUAACUAUAUUUUAAACUUUGGUUAAAACAUAAAUUACACGAAAACUCACGAAGUUUUAAAAGUUGUCUUUAAAACAUACUAAAACAAUAACUAGUCAAAUAAAAAGAAAUUGCACACUAAUAGAUCUAUCAAACUACCACAUUGGGGUUAAUAAUCAAAUAUAUUCUUCUAUUUGACAAUUAACUAUACGUUAAUUAAAAAAUAACUAUUAAAAUCGAUUCUGUUUGUGAUCUACCAUUCGGUGUUAAUAGUGUAAUAGAUUUUAAAUUGUAGAUUUAAUUUAAAGUUUUGAUUUUUGUUGGUAAGAAAAUUAGUUUAAAUUUUGGGUCAACCACCCUAUUUCUAACUUUUAUAAGCUUAAAGUACUUAUGAAUAAAUAAGCUAAUUAACAAGCUAUUUUUAAAUAUACAAAGUGAAUAAAUAUUUAUAAAAUACACGGUAAAAUAUUUAAUUUCCAAAAGCUCACCAAUCCAAAAAAAGAAAAAAAUAGCAGAAAAGAAGAGACCUAAAAUAUUUUUAAAAAUGGACCAAAUUUUUUGAUUUGGUUAGAUAUUAGUAGAUAUAUUGAUUGUUAUAUAUAUAAAAAUUAGUCCAAAAUAGAUGAAUUUUGUUAUUUAAAUAAAUUUGAGAAAGAAAUGAAAAACGUGCAAAAACACGAGCGAAGUUUACUGGCUCGCUCGCUCGCUCGUCCUGCGCUAUUACCCGAGGGAGGGCUGGAAAAAAAAAAAAAGAAAAAGAAAAGGCCUUAAUGUCUUGGUUUUUUGCAAUCUCUCUUUACCCUAAACUCUUCCUCCAUUGCAGAUCGAUUUUAUGAUUGAGUUGUGUAGCUAAGAACAUCGAUUCGUUACCCUACAAUUGAGAAUCAAGCUCUCUGUUUACCCCAAUCUUAUGUGAAGCUGCUGAUCGAUUCAUCAAUGGAUUAGAAAUCAGAUGUCUGACGGUAAGCCUCCAUUCUUCUGUCAUCGAUUAUUCGAUUGUAGGGGGCAGUUCGUCUGAUCUGCCUGUGAUACACUUUAGUUAGCAAAGCACAAUCUAUAGGAGAAGAGGAAAUUUGGAACAACAAACAAAUUUAUCAGGUCCUUUUUGUUGCGCUCUUCAGUUUUCCGUCUGCUAUGAUAUAUCUUCGGUUCUUAGUAAGCAGGAAACAUAAGAGCAUUUCUGUCAUCUGAAACCUACGAAUAGAGUCUCCUGGGGACCAUACUUCCCGUCCCCCCAUUUGUUUUUUAACUUUAUUCUUGUGAUUCUAUCUAUACUUCUCUGCUCUUAGUCAUGUCUUCUCAUCGGUUGACAUUUUAUUGCACUUCUGAAGUAAAAAAACUCGUGCACUUCCAAGUUGCGCUCUCCGCUCCGUGUUAUAUAUCUCUGCGCAGUAUGUUCUGUUCUCGGUUUGUUAUUUGUCUCUUUCAAUUUCAUCUAUUUUUGCCUGGAAUAGGAGCAACACGAUAUCAUUUUGAGCACUUAUGCUUUUUAAAUCGUCUAAAAGAGAAGUCUUUUUAUUUAGUUUUUGAGUUAUGUAUCAUUUCCGCCGACUCUGAAUGAUUAUUAUGUGGUAUUUCCCCGACCCUGUCCGAGUUGUGGUUGUUAGAGGAAGUUCAUAACUUGCUAAGAUAAGGAAAAUGAACGUAUAUCCAUUUUUUCUUUUUGGUCAGAUAUCUGGGCAGGUUCCUGAUAAAGCUGGUGUGGAGUUGUCUGGAGAGGUGCUCUCCACGUGAUAUGUUCAAUAUGGACUCUGAACUCUAUAAAGCACGUGUCUUCAUUCAAGAGAAAAUGUAAGGCUUAUCAUUAUAUAUCUCUCUUUGAUGAAGACUUCAGGCCUUCUUUCUUUUGUUCUUGUGCUUCUUUCUGUCCCUUACUUACGCAUCCCGUACUUAGCAUGGCUUCUCAAAAAUCUAAUGACAUAUAGAUUUAAUAGUUAACUUUAAGGGCCAUGGAUGCUAGAACAUUUUUUAUAUACCCAAAUAACAUCUUGUGAGGGCCUGAAAAUUCAUGAAGCAGCUUGAACUUUUAAGUACUUAAUCAUAUGUUUGGGAAUUAUCUCUUGUUUUUAAUGCUAAUUUCUUUGUUCCCCUUUUUAAAAGUUCCGCAAAUGAAGUUUGUUUAAUGGGGUUCUAAUUAAAAAUGAAACCAGAAAGAAGUAUUGUGUAAUUAGGCAAUUUUAACUGGAUGAUCUUCAGUUUUAUUAUAUUCUGACAUCUUUAUUUCUCAAUAUUGGAUUUUUCUUUUAUUGAGUUAAGAUUUAUAUGUUUACCUUGGUCCAAAUUUUCAUGUUGUAUCUUUUAAUCAUUUAUUUUGGAUUAGAAAUGACUUCAUUGAUGAAUGACACCAAAAUCCGUGCAGAGAUAUUUCUUCUCAUCCUCCUUCAUUUUCCCAUUUUGUUUUUUGUGUGAUGGUUAAUGGAAAGGAAACAUAUUUUUGGGAAGAUCUUUGGGUGGGAAUAGACCCCUCUCCUCUGCAUUUCGUUUCCUCGAUUAUAUCAUCCGUCCUCCUUAAGAAACUGUUGAGUAUUAGAUUCGUUGGUUUGUUCAGGGAAUUUGGUUUCUUUCUCCUUUGUUUUUUGUCGGUCUUUGUCCAAUAGGGAAAUGACAGAGGUGGCUUCUCCUCUCUCUCUUGAUUGAGGCCUUUGAUUUUAGGCUUGGGAGAAAAGAUGUUCAUGUGUGGAGUCCUUCUCUUGUAAGUCUUUCUUUAGAUUCUUACUCGAUCCCUCUCCUGCUGUUGUGUCGAUCUUUGAUGUUUUAUGGAGGAUUAAGAUUCCAAAGAGAGUCAAGUUCAUUUCUUGGCAAGUAUUGCUUGGGCGUGUGAAUAACAAGAAAUAGGCUUGUGAGAAAGAUGCAUUUCGUUAUUGGGCCCUUGGUGCUGUAUCCUUUGUCGAAAGGCAAGAAAAUGUGGAUCACCUUCUCUGGGAGUGUCAAUAUGCACGAUUUGUGUGGAAUGGAUUUUUUCAGGAGUUUGAUUUUGCUCUUGCUCGUAAGAGGGAUGUUUGUUUGAUGAUCAGGGUGUUCCUUCACCAUCUGCCUUUAAAAGAGAGUUUUUUUUUUUUUUGCAUGUGGAGGUGUGCAUGAUUUCGUGGGAUCCUUAGGGUGAGAGAAACAAGAGAGUGUUUCGUGAUGGGGAGUGAGACCCUAGUGAGGUUUGGUCCUUGGUGAAGUUUCAUGUUUCUCUUUAGGCUUUUGUUUCGAAGACUUUUUUUGUAAUUAUCCCUUAGGCGACAUUUCACUUAGUUGGAAUCCCUUUGUCUAUGGGGUUUUUUUUUUUCUUUUACGUCCUUGUAUGCUUUUAUUUUUUUUCUUAAUGAAUGAAAUGAUCCAAAGAGAUACGAAUUGGCUCCCAUUUAAAUGGAAUACAAAACAUGUCUCCCAUUUUAGGAUAUUUCUUAAUAAUUAUGAAAUCAUUCAACUCUGUAGCUUUUCUUUUUCAAUUUUUUUAGGACUUUUGUGCCUUAAUUUUCUACUUUAUAUAUGACAAUUUGAUAUUUUUCAGUGACUGUUGUUCGAGAAAAUUUUACUAUUGCAUAUUAAUAUUUUAUAUUUCUGCUUUUCAGUUUUGAGAUUUUAUUACAGCGGCAUCAACGGCCCAUUGAUGACCUACAGAGGCUGAGGUUCAAGGACAUUGUGAAACGCUUAGAGGAGGGUCUUUUUAAAACGGCUCUUACAAAGGUCUCCACCUUCACCUCCACCCUCAUUGUAAACAAAUUACCACUACAAUAUUGCAGAAGAGUGCAGAGACCACCUCUUUUGUGGUUUAUCUUUUAUAAGUCUCAGAUAAACAAGCAUGCCAACAUUUUACUUAUUGUGAUUCUAAGUAACUCUGGAGUUCAUAUGUUUUCUCUGGGAAUAAACUUUGUCGUUAUGGUAAUAUGACACAGGAUGACUAUAUGAACCUGGAUACUCUGGAGAGUCGUCUGCACAGUUUGAUCAAGCGUUCACCCAUGAAUAAUCAGAACCAGCAAUAUCAACAAGUGGUUAGUUCUUCUUCUGCAAUAAGUCAGAUGAUUCCAACUCCUGGUAUGGCUCACAGUGGGAAUUCCAAAAUGAUGGUUGCAUCUUCGGAUGAUUCUAUUAUUUCUGCUAGUGCCAGCUUAGCACCUAUGACUGCUAGCACAGGAAGCAUCAUGCAAGCUGGUGGAAUAAAUGGUGGUUCCUUCAACAGAGCUGAAGGUAACUUCCACUAAAAUAUUUUGUCCCUGUGUGAACAGUUUUUCUUUUAUGAAAAAAGUUAUAAUAUCCUCCUUUUCAGGUCCCAUGACCAGUGGAUAUCAGCAGUCUCCUAGUUUCUCGGUUGGUUCUAGUGGAGUUAUAUCAUCUGCUGGUGCACACAGAAUUACUAGUCAAAUGAUUCCUACACCAGGUUUCAGUAAUAACAUUAACCAUGCAAGCAGCAACCAGUCUUAUGCAAGCAGAGACAAUUCUAGUAAUGGUAGUGGGCUUCCCAGUGUUGAAUCUACAGGGCUGUCUCAAGUGCAAUUGCAAAAGCAGCAUAUUGGCGGUCAGAACAGUCGUAUAUUACAGAAUCUUGGUAGCCAAAUGGGUAGUGGAAUAAGGUCUGGCUUACAGCAGAAAUCUUAUGGCUUUACAAAUGGACCUGCAAAUGGUAGCUUAGGAUUAAUAGGUGGCAAUGUACAACUUUUGAAAGAAUCUAGCACCUCGGAGGGCUAUCUGACUGUCUCGCCUUAUGCUAAUUUAACCAAACCUGUACAACAAUCCUUUGAUCAGAAUGACAAAUCGUUGGUGCAAGGUAUUAUUUCUCUCUAUCUUUAUUGGCUCCAGCCUUUCUUGUCGAGCAGUUCUUGAUGAAAAAUCACAUCGUUACCACUUACCUGUUUUGUAAUAAGAAUCAAUUUCUUUUGGCAGGCGAUGCAUAUGGAAUGAAUAAUACUGACUCUUUUGGAUCAGAAAACCUUUAUGGCCCUGCAACAUCUGUUGGAUCAAUGAUGACUGCUCACAAUUUGAACCCGACAAAUUUGCCAUCUAUGUCUAAAACCAGUUCACCUUUCUCCAGUAACCAGUCAAAUUUUCAUGGAACUCAACAGGGCACUCACUCUCCCCUAAUUGAUGGGUCAGAUAAGAUGAAUUUCCAACCUCCACUAUCUUCCAGGGAAAACAUCAUUGAUUCUCAUACACAGCAGCAGUUUCAACAACAUCACCAAUUUCAACCUCAACAACAACCAUUUCUUCAACAGUCAAGUGUCCAGAAACAACAAAUUCAACCUCAGCAGCAUCUACUAAAUAACGAUUCUAUUAAUCAGGUUCAGUUAGCCUCUAACCUGGGCAGUCAUGUGAAGCAGGAACCUGGUGGGGAGCAUCAUAAUGGGCCUUUCCAGCCACAAGUUUCCGAACAUUUUCCACUGCCUGAGGCACAUAACCAAUUUCAUCAGAAUCCUAGUGAAGACUGUGUGAGGAAUGCUCAAUAUCUUUCUGUUUCUUCUAGCCAGAGUGAUAUUUGUUCCCCACUUUCUCAAAGCUCUCAACAGAUGCAACAAUUUUUGCAUCCACACCUAUUAAAUUCAAAUUCUCAAAAUCGUUUUAGCAGUCCAGCUGGAGCUCUAUCAGAUGCAACUUUGCAGGUUCAAUGGCAUCCUCAAUCACAAGAUAGAAAUCACAGGCAAGGGAGCAUUGUUCAUGAGCAAAAUGUCCAGCAUGAUUUCCGUAAAAAGGUAUCCAGUCACGAUAUAGUGCAGGGUGAUAAUUUACCUACGGAAGGAUCAACAAUUGGGCACUCCUUUGUUACUAGGACCAAGUCUGAGCCUCCUAAUCCCCUUGGUGCCACCUGCCAGAACAACAAUAGUGCACGCCAAUUUAUAAAUCAGCAGAGAUGGCUCCUAUUCUUGCGACAUGCUCGUCGCUGUGUAGCUCCUGAAGGGAAAUGUCCAGAACGAAACUGUGUCACUGCUCAGAAAUUGUGGCAACAUCUUGAUAGAUGCAGUUCUUCUAAAUGCACAUAUCCCCGCUGCCAGCCUACCAAGUUAUUGCUUCAUCAUCACAAGAGAUGUAGGGAUCUAAACUGUCCUGUUUGUAUUCCUGUCCGAGACUAUAUCCAGAGCCGAAAGAGCGUGCGUGCCCACAAUGCAUCUGAUUCAAGUUUGCAAAAGUUAACCAAUGGAUUCCCUAAAACCUGUGAUGCUCCAGAUAACACCACUAGAUAUAUUUUGAAAACUCUUCAGGCUUCUGAAACUUCAAAGGAUCUGCAAUCUUCUCUUAAGCGGAUGAAGAUAGAGCAGUCCUCUCAGUCUCUUGUUCCCAAGAGUGAGAGUUUGGCAGUUUCAGCUUCUGCUAUGAAUGAACGACACAUGUCAUUGGAUGUGCAGUGCCAAGGUUAUCAGCAAGGUGAUGAUACUAUGGCUGUUAAGCAUGAGCUCGCAGAUGUGAAAAUGGAUGUGCUGCAGAGCUCUACUCUUGAAAGCCAUAGUGACUUAAAGGAAGCUAAUGCAGAGAAUAAUUGCAGCCAAAGGUCUGAUGGUGACCUUGUCACAUACGAUGAGUUUUCUAGUUUACCAAAGCAAGAGAAUGUUAAAAUUGAGAAUGAGACGGAGUCAAGCAUGCAAGAUCAUUCAGUGCAUGUCACUGAGCAUGCAGCGGCCACCAAGUCUGGGAAGCCAAAAAUUAAAGGGGUUUCACUAACUGAAUUGUUUACUCCAGAACAAGUGAGAGACCAUAUCAUUAGUCUCAGACAGUGGGUUGGCCAGGUUGGUUAACAAGCUUUUAUUCUGUGUUGUUUUUAUAGAGAUACGUUGGAGAAUAUAUUUUGAUAAAAAUGCAAAUAAAAUUUUAUUUAUUUCAUAACUAUGUUUUGUCUAGACAGAAAGUAAUUCACUUUUUGAAUUUAUAAUGGAUAUAUGUGAAAACAUUAGUUCCGUCAAAAAUUUUGUUUUGAAUUCUAAUGAUCCCUUAUAAGUUCCUAGCUUUUGAGAAAUGGUCCAUCUUCAUUUAACCUUUGUUUCUGGUUCAAGAAAUGGUAUGCAUCACGGGUGCUUGAUGACAAGAUCCAGUGCACUUAGCUAUCUCAAAACUUCUUUAUUUACUGUCUUUUUCUCCAGAGCAAAUCCAAGGCUGAGAAGAAUCAAGCAAUGGAACAAUCAAUGAGUGAGAAUUCCUGUCAACUGUGUGCAGUUGAGAAACUCACUUUUGAGCCACCACCUAUAUAUUGCACGCCAUGUGGUGCACGUAUAAAACGAAAUGCAAUGUAUCAUACAGUAGGUGCUGGUGAUACACGACAUUAUUUUUGUAUUCCAUGUUACAAUGAUGCUCGUGGAGAUGUUAUUGUUGCUGAUGGGACUACCAUUCCCAAGUCAAGGCUAGAGAAGAAGAAAAAUGAUGAAGAGACUGAGGAAUGGGUAUGUGUAUUUGCAGUGAGCUAUGGUUUAUUUUAGGUGAUUUUCUUAUGCUUCAUCUUUUAGUUUUUUUUAACGUCCCUGAUGCUUUCUUUCAGUGGGUUCAAUGCGAUAAAUGUGAAGCAUGGCAACAUCAGAUCUGCGCUCUUUUCAAUGGUCGGAGAAAUGAUGGUGGUCAAGCUGAGUAUACCUGUCCAAAUUGUUACAUUCAAGAAAUUGAAAGAGGAGAGCGUAUACCAUUACCUCAGAGUGCUGUUCUUGGUGCCAAAGAAUUGCCCAGAACAAUUCUUAGUGAUCACAUAGAGCAGCGGUUGGUUAAGAGAUUGAAACAUGAAAGAGCUGAAAGGGCGAGGAUUCAAGGGAAAAGUUACGAUGAGGUAAUUUUGAACAACCAAACCUCCCUUUUUUUAAAUGGAAACAAACCUCUUCAUUGAUAUAAUGAAAUGAAAUGAAAGCCUCUUGUGUCAUUGAAUUUUCUUUUUCAAUAGCAGUCAUGGAGUACUGCCAAGUGUUUUUUUCUUGAAUCAGAUUUUCGCACUUCAGUUUUGGGUGGGGUUUUUGUUUUGUAUUCUUAUAUUUUUUUUUUCACUUUAUGAUUUAUCUUCUUGUGAAAAGCACCAAGAAACAUGAUCUAUUCAGACUGCUACUUCAACUUCAGCACAUAUUCAGUUUCUUUAAUUCAUUUGUUCUAUUGGUGUUGCUAGGUUCCUGGAGCAGAUGGGCUUGUCAUUAGAGUUGUUUCUUCCGUUGACAAAAAGUUGGAAGUUAAGCAAAGGUUUCUCGAAAUAUUUCAAGAAGAAAAUUAUCCAUUUGAGUUCCCUUACAAAUCCAAGGUACAAAAAUUAAAAGCAUGAUGCACUGUUAUUAGGACUGUUAUGUUGUUUAAUUUCUAGAUAUAUAGAUAUAACCUUCUAUUGUAACAUGAUCUGCUAGGUAAUGAGAUGUCACUUUUCAGUAUCAUCUGAAGCUAUCUUCUUUAAAUAUUUUGCCAGGCAAUUCUAUUGUUUCAGAAGAUUGAAGGUGUUGAAGUGUGCCUAUUCGGCAUGUAUGUUCAAGAAUUUGGGUCUGAGUGCCAGUUUCCUAAUCAGCGCCGUGUUUAUCUCUCAUACCUUGAUUCAGUAAAGUAUUUCAGACCUGAGAUUAAGACGUACACUGGAGAGGCUCUCCGAACUUUUGUUUACCAUGAAAUUCUGGUCAGUUUUUUUCUUUCAAGCUCUUAUCUGAACAAGUACUAUUUUAUAUACAUGUGAGUUGUUUUAGUCAUGUUCUUUGUUAUUGUAUUUUGGCCCUAUUUUUUAUCUUUUCAGAUAGGAUAUCUUGAAUAUUGCAAAAUUCGGGGUUUCACAAGCUGCUAUAUAUGGGCCUGUCCUCCAUUGAAGGGUGAAGAUUAUAUAUUAUACUGUCAUCCAGAAAUCCAGAAAACACCAAAAUCUGAUAAACUUCGGGAGUGGUAACAUUUAUGGAUACGAAUACUAGUUUCUCUAGUUUGAGAUAUAAGCAUUUUAUUCUUUGUUGACUCCUUAUUUGGCAUGCUUUUCAAUUUCAGGUAUUUAUCCAUGUUGAGAAAAGCUGCCAAGGAGAAAAUUGUUGUUGAUCUGACUAAUCUAUUUGAUCAUUUCUUUGUCUCCACUGGUGAGUGUAAGGCCAAGGUUACAGCAGCGAGGCUGCCAUAUUUUGAUGGUGAUUAUUGGCCUGGUGCUGCGGAGGAUUUGAUUUAUCAACUUCGGCAAGAAGAGGAUGGAAGAAAACAGAACAAAAAAGGAAUGACUAAAAAGACAAUAACUAAGAGAGCUCUAAAAGCAUCUGGUCAAUCUGAUCUUUCUGGUAAUGCGUCGAAGGAUCUGCUACUAAUGCAUAAAGUAAUCUCUCUUUUCCAGAAUCUUCUUUUUUUUGUUUUUUGUAUUUUGUAUUUUUAAACAUAUUUAAUAUCUGUGUGUGUGUGUGUGUGUGUGUAUUGGGGCAAUUUGCAAAAUUCAAUCCUGAAGUAUGGGUUGGUUAGAAUUUGCACCUUUUGAACUUUCAAUUGGAAAAAUUAACCUCAAUUUUUUUGGAGUAUAAAAAUAGUAUCUCUAAACUUUCAAGUACAAAUUGACAAAAAUUAACCUCAAAUUUUUUGGAGUAUAAAAAUAGUAUCUCUAAACUUUCAAGUACAAAUUGACAAAAAUUAAACCUCAAACUCUCAUCGAUAUGACGAUUAAAUCCAUACUACAUAUUUCGUCUCUACCUUCCACCUCUUUAUCCCUGGGUCAUUCCCUUUCCUUCAAUAACCCACUUUCUCUCCACUUGAAGGCAAGGGAAGCCUUUAAACUAACAAAAAAAAGCCUUCCUGUCAAGAGGCUUGACGUCAUCUCGAAAUCCCUCUCCAAAAGUUAACCUGUUAAUCCAAUGGAUACGCUUAUCUGAAUAUAGAAAAUGUCUCAUUUUAAGCUAAUCCCUUACAUUAACAGUAUCCCAUUGAAAUGAUGCUAAUGGAUCAUGUAUCUGAAAAAAGGAAGGGAAUGACCAAGGAAGGGAGAGGUGGAAGGUAGAGAGAGAACAAGAAGAAAUAGGAGAGAUAUUGAGUAAAAUGGAUUUUCUUUUCACACAAUGAGAGUUUUAACCUUUAGAGUUGAUUUUUUUAUAUUGAAAAGUUUGAGGGUUUAAUUUUUAUGAUCGAAACUUUAAGGGUGCAAUUGUUGGAAACAUCAUACUUCACGUGUGGUUUUUGCAGUUUGUCCAAAAUGUUACUGAUAUUUAGGCAGCCUUGGUCAUUUGGCUGUGUUUCAUUAGGCCACAUUUUAUUUUGCUCUUCCACACUUUGUAACGUCGUGCAAUUUUCAUUUUUUCUUAGCAUGUUUUUCUAUAUAUCUGUUAAGUUAUAAGUAUGAACAAAUUCUGAUUAGAUGUUAUGCUGGCAGAGUGUUAAGUUUUUCUAGUUGUAAAAUUAUGUGUAUGAAUAACAUUUCUGUAGGAUAUAAAGCAAUCAAUUUAUUGGCAGUGGGUUGUGCUUACAACUUUACGUAUUAGAAAGUUCUGUUCGUUUUAGAUAAAUUGAGAUAGCAUACUCUGUCCUGCAAUAUAUUCUUUAUUUGGGUGAAAUUUUAGUUUGUGAUGCUCCAGUGAGGAGGUAUCAAACGUAUUAUCUCAAAUUUUUAUAUGUUAUUUCUCCAGCUCGGUGAAACUAUUUCUCCCAUGAAGGAGGAUUUUAUCAUGGUUCAUUUACAGCACGCUUGCAGUCACUGUUGUAUUCUGAUGGUAUCCGGAAAUCGCUGGGUUUGCAACCAAUGCAAAAACUUUCAGCUUUGUGAUAAGUAAGAGUAACAAAUUAUCUCUUAUUUAUUGAAUCCGAAAAUCAAGAUUUUAUCAUUUGACCAUUAUUUUUGGAGCCAUCAACUGAAGAACUUAAAAUGUUCUUCAUUUGAUGGUUUUUCUGGAAAUACACGUGACUUCUCAUGUUAUUAUCUUUUUGUUUUGUUUUGUAAAAUGAGUAUUGGUUUUUCAUGGAAUUUUUCUACUGGAAUUCCACGGGCUAUAUAAUGAUAAUAAUACUUUUUAUGAUGAGAAUGAGAUGAUAUUAGCAGUACAAAAGAAGAAUGUCAUAUAAAAAAAAGAUGUUACAAAAGAAGGGAAAAAAAUUCUGACGCGAAAAAAGUUAUAAUCAUCUAUGUGUAGAGUAGUUUUCAAGUCGUUGAUUUUUAUGCAGUCCUUUUACCUUGUGUUCAAAAUUAAUUGGUGGGUGCUCGAAGGGGAUGGCUGCAUUGUCCAUGCACCAGCUAUUGGCUAGCUACUGUGUUGCCAUUUUUAUAAUAUAGAGUUGAUAGGCUUUUCCGGAUAUUUCUGUAUGUUUUAUUAAAAUGAGCUGGAAUGAUGUCUAGAUAUUUGUGACUUGAGGUUUGAGAACGUAUUGUUUCAAUGUAAGUAAUUGGGCGAAGUCAUAAGUUGUUUUCUUUAUAUUGUUUAACCUGAUUUUAAGAACUAAUUGUUCUUUUACUUCUUACAUUCAAAACCAACUGGUGAAUGCUGGAAGGUGAUGUUUUCUUUGUCCAUUGCAGCUUUUUGCUGCAGUUUUGCAAUUUAUUGUUAUUUUGAUUGUAUGAAUUUUAUAGUUUUGUAAUUAACUUGGUGGCCGAUGGUGGCUUUUAGAUAUUUAUAUAUGUCUAUGUCGAUAGGAAUUGAAAGUAGUGUGUCUAGUAUUGAAGGAGGCUAGGGAAUACAUUUGUUCUGGGAGUUUUGUGUUCAUUAAGGCAAUGGGAGGAUAAUGUCCAGUUGUUUUUUCAUCAUUUUUUUUAAAGCACUAAGCUUUUCAUUAAGAGAAUGAAAGAGACUAAUGUGUAAAAUUUAAAGAAACCAGGGAAAAGACAAUUCUAAAAAUAGAAUAAUCAAACAUGAAUGGGAGAGUUUCAUUGUUUUUUUUUAGUUGCUAUCUAUUUCUUUCAAUUUUUUUUUAAGUUCUGUUUCCUUUAGAAAAAGAAAAUAGAAUAACCAAAAAUACAAAGAAAGAGAUAGCAACUAAGAAGAAACAAUGAAACUCUCCCAGUUCUUGUUUAGGUCUUGGAUAGAGUAACUCUUGUUGCAUUUUUAUAAUGAGAACCAUGAAGAAGAUGUUUAGCGAGCUGAAUCAAAGGACUCAAAAUGUGACUGAAGAAUCUUUAAAUAUGCUCUGAGUUCUUUCGUUCAAUAACAACACAGAUUAGGGUAUUUUUUAUUUACACUUCUAUAACGUAAGAAGCAAGGAAAUUGUUCAUUCUAAAAGUCAAGGCACUAAAAGUAGAAAAGUGAAGAUACAUCACUAACCAUCAUACUGGUUCACAUCUUUUUUUUUUUAAAUGGAGCUUCUUUAUUAGUACUGGUUCACAUCUAUUUCCUUUGUUUAGUUUAAUUUGUGUGGUUCUUCACUUGGUUGUCAAUUAUGGUAAUGGUGGAUCUCGAAAAUCUGAAAAUGGUGUUUCUUCUCCGAAGACCUAUGUUUUUUUUUCUUUCCCUCACAUGAUGAUUUGGUCACAGGUGCUAUGAGGCAGAACAAAAACGUGAAGAAAGAGAAAAACAUCCUAUAAAUCAAAGAGAAAAGCAUGCCCUCUAUCCUGUAUGUUUUUGAAUCCACGGAAAUAUGUUCACCAUUUUUGUAUAUUUGUUAGUUUAAACAUUACCUGCAAACAUAACAUUCUAUCCAACCAAGGCCUGAAAAUGUUUUAAAGCGUUAAUACAUCCAAUCAUCUUUUUAUUUAUUAUUUGUACUUUAGAGUUAAUGAGUUUGCUGAACUGAACUCUGCAGGAUGAAAUCAAUGGCGUGCCUAUUGAUACCAAAGAUAAAGACGAGAUUCUUGAGAGUGAAUUUUUUGACACAAGGCAAGCAUUUUUGAGUUUGUGUCAAGGAAAUCAUUAUCAGUAUGAUACUCUUCGGCGAGCUAAGCAUUCAUCAAUGAUGGUUCUUUAUCAUCUUCAUAAUCCAACUGCCCCGGCAUUUGUCACAACUUGCAAUCUAUGUCAACUGGAUAUAGAAACUGGUCAAGGUUGGCGUUGUGAAGUUUGCCCUGAUUAUGAUGUAUGUAAUUCCUGUUACCAAAAAGAUGGAGGUAUUGACCAUCCUCACAAGUUGACUAAUCAUCCUUCCGUGGUUGAUCGAGAUGCACAAAAUAAAGAAGCUCGGCAACUACGUGUCUUGCAGGUUUUGUGGACAUUUUCUUGUUAUGCAUUAGCUCUUGACAUUAUAUCUUCAUCUAGACGCAUUCUUGGCCCUGCAUUUACUGUAAAUUUCUUUUUUGACUUUUAGCGUACUUCUUGUUGGCUUUUCAACUAUGUGCCACUUCAGGUUUCUUGAUGUUUGUGAAAAUAACAUCUAUGCAUUUAGUAGUCCCAAUCUUUUCCCAACGUCUAGAAGUUAAAUGUAGAACAAGAAAAAUGUUCUGCUUCAUUUAGUGCUUUAUUUUUAGUGGUAUUUUGUGAUUAACUAAAUGUUCAUUUAAUUAGAUGAUUUGAUCAAGAAGUGAACAACUAAGCAUUUCACUGCAGUUUGAUUCUUUCUUUUCACAUUACUAUGGAGGCUUGUUUUGUUCGUUUUGCUCUAAUUAACAGGCAGUGGAUACUCAUCAUUCCUCUAAUCUUGAUUUUGGCAAUCACCUUGACCGUUGAAAUAUUACUUUUCUUUUCUUUUUUCCCAUGAGGUCUUGCAUCAUGCAUUUCUUGUUUCAUUCUGUAUGCCUUACUUUUGUUAGUUUGAUGUUGCAGCUUAGGAAAAUGCUGGAUCUUUUGGUGCAUGCAUCUCAAUGUCGUUCUUCACUUUGUCAAUAUCCAAACUGUCGGAAGGUGAAGGGGCUUUUCCGACAUGGGAUACAAUGCAAAACACGUGCAUCUGGUGGUUGUGUUCUCUGCAAGAAAAUGUGGUACCUCCUUCAACUACAUGCUCGAGCUUGCAAAGAAUCUCAAUGCCACGUGCCCCGUUGCAGGUAAUGUCUACAUCAUUUUCUUUUUCAUCUUUUGGGUUUAUGCAAUCGUGAAGGUAUUCUAUACUGUGUAUAAUAUGUCCAUUUGUGUUGCAUAUAUAUAUAUAUCAUCUGUGUAGUAACUGAGAUUAGAGAGGUUGAAUUUUUAAUGUACUCCAGAGAUCUCAAAGAGCACUUAAGGCGGCUGCAGCAGCAGUCUGAUUCACGGAGAAGAGCAGCUGUGAUGGAAAUGAUGAGACAGAGAGCUGCAGAACUGAACAAUACGGGGUAACCAGUUUGUAGGUUUACAUUAAUAUUAUUGAGGAUGCGAAGUUGAAAAAGAUUUGAAGCCAUUCUUGAAAGAGCACUGCUGGGAGGGUGGAAAUCAGGCAGUGGGUGACAGACAACAUAGAUGGAAGCGGUAGUGAACUAUACACUCAACAUCUUGGUUAAAUAUUCAGGUUUAGGGAACAAUUCUUUUAUUCUAUGUAUCUACCACUUGAACUUUCCCCAAUAGAAAAGCCAAGUGAGACUCAAGCAGAGCAGCUGCCGUCCUCGUCUUCGUCUUCGUCUUGGUCAUCGACCCCUAACAUUGUUUCUAAGUUCUCAUCCAUAAUUUUUCCUUUACUGUAAAAUACCAUCUUUCAUUAACAUGUGUACCCAGUCCCAUGUUUAUAAGAUUCAAUAAUUAGUUUCAGGAAGUGCUCCAGGACAUACAUUUACUUGUAUAAUUUGGCUUCUACAUUAUUUAUAGAUGAACAACUUUGAUCUGUUCGGUUGUCGUAGAUUCAAAACAUUGUUUUAUAUUUAGCAAAUGUGAAUUGUUAUACAGAUCAAUUACAAUGUCUCAUUAAAACCUAAAUGAUGUUUCAGCCAUCCAAGGCAACCCAAAUUAAAAAACCUAUGACUGAGAAUUUUGUUAAAAUUAAGAAAAUGUGGCUUCUCGACAUAUAUUUGAUUGUUUCUUCAAUGUUUAUUCGAGUUCGAGUUCUCACUUCCACUCCGUAUUUCUAUUCCUCCCAUCACCUAUUUCUCUUUCCCGACCCCUUCUCUUCUCUUUUCUCCUUUUCUUCUUUUUCUUCUUUCUCUUCUUUCUCUCCGUUCUCUUCCAAAAUUCUCCUUUUUUUUUUUUGUAUGACUUGCCAACCAAGUCACUAAAAUUUCUUUAAAGAGUUUUCAUAAUCAGUAACCCUUUAGCAUAAAAUAGUAAGAAUAUAGCUUUUAAAACAAUAUGCAAACAUAGCAAAUUUUUUAUUUCUCUUUGUAUAUUUCUAAAAUACCCUAGAAGUGAAUAUUAUCACUUUCACGAUUCUCUCAAUCGUCUUCUUUAUUUUCCAUUCACGAUUUUUUCUGCCUCCAACCAAUUGAUUUUAUGUCUUUGCCUCCAAGUAGUUCGAUCGCCAUAGCCUCCAAUCGACCAUUAAUUUUUUGUUUGCUUCUCCUUUGCUUGGUCAGGAUUACGGUCUUGGUAUCAAUUUUUUUUUUAAAUUUUGUGGUAUGUGAUCAAAUUUCAUUGAAGUUUUUUUUUUUUUAGAUUUGUUCCUUAGUUUUCUAAUUCAAUCUUUGUUCAUCAUCUCAAAUUGAACUUCUUUUCACAAAUUUUCCAUUGACUUUAUCUUAUUUACACAAUAUGAUUUAAUUUCAUCUAUGUUUGUAAGCUUAAAUUCUAUUUAAUUGUUAUCUUAUUUACACUAAGAUAGCACAUCAAUCCAACCAACUAAACCUUAACAGUCUAUUCGUAAUAGAAACAUAGUGUUGUUUCCCCUUUUCUUUUUCUUUUAAAACAAAAUGACCUUUACCAAAUUCAUUUUUCCAAUUUCUUUCUAUUUCUACCUUGUUCUGAAUUCUCUUCCAAGAGAGACACUCCAUGAUAUACUUGAAGCUAAAAAGUGAAUUUUACAACCUAGUUUUUAUUUUAUUUUAUGCAUAUUAUUUCACUCAGAUUACAUAAAUAUAGAAGUAUCGUAAAUUUGUUGAUUUUGUUGAAAAAUAUUUUUUUUCCCUUCAUAUAAUAUAAUAGAUGAAGUUUUAAAAUUAAUAUGUCGAUGAGUAUCAAGUGAUAGAAAACAUGUGUAAUUAAAUAAUUCGAAAAAGUUAAAACAAAUAAAAAUAUGCAACAAAAAAGGAACUUGUUUAGAUUACAAAAAAUUUCAUCAUAUACUCAUGAGAAAAAGAAAAAAAUCAAUUCAAUUCAACACCUUAAACACAAAUUUAUUCGACUUAACCUAACUAAUCACUAGUUCGUAGGUUAAACUAGUUAAGUCAGGAUAAAUGUAGAUUUUCUUAAAAUAUAUCAAUAAUUAUUUAUAAUUUAACACAAGUUUGUGCACGAAAUGCAUAGUAACUUCUAAGAACUAAGUGAUUCAAUAGAAAGCGUUUAUUUUAUUUAAAACAUUUAAAAUUGUAGUGUUUACAAUGUUGGUUUUGUCCAAAUACAAUAGAAAUGAAAAUAAAGAAAUAGAAUAUAUUAAUGAGGGGGAAGGGAUGGAUGAAGAGGAAGCGAAAGUCAGGGUGGGAAUGGUAGUCAACUUCUAUCAUUUAAUAGCAUUUGUAGUUAGGAGAGGAGAGAGUGAUAUGGGCAUUUGUUUUUGGUUCAAAAGAAGAGUAAUUAGGAGAGACGAGUAUGGGUGUGGAUGAUGACACUGACAUCCAAAAAGAUCAAAGGGAGAUGUUCGAAUCUACUAAAGUUGUCGUAAAUGCUUUCCAGCGACUGUGAGUAAGAUGCCCCGAGAUCCGCGUAAGAAGAGAAGCUUUUUAUGAGCGCCGACACAUGGAUUUUCACACAAACCCUUCCCCACAAAACGUGAAUGUAGCAUUCAAAUCAACGCGCUAUCUCCCCAACCCCCUGCCUUUAAAGUUCCUUUCCCUCACCUUCCAACUGGACUCUUCAUUUACUUCACCGAUUUUUGUUUUAAUUUUGCUUCAUCAUCCCAUACAUACUGGCCAGGCCAAAGGCAGCUCAAUAAUUCCUAUCUUAAUGGCCAAAUUAACUACACAAACCCUUCAGUUUUGCUGCCUCUUGAUCCUUUUGUUUCCCAUGCUGCUUCCGGCCAGCUCUCCACCGGAUCUUGUGCAGACAGAGUGCUUGAGCGUACCCUCCUCCCAGUUCUCCAACUCACUCCUCUCCACCAUCGAUGUUGUACGACAGGUUAUGGCCAUUUUCUCUCCGUUCAGUAAAUUACUGGGAGACUUCCGGCUUUCCACCGCCAUUUCCGACUGUCUCGAUUUGCUUGACUCCUCUGCUGACCAGUUGAGCUGGUCCCUCUCCGCCACCCAGAAUCCCAAGGGUACACCAUUAUUUACAAUACCCCACCCCCACCGCAUUCUUAUAAAUUUGCAUAUUAACUCUCUACCCCCUAAGCCUAUUCAUUUAUAUGUUGCGCUUUCAAACUUUGCUUUAAUAUGUGUUGUUGGUUAGUUCACGGGGAUAUUGUCGGUUGUGCUGCUGCUGGACCUACUAGUUACUUUUAUAAAUUGCGCAUGCAAAUGCAACUACACUAGAAAUUCAACAUAUUUACAAAUUAAACAUCCUCCUGCUUACAUUAUUUCAGCUAAAAACCAUAGCACGGGAGAUCUGAGUUCUGAUCUGAAGACAUGGCUGAGCGCUGCAGUGGUUAAUCCGGAAACAUGCAUGGAUGGAUUUGAGGGCACCAAUAGCAUUAUCAAAGGUCUAGUAUCUGGAGGCGUUAACCAGUUAACUUCACAGCUCUAUGACCUUCUUUCCAUGGUGAAAUCAAUCCCCAAUCAACCGAGCGAGUUUCCUUCAUGGCUGAAAUCUGAGGACCAGAACUUGCUGCAAAUAAAUGACUUGGCCGCCGAUGCCACAGUGGCCGCCGACGGGACUGGGGAUUUCACCAAUGUGAUGGAUGCGGUACUAGCAGCCCCUGACAAUAGCAUACGACGUUAUGUCAUAUACAUAAAGAAGGGUGUGUACUUGGAGAACGUGGAGAUCAAGAAGAAGAAGUGGAAUCUCAUGAUGAUUGGGGAUGGAAUAGAUGCCACCAUCAUAUCGGGUAACCGCAGUUUUAUUGACGGUUGGACAACAUUCCGAUCAGCGACCUUCGGUAAUUUUCCCUUUCAUUAUAAUAAUUUCUGAGGACAAAACAAAACAGAGAAAUGAAGAAGAAGUGGUUAUUAAUUAAUUUGCAAAUGAUUUGCAGCUGUAAGUGGAAGAGGAUUCAUAGCGCGAGACAUAACAUUCGAGAAUACUGCAGGAGCAGAGAAACAUCAAGCAGUGGCACUUAGAUCGGACUCCGAUCUGUCGGUGUUUUUUAGAUGUCGAAUUAGAGGCUACCAAGACACGCUGUAUACGCACACCAUGCGCCAAUUUUACCGCGAGUGCCAAAUCAGUGGGACCGUUGAUUUUCUUUUCGGCGAUGCCACCGUCGUUUUUCAAAACUGCAGCAUCCUGGCGAAGAAGGGUCUUCCCAACCAGAAAAACACCAUCACUGCUCAGGGCCGGAAAGACCCAAACCAACCCACCGGUUUCUCCAUUCAAUUCUGCAACAUAUCUGCGGAUUCAGACCUUAAACCCUCGGUUAACACUACUGCUACGUACCUUGGAAGACCAUGGAAGGAAUAUUCCAGAACCAUUAUCAUGCAAUCAUACAUCAGCGAUGCCAUUAGGCCAGAAGGUUGGCUUGAGUGGAACGCCAAUUUUGCAUUGAAUACACUAUUCUACGCUGAGUUUAUGAAUUACGGACCGGGGGCGGGAUUGGCCAAGCGUGUCAAUUGGCCCGGUUACCACCGACUGAAUCAAACCAGUGAAGCUACUAACUUCACCGUGGCUCAAUUCAUUGAAGGAAACCUGUGGCUGCCGUCCACGGGUGUCAAAUACACUGCAGGACUGGGAGCUAAUUAGUAAAUCAACAAUAUGUGGUGCAUUGAUGCUCCCUCCUAUAUAUCUCACUUUCAAAAUAUACAUAAAAAUGAAUUAAAACAUUAAAAAAAAAAAUCCCUUGCCGUAGUUUAGAUGAUACAAUUCGGUGGACCCAGAAAGUUAAGUGCCUCUAGAUAUUUUUGGUGUUGUAAUUAAAGCAAACCCCCUAAAUUCCCCUCGAGUCUUCAGUUCUGUGUGUGCCACCGUGGUGCACUUGCCAUAUGCUUUUGUGUGACCAUUUAUCUCUUCACUUUGACCUUCAUUUUGUAACAUGUUGUUCUAGUGCUUUUGGUCGCAAUUGUCCAUUGUUUUCUGCCCCUCUUUUCAUUACCAUCGUAUUAUUGUUUGAUGUUUGUUUAAUUGUCAUAUUGCUCUUCGUCUCUGUCUUUCAUCUAUUAUAUAUAUGUUGUGGUUUUUCUUGCCUUCGUGGUCUUUAUUAUAUCGUUCAUGUUGAUAUCACCAUGCAGCAACUUUGCUCAUCUUUCAUUAUUGUGUCAUCAUUUGUUAAAAUCAUCAAUAUGAAUGUUGGUUAAAAAAAUAGAUUUGAAGAGGUAAUAUCUAGUAAAAUUUUAAUAGUUAUUAGUUUCGAUAUAAUAGUACUUAACCUAAUCAGUAAAUUAAUAACUACUUUUUAGUACCAUGACGACAUUGCCGGUAUGACCAUAACUCAAAUCUUAACUAACAUCAAGCAUCUACAUAUAGUAGAUGGCGUUAAAUGUAUCAAUUUGAGAUUAAAAGUUUCAACCUCUCGUCAAAGGAAAAAAAAUGUAUUCAAAUUUUAGUUUUAAGUUACUAAAAUUUUAAAUAGAAUAAAAGUGGUGGUUGUUUGAAGAAUCCACAUUUGGCUCCUCGAAAUUCUGCUGUUGAUGUAAAAAAAUGAAAGCUUUUUACUGCAAUCACUGGGUAUCGAUGGUCUAAGAUUUCAUGCAAAGACCAGCUUCACGAAGACAGAAUCUGGAAGAUGAAAGAAGAUCGACGGAGGGGAAGAAGAUAUUGUAGAAAGAAUAUUGCAAAGAGAUCUACAAAUGAGAAGAAUAUGAAGAAGAUCGAGAAGCAUUGAGAAUCGAGGAGAUGAAAGAGAGAAUUGAGAGGAGUCCUUUGCUACUUUUACAUUUUUAUGAUGAUGUAAGCGAAAAACCUAGAACUUACAUUUUAGAAAAGUAGGUCAAUUUCACUUGGGUAUUUCAAAUUAGGUCAUCUGUGAAAAGGAUAACCUAAGCAUGCAUUGCAUAAACAACCCAAGUUUAAACCUUCGAUUUUGCCUGUAGCUCCGCAAAUCUUCAAAAAACCGAGUAGCAUACCCAGUUUUUCGGUAAACCCUAGCGAGUUGGUUUUCUUCGAUUUCCUCCACUCUCAUGGUUCUGUUGCUUUCUUGCAUAAUUCUCAAUUGCAAAUCUAAUUAUAAGCAAAGUAAAAAGAAUAUUACAAAAAUAAUAUCCCAAAUAUAUUCUAAUUACAACAAUACCCUCCUCAAACUCAAGGUUCUAAUCACGAACUUGAGUUUGCUAAUAACUUGAUAAAACAAAUCCACGAAUGACUUAUGGGAUAGUAAUGUAGGUUAUCGUAUAGAAAUCUAUAAUAUAACCUACAAAGAACAAAGCAAGAACUCAGCAAGAACAACUCCUAAAACUUGAUAGAGAGAUAGUGGAACGAAAAGUAAUGCAUGAGGUAAAGGUUGGUUGGAUUUGGAGCGGAGGACGAGCUGAACGGAUCUUUAAAGUAAAUCAAAACCAAAGCAGGUGGAAACGAGGCAGAUAUGUGGGACAAAGCAGACGAAACCUAGAGGUGAAUAGAACAAAAAUCGAACUGAUUGGAGUUGAGAGGCUGAGUGGAUCCGAAUGAAAACCGGAUCAGGGCAUAAUUGGAUCUAAGCUUCGAUCUAAACUUGAAGUGUUGAAGAGCUGCCAAAGACACUAAGCGAGAAGAGGAGGAAGAUAAGCAUUUCAGGUUUAACUUGUUAAGUGUUGUGAGUGUUUUCUUUAAAUGUUUAAAUGAUGAUUUCCAGUGCCUUGUUCAUUCUUGUUGAUUUGAAAUAGUGAUUUAGUAGAUUCGGCCUCGUGUUGAGGACAUUUCCCCGACAUUGGGAUAAACGAGCCGGCUUUCUCCGAUGUCGAGGACAUUUCAAAUAAUUUCCAAGCGUCAGGAUUAAGGUGUCGAGAAAAUAACAUUUCCCGACGUCGUGAAGAGGACAUCACCAAUUGAGAUUUUUGUCGACGCCAAGCAUCAGCGGGUUGGGAAAAGUUAAAACUAUUUAAAUUUAGAGCAAUUAUGAUGCAUACCUAUAUGUGACAUCAACAAUUGCUCCACAAAUGCCGACGUUGGCAUUGACCACGUUUGCAAAGGUUCAACCUUUAAGUAAUUUUUAUAACUUUUUCUGACGUCAAAAGUGACUACUCGAGAUUGGCCUACUUUUUGCCGACGUAGGAUCUAACAAUGUUGGGGGAAAGUGCGACGUUUAAAAAUUUUGAAAAGUUUUUUCGACGCCAUGAGUGUCAACGUCAGGAUCAGUGGAAAAUGUCGACGUUGUCAAUUAUGGCAUCGUAAAUAGAAUGGUUCUCGCAACGUACUCAUGUUGCGUCAUGAGAACCCAUUAUUAUAAAAUAUUAUGUUUUCACAUAACACAGAACACACAAGAGAACGUAAAAUGAAAGAGAGAAGAGGGAGUGUAGUCCUUGCUCGAUGUCGUCAUCGUUUGCAGCCCGCCGUCCUCCUUUCGUCGUCAAGUUACUUAGUCGUCUCUAUUUCGGUAAAGAGUUGUAUUUAUUUAUUUAUUCUAAAUAAAUGUAUAUUGUUUUCGGUUGUAUGUAUAUUGUUUUAAGUUGUAUGUAUAUUGUAUAUCGUGAAUUGUAGAUUGUAUAUUGUAUAUAUUGAAAUUGUUGAAUGUUUUUUAACUAAAAUUUAUAUGAGUUGUUUAGAUUUUAUAUUGUAUGUAUGUUUGAUAUUUAAUCUUGUGUCAUUGUAGGUUGGGAGGCAUGGGAGAACUGACGUCCACGUGUUUAGAAUUAUGUUUUCAAGUUUUAGUUUUAAGUUUUCAUGUAAUUUCUAAACUAAAACACGUGUAUUUUUUUUUAAUAUUUGAAUUAAUAUGAAUAUAGAUUCGAUUUUGGUAUGUUUUUCAUCUUAUGUUAAUAUUGUUUUUAAAAAUUGAUUGAAUUUAUAAAUCGAAUUCGUUCUCAAUACCAUAUAUAUAUAUAUAUAAUAAAUUAAAAAAAGUUAUAAACAGGUUUUUCUGACGCACAAAACGCAUCGAGCAUGGACCCUAUACCGACGUCAUGUUGGCUUUUCCCUUCCUCGACGUACAAGACGACGUCGAUGUAGGUAUUGUCGACAUCUGGUCAACAGGUCGAAAGAGCGAAGCAUGCAUUGACAAAAUCUUUUGCCGACGUCAUGUUGUUCGUGCGUCAGUAUAGCCUAUCCCAACACGGUAAUGCCGACGUGGUUUUCUGCGUCGAGAUAGCCUAUUCAGAUGCAUUUUGUGAUUUAUGCCGACACACACAUGAGUCGGUAGAACUCCCCUUUCUUGUAGUGUUUGUUAAAGUCUCUGAAUCUCACAAUUUUCUCGAGAUCACGAAUACACCAAAAAAAUAACUUCUGAAUAAGUGAGGUAUUGGUUGUGAGAACUAAUCUUAAUUUUUGGGAUUAAGGCAUAUUAGGAAUAACGAGUAACACGAGGAGAAGGUUAUGUAUCAAAUAAUUCCUAUGCGGGAGUUAUUUAAAAUUUAAUUUCACAACUAAAUUAUUAAUAAGUAAUUAUUUUAUUAUUUAUUUUAUUUAGAGGCAUUUGUAGAAUUAUAAAAAAAAUACAAACUAUUUACUAUUUUAUAAAUAAAUAAAAAACUAAUAAAAGACAAAAGUGCAUGAUCUAACAUAAUUAGGAACAAUUUUAAAAAUAAUAAUCAAGUAUAUAACAAUUUUUUUUUUUGCAAAUAUAACAAAAUCGAAAUGUGAUAAGCCUCUAUCGGUAAUAGACUCUUAUGGUCUAUCAUUGAUAAAUCAAUAUUUAUUUUGACAGGUUCUGCUAUAUUUGUAAAUUUUUAAAAAUGUCGUUCUAUGCUCAAUUGUUUUGAAUCUAAUUACCAUAUUUGCAACUAUACAUUUUUUUGUUGUAAAUAGUUGGCUUAUUUUUCUUUUUUGGACAAGUCCCCUUUAAUUUAUUUAAUAAUUAAUUAAUUCAAUUCAAUUUAAUUCAAUUAAUAGUUUCAUUUAGAUCAUAUUUAAAUGAACACAUAGUCCACGUAACCUAUACCUUUAAUUCAGCUAAUUUAAUUAAAUCAAAUCAAAUUAUAUCUAAUUAAAUAUCAUAGGUUUAAUUUAACGUAAUCUAUAUAUGAAUCAUAUUCAAUCAUAUUUCUCUCAUAAUCUAUAGCAUUUAUGUGUAUCUAAUACACACAAAUUUUAACUUAUAGUUUUAAUUUGAAUUUAAUUUAUAUUAAAUUAAUAUUUAAAUUCUUCAAAUAUUUAAUUUAAUUAAAAUAUAAAAUUGAUAUUAUAAUGUAUAUCAGUCUUAAUCUAAGUAAAAUUGAACAUUUCAAAUUCUAAAACAUAAUAGCCUCGCUACCCUCUACUAGCUGCUGAGGAGAUCUAAUAAACCUAUAGAUCACAAAUUUCAGUUUAAUUCGCUAAAACUCAUUAACCACAUUAAUCAAUACUCGUUAAUUAUGUGUACACGUAACUAAACAUUCAUAGUUUUACUCUUCUCCUUGUAUAUAUUAGUUUAUGUAUCCAUUAAUAUAGACUAAUAGCCAAUUAGUCAUUCAUGAGUGUUUGUAACAUCAGUUGAGUCAAAUUAUCAUUUUACUCUUAUAUUAAUUCAAAUCAUUAAACAUAAAACCAUCUCGAGCUAGUGAGAGGGUAAGACCCUUUGUUCGUUUCAAGUCAUUGUUUAAGGGAACACUCAUCUACUUAUCAUAAAGUUGUAAAUAAAUGGUAGGCUUAUUGAGUCAACGAACUAGUCAAUCUCACCCAUACAAAUCAAACGAAAAUCACUCGUGAAUAGAAAUACAUAAUACACUCGGAAUUAAGACUAAGUUAUCUAUGUCAUUCUAUUGAAAUAGAAACUCAACUAGUAAACAUAAUUACACCUAGUGAUUACUAUUUUCAUGGUUGGAUUAGGUUGUAAAACCACCUAAAACCAAAGCAAGUAAAAUAAUUAUAAAAUUGAUUUUUGAUUCUGCAUUUAAAGUUGAAUUACAAGGAGUUAGAACAAAAAUAACUUAACUCAAGCCAGCAUAAAAACACAUGAGAGCCAAAUUAUCUUAUCAAGAGGGAAAACGAAGAUAAACGAUUUUUAUCAUUUAAGAGCCUCUUGUAACUUUUCAUACCCCGCAUUGUCCCAAAACAACUGUUCUAAAAACAAUCCCAAUCUUUACCCCUCUCACCAAAACAGACUUAGUUUUCCAAAAAUCUUCCUUACAAAUUAAUCCCAGCAAAUCUCUAACUCUCAUCAAAGUUAUGGGUGUUCAAAUCAUCCGAAUAUCAAUCUAGACCAGCAGCCUUGACCAACGCCGCCGCUCGUGCCUUCGUAGCCAGUAAGCUCUAUCUCUGAUUCAAGGGGUUUUCUUACUCUCUCUACCGGUUAGGAGCAGUGCGUAGGAGUUUUGGUGAGUUUAAUGUGAGUUCUUUGGUUCUUCUCACACCAUAACCCAUUUGGCUUAAAUUUAACUUACCCACGUUGUUUUGAUCUUAGAUUCUUGAGUUUGCAGGAGUCUAAUGUGCUAUCCAGCAAGACAUUAAGAUUUUUGGGGUACGUUUCGAUGGGUAUUUACCCUCCGAUCUUCUCUUGGAGAUACUUUCAUGGCUUGAAUUGGUACUGAAUUCAGUUUUGGUUAGAACAUUGAUCGAGGUUCCGUAAGGAGAAGAGAAUUGUUAUUGGUGGAUAUUGGGAUUGGAUUCGAGGUAAGGGACCUUGCCCUUGGAAUGCUUUAAGGGCAAGUUUGGGUGUUACCACCGACUGUAUAUCUUACGUGAAUUCUUGUGCCAGUCUUAGACCAUGAAAGUCAUGUUUUUUAAAUGUCAUGAAUUUCAAUGCAAUGUUUUAUGACUUAUGAGUGCCAUUUCUGAAAUUUAUCCAUAAUUGAUUAAGCCAUGAAAUGUGAAUAGUAUAAUAUGUGAAGCUCGUGAAUGUUAUGUUAUGUACGUCAUGCAUGUGAAGUUUGAUGUAUAUGGCUGCAAGGCUUGUUAUAUUGCACAGGACCUCAUGCACGUGUGAAUGCUUGUCAAAGUCAUGAAAGCGUUCAAUGGUUUCCUUCCCUUUUAUUGAACAAUUUAACUGCAUGGAAGGUGCGUGUCCAAGGGCUCCAGUGCAUGAAAACGAUGUUCUAGAGUCGAUACACAUGGACGUGAUACAUACCUAACGGGGCUUGCUAUGAAGCACAAAAUACUUCACGUUAGGUAGAGAAUUGGUGUCGGAUGUCAGUAUUAGAUACUGAUAGAUGUGGCAUAUCUGUUUUCUUAAAAUUAUUUUGUUUAAAUAUAAGAUACUCAUGCCUACUUCUAGAUACGUAUAGUGGACACGCUGGACCUUACCAAAAAAUAUAUAAAAAAAGCUCAUUUAAUUUUUCCUAAUCUGAGACUAAGUAGUCUAUCUAAAAAGCUCACUGCCUGAACGAAAAAUUAAAAAAUUAAAAGAAAAAAACCAGAAUCAUCUCAUUUUCAUCUUCAUGUCAGGGUCCCCACAAAGUCAAGCAUAAAUAACCUAUUGAAUAUCUUCAACAGUUCAACGAAAAAGUCCCUCGUUGUUCUCCCUCAAGUCUUCUUCUCUGAUCAGUCCAUACUCUGGUGCACCACCAACCUUUUUAUUGUAUUCUAAUGACUAUUGUAUUUCAGUAUUUUUUAUGUUGCUUUUUGUAUUUAAUUCUAGUGUUUGUAUUGUAUUUUUUGAUAGAAUCAACAACUUUCAUUGAGAAAAAGAACAUGAAAAAUACAAGGGCUUAAAAGAAAAGAAAAGAAAAUAAGAAUCCACAAAACAUCCCCUCUAAAGAAACAUAUUCCAACUAAAAAAGAUGUUACCUAGAGCACUGUAGAUUGUACUAUUGCCAUUAACUUAACAAUAUUAUUGUAUUGUUGAUUGUAAUAUUGUCAUUAAUUUGACAUUUUUUAAAUAUAUUUUUAGUGGAUUAAAUCUAGUAUUUUUAUGUUAAAUUUACAUGUUUGAACACACACAUUCUUAUCCUAGUUUUUUAGGGCCUCGCGUUUCACCAUAUCCUAUAGUAUUCGUAUGCUAUAUCCAUGUUUGUGCUUCAUAGGAAGUUUUGAGUAUAUGAAAUGAUACACGCCACGCCCAAUGUGCAGUGGGUUAUGUGUUUGAAAGUGAUGUAGACAGACUGUGUACAAAAGUGAUGAACAACCCAACUUAUGAAAGGGAAGAAGUGGAAAACAUAGAAAGAAAGUUUAGUCCCACAAUGAUUACUUAAGAAUAGUCUCGAUGCACGUGUGUUUGCAUUUUCUUACCCUAGUUGUGGGGUUUCAUACUGAGUAUUUUUUAGUACUCACCCUUCCAGAGAAAUAUUUUAGAUAAGAACAAGUUGACUUAGGCGGAUGGCCAUGGGUGACUGCAAGGUCCAGUUACAUUUUAGUUAACUUAUUUGUAUCACUCCUUUAAGUCUUAUGUUAUGUUUUUACUUUAAGUUUUUGUUAUUUGUUUUCUAAACUUUGGGAUCCCAAACUGAACGUUGUUAUGGAAUGGAUUAUGAACUUAACACAUCUUUCAUGUUUUUAUUUGAAUAAAAGUUCGGUGAGUCUUCUAGUUUUGUCCAGUGCUGUCGUAUUGGUUGCAUGCAUGAGUCAUGACCCUUGUUAACAAUUUUGAAUAGUCGGGUCCUUGCAAUCAUGCAUUAUGUGGUUCUGUAUUGUACAUCAUCCUCUUGCUGAUGCCGAAGUCAUACACAGGGGCUUGAGGCUUGUUCACAGAGCCCUACGACAGGCAUGGGCCGACAUAUGGAGUGGGCAGGGCGAAUGGGCUACAUGUGGGGAAUCCCAAGGAAAAUGUUGUUCGUGGCAGUGGGUGCUUUUGCCAAGGCUGUGGCAAAUGUUCUAAACACCACUACUGUCCACAACGCCGAUACUCUCAUUCGACUUGUCCAACACCGGCCUCCCGGAGUGCCCCUCGUCACUGUUAGCAAUCAUAUGUCCACGUUUGUCUCUUUCCCUUGUUUUUUGGCGUUGUUUCCAUUAGCUUCUAAGCUUCUCAGUUUGUCGCAAUCCACCUCCCACGUUAACUUGGCUGGGUUUCACUCUCUGUAUCUUUGUGUAAUUUCUAAGUUGAUGUUGCUUUUGUGGAUACAACAGGAUAGACGAUCCAGUCAUGUGGGGCUUCAAAGGUUUUCCGACCUCUGAUGCAACAUUAGGUAGGUGGGUGUUGGCAGCAGAGGAUAUUUGCUUUAAGAACGUUGUGCUAUCUUAUUUAUUCCGAUUAGGUAAGAGACAUCUACUCUAUGUUACUUCAUUGUUACUGUUUUCUUUUUGGUUUUAUCUUCCAUUAGUAGGAGUUGGUUAGUGAAAGGUGAUUACAAAGCAGUGUUAAUUCAGAUGCACAGAAAAUUUCCAAUAGCAUAGUUGUCAUUAGUGGGAGUUGGGAUAUCAUCAUGACUCAUGAGAAAAGAAAUAUCAAAGUAACAUUGAAACAGUAUUAUGAUAUCAAAGACAAUGAAUCUGGAACACUUUAAUUUGUUAAGGAUUCCAUAUUGGAAAAAUCAAGGGACCUCAUAAUUGUUAAGAUACUAUGCCCUAAUAUCUUGAUAGACCCCUAUCAUACAUCAAUACAGUAGAAGAGGAAAGAAAGCUUCAACAUGUGUGGGAGGGGAUACAAACACGGAGGUGGUAAAUAAUAAAUAGGACUGGUUAGGAGCAAGUAUAAAUAGUUUUUUAACUGAGAGGGAAAGGCAUUUAGUAUUUUCAAAUGACAGUUGUACUCUGUUUCUGUUAGGAUACUAACAAUAAUUUAGACUGAAAGGACUGUAUAAAUGGCUUAAACAGAGGCGGUACUCUGGUUUACUUUAUUUAUAUAUAAAGCCAAAUGAUCCAGAUUCACAAGAUGAAAAGAAAUAACAAGAAACAACAAGGAAAAAUGCAGAAAAGAUCAUACCAGCCUCUUGGUUUUAAGAGACCCUGGUGGCUGCUGUAGCCCUACCUCCUAAAAGUUAAAAAUACCCUAGCUACUCCAACCUAAUAAUCCUAUUUAUAGACUCACAUAUUCCUCAGCCCAGUGGGCCCUACCACUCAGAACGUCCUUCCAAUCAUUUCUCCAUAAUAAUUCCCUGUGCAGUUACUUUUCUACCCUUCCUCCUAUAAGUAUGGAUAAUUGGGGGUCUUACAAUACCCCUCGGUUCCAAGUUCACCUUGUCCUCAAGGUGGAAGGUGGGAAACUGUUGAUUCAUUUGGUACACUGCUUCCCAGGUAGCCUCGUUCUCCGGUAGUUCUUUCCAUUUCACCAACCACUCGUUGGCCCCCAAGUCCUUAUUCCAUCGAAUGCCCAGUACGGUUUCUGGUUGUAGCUGUAGUUCAAACUCUUCCGUUAGUACUGGUUGUUGGAUUUGUACUACAUGUGUUUUUCCCAAUUUCAGUUUCAGUUGGGAAAUAUGGAAGACGUCAUGAAUGGAAGCUUCGGGCGGUAACUGCAGCCUAUACGCCACUUCUCCAAUUUCUUCAAUUAUGCGGUAAGGUCCAUAGAAUUUAGGGGCCAACUUCUCCGACCUCUUUCGUGCUAGAGAAUGUUGCCUAUAGGGUCGAAGCUUGAGAUAUACCUCAUCUCCCACCUUGAACUUAAGUUCCCUCCUCUUAGAGUCUGCCAUUUUCUUCAUUCGGUUCUGCGCCACGUUCAGGUUCUCCUUUAGAGCAAUCAGUGCUAAAUCCCUCUCUUUCAGCAUUAGUUCCACCUCAUUGUGAGGAGUCUUGUGAUUGCCGUAUGAUAGCAGCGGAGGAGGUGAUCGUCCAUAUACAAUCUGGAAGGGAUUUGAUCUUGAGGAGGCAUGGAAAGUUGUAUUAUACCAUAGUUCUGCCCAGGGAAUGAACUUAUUCCACUUUGUCGGCUGCUCAUUACAAAAACACCUCAGAUAAGUUUCUACACAACGGUUUACUCUUUCAGUUUGUCCGUCCGUUUGAGGGUGGAAUGCCGUACUUCUUUUUAGAAGGGUUCCCAUGCUAGCAAAUAUUUCUUUCCAAAAGUUGCUUAUGAAAAUUUUAUCCCUAUCGGAAAUGAUUGACUUAGGUAUUCCAUGUCUACUCACUACCCGGUCAAUAAACACUUCAGCCACUUGCCUUGCAUUGAAAGGAUGCCUCAUGGUGAUAAAAUAGGAGUAUUUGCUCAGCCUGUCCACAAUUACCAUUAUUACAUUCAUACCUCCUGCUUUAGGUAGCCCUUCAAUGAAGUCCAUGGACCAGUCUUCCAAGAUUCUUUCUGGAAUUGGAAUUGGCUGCAGAACUCCAGCUGGUUUAGUUGCUUCCAACUUAUUUCUCUGGCAAACCUCGCAUUCUUGCACAUAUUUUUUUACAUCCGCCUUCAUACCCUUCCAAUACAAUUCCCCACACAUCCUUUUAUACGUCCUUAAGAACCCGGAAUGGCCUCCCAAAAUGGAGUCAUGAAAUGUAUGUAGUAAGGUGGGGAUCAGAGUGGAUUCUUUUGACAACACAAUCCGCUUCUUAUACCAUAGGUUUCCAUUCACCCAUUGGAAUUUACUAGGCUCAUCAGGAUUCUGUUUUAAUUCUUCAAUGAUUGCCUUAAGCUCUUCAUCUAACUCAACCUCUUUCUCUACCACCUCCAUGUUGACAAUACCCGUGGUGGACAUAUUCUUCAUUUCCACUGGUUGUUCUAUUCGGGAGAGGGCAUCGGCUGCUUUGUUUUGUAGUCCGGGUUGGUAAAGUAUUUCGAAGUCAUACCCGAGGAGUUUAGUCAGCCACUUCUGGAAUUGGGGUUGCACUUCCCUUUGCUCUAAAAGGAACUUGAGGGCCCUCUGAUCUGAGAUGAUUGUAAACUUCCUUCCCAAGAGGUAAUGUCUCCACUUCUGUACUGACAGAACCACAGCCAUCAAUUCCCUCUCAUAUAUGGACUUGGUUUUUGCUCGGUUUGAUAGUUUUUGACUGAAAAAAGCUAUGGGAUGGCCAUUUUGAGAUAGAACUGCCCCUAAAGCAAUCCCCGACGCAUCUGUUUCAAUGAUGAAAGGCAGGUUCCAAUCCGGUAGAGCUAGUACGGGUAGGGUUGUCAUGGCUAAUUUCAGCUUAUCAAACGCCUCUGUUGCUUCUUCCCCCCAUAGGAAUGAGUUCUUUUGUAAUAAUUUGGUCAGCGGUUCUGCCAUCUCCCCAUACCCUUUGACGAAUCUUCUGUAGUAACCUGUCAACCCUAAGAACCCCCUCAAUCCGGUUACAUCUUUGGGUUGGGGCCAAUUUACCAUGUCCUUGAUCUUGUCUCCAUCAGCUUCAACCCCUCUACUGGAUAUUAAAUGCCCCAAAUACUGAAUCUGUGAAUGGGCUAUUACGCAUUUUUUUUUGUUAGCAACUAACUGGUUAUCCCGCAUUACUGCAAAAACCAUGGCCAAAUGCUUUUCGUGUUCUGUGAGAUUCGUGCUGUAUAUCAAUAUAUCAUCAAAAAAUACCAGUACACAUCUCCUGAGGAAGGGUUUAAAGACCAGAUUCAUUAAAGAUUGGAAAGUAGCUGGUGCGUUAGUGAGGCCGAACGGCAUGACCAGAAACUCGUAGUGUCCUUCAUGGGUUCUGAAUGCUGUCUUUUCCACAUCCUCCUCCUUCAUCCGUAUCUGAUGAUAUCCAGAUUUGAGAUCCAGUUUUGAAAAAACAGUGGCCCCAUGCAGUUCGUCUAGCAAUUCCUCUAUCACGGGUAUUGGAAAUUUAUCCGAUAUGGUUACUUGAUUUAAUUUUCUGUAAUCAACACAGAAUCUCCACCCUCCGUCUUUCUUUCUUACCAGCAACACAGGACUCGAGUAAGGGCUGUGACUGGGUCGUAUUAUCCCAACUUGGAGCAUUUCAGAUAUUAACUUCUCGAUUUCUUCUUUUUGUGUGUGGCCAUAUUUGUAAGGUCUCACAUUGAUAGGUUUCUGGCCGGUUACCAGCAAAAUACGAUGGUCACACUCCCUUUUUGGUGGUAAUCCCUUCGGUUCUUCGAAUAAAUCCGUGUACUGCUGGAGUAAGACUUGAAUCAUUGGAGAUUCUUCCUCAUCCCCCUUUACUCUCUGUACUUCAUCCAAUUCCCCAUCUUCCUCUGCCUCAUAGUUCUGCAUUUCGAGUAAGAAGCCUUGGUCGUCCUCUUCCCAUGUUUUUUCAAUAGUUUUCAGAGAGCACUCUGCCCUAAUAAGUGAAGGAUCUCCUUUUAAGAUAAACUGUUUUUUUCCCAUCCGAAAUGUCAUGGUCAAGGAUGGCCAGUGUAUCUUCAUGGUUCCCGUUGUGUUUAACCAUUGCAUCCCUAGAAUCACAUCUACACUCCCCAGUUCAAUUGCUAAAAAAUCAGCCACGAUUGUGAUCUCUUUAAGUUUUAGUUCUAACCUGUUACACACGCCUCUUCCUUGGCAUCUUGUACCAUCUCCGAUAGUGACUCCAAACGGAGUAUGAUUCUCUAACUCCAGUCCCACUUCCUCCACAAUUUUGUUGUGUAUGAAAUUGUGGGUGGCCCCACUGUCAAUCAGUAUCAAUACUUCUUUCCCUUUAAUUUCGCCUUUGAUCUUCAUCGUUCCUUUACUUGUUAGGCCAUGUAUUGCCUUUAACUCAAUUUCGGUUCCCUCCUCCAGUGUAAGCUGAUUCAACUCUAAUACUUCUUCAUUAGUUUCCUCUGUUCUGUCUUCGUCUUCCAGACUUUCUUCUUCAUUCAUGAUAAACAGCAUCAGCUCUCUUUUGUCCUUCAUUUUGCAUCGAUGUCCAGGGGAGUACCUUUCAUUGCAUUUAAAACACAGACCCUUGUCAAGUCGUGCUCUGAAUUCCGCAUCCGAUAAGCGUUUCACUGGUGGUUCACUCUUCUGGUAGUUGCCUUUAAUGGGAAUUGUCACCUGUUUCAAAGGAAACUCUGUUUUCCUGGUGAUUCCCUUCUCCCCACCUUCUGGACCCUUGUUCGUGCUUCCUUCGCCUUUUUUGUAAUUCCGUCCUCCCCCUUCUGCCUUGGACCAUUGCAGGGCUAAAUUUCUGUCGUUGACCAGCUGUGCCUCUCUCAUACACUCCUCCAAUGUUAGUGGAUUGCGGCUCACGACUUCAGCUUGCAGGUUCGGCUCUAGCCCAGUCAGGAAUGCAUCCCUUAACACACUCUCUGUCAUGUGGGGCAGGGGUGCUGAAUAAUUAACAAAUUUCUUUACAUAAUCAUUGUAGGAACCGUCUUGUUCAAUCCUGAUCAGUCUCGCCACUAAACUCUUCUGCCCUGUGUCUUUAAAAAAAUCAAACAUCCUUUCUUUUAGAUCCUCCCACGACUCCACCUUCCUCCGAUUGUGUGACCAUCUGUACCAGUCUACCUCAUCUUGUCCAAAGCUGACUACUGCUACCUUGACCUUUUCGGUCUCGGGUAGAUUAUUGAUCUCAAAAAAAUGCUCUGCCCUGUAAACCCAAGAUUCCGGGUUUUCUCCCAAGAACAUUGGCAUCUCUAAUUUCUUAUAUUUACUACGGUCACCCAUGGUCAAGUUCCCUUCGUUAUGAACAUCGGUUUCCUCAGCUUUUCCCUUCAGUUUCAUUACUGAACCGUCGGAGGUCCCAGAUUCCUCCCUUCUUUUGUAGCUAUGGUUCUCUCUUAGAUCCUCAGCCAUUCGUUCCAUUGCUUUUUUCAUUUCUAACAGCAUCUCUUUCAGACCCAUUAUUUCCUUCUCAGUUCCAUCCACUCUGUCUUCUAUUUGUCUCUGCGCCAUUAGUCUAGUAACCACCCCCAGUUUUUUCGGGCUCUGAUACCAAUUGUUAGGAUACUAACAAUAAUUUAGACUGAAAGGACUGUAUAAAUGGCUUAAACAGAGGCGGUACUCUGGUUUACUUUAUUUAUAUAUAAAGCCAAAUGAUCCAGAUUCACAAGAUGAAAAGAAAUAACAAGAAACAACAAGGAAAAAUGCAGAAAAGAUCAUACCAGCCUCUUGGUUUUAAGAGACCCUGGUGGCUGCUGUAGCCCUACCUCCUAAAAGUUAAAAAUACCCUAGCUACUCCAACCUAAUAAUCCUAUUUAUAGACUCACAUAUUCCUCAGCCCAGUGGGCCCUACCACUCAGAACGUCCUUCCAAUCAUUUCUCCAUAAUAAUUCCCUGUGCAGUUACUUUUCUACCCUUCCUCCUAUAAGUAUGGAUAAUUGGGGGUCUUACAGUUUCAUCCUUGAGAGAUAGGAUAGCAGAAGUGUGCCCUAGUUUCCAAAUUGAGAACUCCUCAAUUCGUUCUUCUACUUUCUUGAUAUUGUAACAGUGUUACGAUUCAUCAACACUAUCAAUAAUAUACUAAAGUUGAUAUUCAAUAUCGAUUCCCAUCAUAUCUCUGAAGUUUUUCCGCUAAUGUUUCUAACAAACUCCCACGGGGAGCUAUUUGUAGUGGAUAAUCAUGGGACUUAGCUCUCAAUGUAAGUUAUUUGCAGUUACGAGAAAGAAUAGUUUAGUAUCUCCCACCAGAUGCUUUUGUAGUUAUGGGGAAGAAUAGGAAGAGUGUGAUUAUUUGUCUUGAAAAUUAAUCCAAGGAGACUUUGACCAUCAGAAGCAUCUAGGGCAGACUGAAUCUCCAAUUUGAAGUGUCCUUAAUAUAUAAUCGCUUAAGUUCCUAUCAGUAUCUCCCUAAAGUUUUUAUAAAAAAGUUCCUUCUGUUUCUUAUAAGGAAAAAUAAUGCAUGUAUCAGUAUCUCCCUAAAGUCCUAUUCUAUCAUGCAUGAAUGCAGAAACAUAUUCAUUAUUGCAUUCUAAUUUGUAUGCUUGUAUGCUUGUAUGCAUAGCUAUGUGAACUGUCUAGUGUGUUUUGUGAACUACAAUUUCAAAAUGUUUAAUUCUGUUUUACACAUAAAACUAUGCAGGAAAAUGUAUACCUGUUACUAGGGGUGCUGGAAUUCAUCAAGAAUAUAUGGAUGAAGCACUUGAGCAUUUAAGGAAUGGAGAAUGGGUACUUAUCCAUAAUUAUGUCUUGAUAUCUACAAAUAAAUUCUUUCAACACUUUUGCACACCAAAAAUAAGGAUUCAUAAUCAUUACCAUUUGUGACUACGAACCUUCCUUUUCUAGCCUAAAAAGACAAUUAGAAAAGAGGGGUAAAUUUGACACAAAUACCACAUCGCAAACAUAAUUCCAAAAAGAAAGUACAGGUCAAAUGUUCAACUAAAAGGCCAAAGAACUUGAUUUGCCGAACAACCAAACUCAAUUAUAGAAACAAGCAAAUGCUCAACGUUCUUGGAGACAAUUGUUCCUUGAUAACUAUGAAAUUAUAUUUCAGAUUUUAGGAAAUAUUUAACAAUUUAAUUAGACUCUCAGAGUUAUGUUUUUCCUGUUUACCCUUAGAUUCCAUAAAUGAGUCCGUGUAUGUGUGUGGGGUGGGGGGUAAUCAUUGGAUUGCAACCACCUCUGAAUGAUCUUUUUUUUCCUUUUAUGUUUUGAUCGUGAACAUUGCCAGCUCCAUACAUUUCCAGAAGGUAAAGUGACUCAAGAUGAUGUGCCCAUCCGACGAUUAAAGUGAGGAACAGCUAGUCUUAUUGUUCGUUUCUCCUAUAACACCAAUAGUUCUGCCGAUUGUCCAUCGCGGCUUUGAUGAGGUAGUUUUCUUUUUGCAAAAAUUAUAGCAAUAAUUCUACUAAUCCUGCUAAUAUUUCUGUCUAGAUGAAACCAUGGUGCUAAACUAUGGGGUCAGUCAUAGAGACCAGCUGUCUAAACUCUAAAGCAUUAGUUGUAGAAAAGGUGCACCCAUAAAAAUUUAAUUUAGGUGGAUAAAUGUGAAAGGAUUGAAUUUCUUUUUAGAACUGAAAACAAAAUUGCAUUCCUUGAUAGAGGAUAAAAUUUAGCUUGUUCUGGGGCAUUUGUUUGGAUAGAGUUCAUCUCGGCCAUGGAAUUGACAUCUAGGUUCUCCGAUUUUUAUAGAUAGGUACGUAUUUGAAAGAUGUGUUGGGUUCCUCGAUGGCCCCUUCCCAUUAUUUCCAUUUUCCCCUCAAUGCGAAUCAGUUCCCAUUUCCAUCGACCACUUGUGGAAUGUGAUUAUUAUUGUCAUUAUUAUUAUUUAAGUUUCUUUUUAAGUAAACACAACCUUUCAUUGACAUAAUCUAAAGAGUCUGAAGUACAAAAUCCAAUAAAAAAAAUAUUUUAAAAAAAAUUACGAGGAAUUUCUAACUUAAACAAAAGGGCACUGUUUAAGCACUCUCGUCUGUUAAUGUCUAUGUUUUUAGAGAUAUGAUACAGCAAAGCCGAAAGGCAUUACUUAAUGGUGAAUUAAGUGUCCUUGAAUAUUUGAUGCAUCGGUCGAAGUCAUGUCAUAUGAUUUGCUUGAUGAAUUUUUGUUUGUUUUAAUUUUCUUCUCAAGGUUUAGUAUCAUCAUUCAAUGACAAGUUAUUUUUAAGAUUUUCUUGUCUCCUCUUCCAUAUGUAAAUAGCUCUCUUAAAAAAUUCACCCUGGGCUUGAGUAUACGAGUAUUUGCUUGUUUCUUUUAGUAGAAACCCAAUAUUUAUCUUUUCACCCCGUCUCACUUUUAUGAUGAUUACCUAUGUGGAUUCUCAGAUAAUGCCUGAAAACUCUCUCUUUGGUAGGAGGCCUCCGGUUCCCUUGUGCUGUAAGAAGAUUGAGAUUAUUGUGGGUGAGCCGAUUCAGUUUGACAUACCUAGCAUGAAGCAGAUGGCAAUUUCCAUGUCGCGUAACUGGGCCUCUCCUCUACUAGGAUGGCCUGCCACUGGAGAACAAACUAGGCUGGAUGAGCCUGCACAGAGAUUCUUGUACGGUCAUAUCUCAGAUCAAAUUCGAAGUGUUAUGGAGAAACUACGUGCACUGUCAUUACAGAAGAGAAGCUGAAGAUUUAUUUUUGGCUGUUCAUUAUUUACAAUAAGUCCACUGUAUUUCUUAGAUUAAAUACUAAUUCAUAUCAAAUGGAAUUUUUAUUUCAUUUCAUAACUUAAUUUGUACUUUAAGUUUAUAACUAAUUUCUUUCUCUUCAAGAAAUUCGAAUAUUUCCUUAUGCAUAACAUUAUUUUCAAGGAAUAAUAUUAUUAAGAUUAAGAAUGUAAGACAGACCUGAAAACUAACAUGUUACUAUGGAUUGAAGGUUAUUGAUGCAAAAUAUGAAACUAGCCAUCUCAACAAUAAACCUGGCAGCAUCUUGCCUGGAACAGCAAAGAGCCCUUGGAUCAUACCGGUCUUUUAAUUUGUAGUUUUCUUAAUGAAUAAUGGAUUAACGUCUAAAUGUUUAAAUGUUUUAAAUGUUUUAGAAAUAAAAUUAGUGUUUGUGAGUUUAAUUUUUAAAAAAAGAAAAAGAAGAGGAACAAAAAAUUACCAAACCAUAUCUUAGAUUUUGAUGUUAUGAGUGAUGGGAAUUAAUCAUUAUGAAUACUUAAAAUUAAUAAUCCAUUUAAUUAUGGAUAUGUUGUCUGUGCCCAUAUUAAUUGUCCAAACUCAUCCAGGUUUAAUUAUGGAUAUUUUUGUUUUCUUUUCGAAAUUCAAUUUUUUGUUUUCUUUUCACAAUUUAAUUUUUUUGGAAAGGAAUACGUUGGAUUGAAAAUUGCAAAAAAUUAGAAAUUGAAAUAUUAGUACGUUGAAAAACUUCGAGCAGACAUGUCCAAAAAUAUAUACUAUUACCGUCAAAUUUAAGAAAAAACAAUUUUACCAUUAAUAUCUCUAUUAGAUAUGUGACUUGUUUAUAUAUAUUGUUUGAUUUUUUAAUUAUUGGUUUGAUGCAUAAAACAUUUUCUUCUCACUUUAAAAUGUGGUAGCCUGACAUAAAAGAAGGUUUAGGAAACUGAUGAGUUGGUCUAAAGUUCAAACUUGAAAGAGUUUAGAAAAUACUUAAAAAUUAUAAACUAUAAAAGAAACUUAUAAAUUAGAAAAACUUUAAACUUUAGUAUGCUAACUCUUAUUAAGUUCUCAUUUUGUACAUUCUAGAAGGAGAUUGAGAAAGAAGUGUGAACGACCAAAAGGUUUGAGAGUGUUUUUGUAAUUAGGGUAAAAAAAAGAUAAAUUGUUAUUUACUAUUAUAUCAAUUUUUUUAUUAUUAAUUUUUCCUAAUGUCUCGAUUAUUUUUCUGCUUUUUUUUUUGGAUAGAAAUGAGAGGUUUUUGCCAACAGUUAUGGCACUCCGAUUGGAAAAAAAUAAAAGAUAAAAAAUCGUCAGCAACGUUUUAUUAGAUGAUGUGAACAUAAAGAUUGGUUUAAGAAAACAUAAAUGGACAAGAUUAUAGAGAUGUAGAUUGAAAAAAAAAUAUUCUACACCAAAUAGAAUGUAAUAGUAUAAGGUCUGUUUCUGCCAACCUUAUAAAGUUGUAGGUUUUAUUGGAAAAAUGGUAUGUGGAAAUAUGAAAGGAUGAUAUUUAAAGUCGAGGGAUUUUGUAAAUUUCCCCCUCCCCGGUUUGAAGGAGUAGUAGAUUUGCAGCAAUGAUAAUGUAAAUGCCAGAUUGUCGAAGAUAUUGUCAGGCCGGCAACUCAAGUCGACUAGCUACCAAUAUUUUUUUUUUUUUUGUUGGCUUAGUCUUUUGCUUGCUUGCCAUUUAAAACACUCUCGUGACUCCCACCACUGCUGCUCCGCUCUCUCUCUCUCUUUCUUUGCCCCUCUCUUCCUAUAAUCUAUACCAACCAGCGACUCAAUGCCUGGCUGACUUUCAAGUUUCACCUCAGAUCUCUCCGCCUCCUCUCGUUUGCUUCCGAAAGGUAACUCCUUUACAACAUCUCCACCAUUUUGCUUCAACCUCCAAUUAAUCCAUUCAUUCUUCAAGCUCGGCCAAUUCUGCUUCUAUGCAUUCAACUUUUUUUUUUGCCCCUUUCUGUUUUGUCAAGGGCUGGCUUCUUACAUUGCUGUCUAAUUUUAGUGGAUCUAUUUUCUUUCUUGUAGCUCAUAUGGGUUUUAUACAUAUAUCUUUUACUCCUUAAAUAAUUGCUAGCGCGUUUCAAUGUCUCACUAUCUAGCGGCGGCCAUUGAUAAUGGUUCUAUUGUUCGAGAACACAUUCCAUUAUGGACUAGUUCAAUUUUUUUUUUUUUUUUUUUUUUUUGUCUCCCUUGCACUUCUCAUCAUUCUAUUUAUUGUUAUGAGUAUUUAGUGGUAUUUAAAAUUAAUUGUACGUUUGUUCGGAUGCUAAUCGUAUAGUACAGAAAUUAACCUUUUCAACCACGCACCCUUUUUGCAGUUUUUAGUUAUAGGGAUCCCCAGAAGUUAAAUCCAUUUCUGCCACUGUCAAAUGACCUUUGACAUGGCUCAGAGUGCUAGGACAAUCGGAUCUUCCUUUAACUCCAGCAGUGGCAAUGAUGAUACUCUCCUUCAAAGCUUUGCUGCUGCUCCAAAUGGGGAUGAUUAUGAUAGUGAUGGCUCCAAUUUUGCACCCCCGUGAGUGUAAACCGAAUACCUGUAGCAACUAAGCUCUUAACUUUAUUUAUUACAUGUUGAAUUUCAUGAAUGCAUAUUUUCUCUAAAACUUUAUUUACUAUAUUGAAUUUCAUGAAUGCAUAUUUUCUUUCUCCCUUGAAGCAAUGUUAUUGUAAUAUUGUACGUUAUUGGUUUCAGUCUUCAGAAAAAAGAUUAUACUGAAGUCAUUAGGUCAUAGCCAGGCUUGCCAGCUACACCAUUCCCGUGAUUAAACGUAGUUUAUAAAUUAGAGAAGCUAGCGUCACAUUAUUAGUUUAAUUGGUCUAAUAUUCAGGUAUUUAGUGAAGCAACGAAGAUCAGAAAGCAUUGUAAUUAGAGGAACUAUUCUAUGCAUGCAACUAACGGAUUACAACUAGUGUCAUGAAAAGCAUCUCACUUGUAGUUGUUUUACCGGGCAUUAUGAUCUCCUUCUUCGAGGACUUCAAUCCACACGUGCAUUAAAAAAGUUGUUAGUGUUACUUCUAUCAAUAGUAAAUUAAUUAUUGACGAUUUUAUUCUAGCAUUUUUCUCAAGCUUGAAAGCUUGGUUUCUCAUCCAGAAAAAUAAUCAAUAAUGAUAAUACUUACAAUUCCUUCUUCUUUCUUUUUUUUGUCUGUUUUUCUUUUUGGGUGUAAAAGUGAUAAUACUAACAAAUGCAAACUCACUGACUUCUUAUAUUCUCUCAGUGGCUCCUUAGCUCAUAUUAUAGUUUGAUGUUUUCUUGAGUAGAUUUUUCAGUCCCUCAAAAUUAACUUUCUCCUUGGUUGUUUCUGUAGUACUCCUACAACCAUAUCCACAGCAAUUCCUGCAGAACUUGCUGGUGUCAUACCUUUGAUUGAUAGAUUUCAGGUGGGAUAAUAUUUAUGAUGCCUGCAAGUGUGAAAGGGAUUGCGAGUUGUUUCUGAAGUAUGACAAUUUUAGUUUUCAUUAUAAUCCCUGAAAAGUAACGUCUCUAUAUUGUAUUAUUUUCCAAGGUUGAAGGAUUCUUAAGGAUGAUGCACAAACAAAUCCAUUCUUCUGGAAAGCGUGGAUUCUUUUCCAAAAGAUCUGUAGGUCCUCAAGUUCGGGAAAAAUUCACAUUUGAAGAUAUGUUGUGUUUCCAAAAGGUGAAAACAUCUUGUUUGUCAUGAAAUUUAAGUACUCACCAAACUUUUACAAGUGUAAGUUGUAAAUUUUUACAGGAUCCUAUACCAACUUCGUUGCUUAAAAUCAACUCUGACUUGGUGAGCCGAGCCAUAAAACUAUUCCAAAUAAUCUUGAAGUACAUGGGUGUUGACUCUUCUGAUCGAGUUAGUGCAACAAGCUUAGAUGAACGAAUUGAACUUGUUGGAAAACUGUACAAGCACACUUUGAAACGUUCAGAGCUACGAGAUGAACUUUUUAUCCAAAUCUCUAAGCAAACUAGAAAUUCUCCUGAUAGGUUUGCUCUAAACUAUUAUUUACCUUGUUGAUCCUUGGCGUUGAUGAUUAAAUUCUAUUAUGAAUUGCUGAUAUUUUAAUUCAAAUGCAAUACCAUAUAUUUUGGACUGAUCUCUAUAUUCAUAUUCAUAUGAAUAUUACAGGCAAUAUUUAAUCAAAGCAUGGGAGCUGAUGUAUUUAUGUGCAUCAGCUAUGCCUCCUAGCAAGGAUAUUGGUGGAUAUUUAUCAGAGUAUGUUCAUAAUGUUGCUCAAGGCGUAAGUACUGAUCCGGAGGUUCGAGUUCUUGCAUUAAAUACACUGAAUGCUUUAAAGCGUUGCAUGAAGGCUGGUCCCAGGCAUAUAAUACCUGGUCGUGAGGAAAUCGAAGCUCUUUUGACAGGCCGAAAACUUACAACUAUUGUAUUUUUUUUGGAUGAAACUUUUGAAGAAAUUACAUAUGAUAUGACAACAACGGUCGCUGAUUCUGUUGAGGUAAUGAUAAUUUUGAAUCUUGAUGGAAUGAUAUAUUUUUGUAUUUCAAUGAUUUAAAGAUUAAAAAGUAUAUCUCUCAUAUAUAGGAGAAAGGACCAUAUAAGAUAGAAAAGUGGAAUCGGAAUCAGAAUUAAAUUUAAGCUAUUUAGUUAGUGCUUACUAAUAAUAGAGUCAUAGACCAACACUUAUCUUUCAUUGCCGAUUAUUCUUGAAAAGGAAACAAACUUCUUCAUUAAUGAUAAAAUCUCAAAGCACAAGAGGUAUAUACAAUGAGAAUAAUAAAAAAGCAUAAAGCAAAAAGCCCUAGAGGAUCAGGAGGUGCACCCAGACAUCUCAACUAGGUUGGCACCCCUUUAGCACCAAAACAUCAUAUCCCAUAUUUAAGCAUGAACAAAGCAAAGAAAAUAAAAAUAGAAAGUACAAACUAUGAAAGACCAGCAAAAUAACAUAGGCCGAGACUAGGAAAGAAGAUUAAAAAGAUGAUGUAAAGACAAGAAUUAAAACUACAGCUGCUGAGUAAUAGAAAAAAAGGCUGGAACCAAUGCUGGACGAAAAUUAAGAGGCUGGUUGGGUGAGGAAAGCUGCCCAGUUGAGAUAAAUAUCUUGAAUAGAAUAAGCCUCGAACUCCUUGUUUAAGGAAACCCAAGCUGCUGCACUUCUUUCUGCAGAGAGUUCUGAACAUGGCUUUUCUUUGUCAUGGAAUAUCCUCUGAUUUCUUUCAAACCACAGUUUAGAGAGGAUAGCUUUUAGCAAAUUUAACCAUAAUUGUCUUGGCUUCUUGGAUAGCUGAGGAGACCUCGUGAUGAUUAUUAACAGUUGGUAUACUUUUCUUUGCUAAUUUUGUUGAGGGAUAUUCUCAACCCCCUGCCCUUUGUUUUUCCUUUUUGUUUCUUUUUGACAUACAUAUGUUUAUUAUCAAGGAAAGAAAGAGAAUAAAUAGUUUUGUUUUUGCUAUAAAUGCAUGAAUUUUAGUCUACUUAAGUGAAUGUUUCCCCGUGUCUACCACACUCAUUAAUGUGAUUAAUUAGUGGAUAUUUAAUGUCAAAAUUCAUAUUACCCUCGGAACACUUCAUAUUUUUUUUCAGGAACUUUCAGGUGUUAUAAAACUAUCAGCACACUCUAGCUUCAGUCUUUUUGAAUGCCGUAAGUUCGUUAGUGGAGCUAAAGCACUUGAUCUAGGGAAUGGUACAGUUUAACUUAUUGUUUUUUGGUUCGAAUUUGAACGAACAAAUGUACAUCUUAAUCUUACAUGGAAUUCUUCUCAACAGAGGAGUAUGUUGGGCUUGAUGAUAACAAAUAUAUUGGAGAUCUGCUAGCAGAAUUCAAGGCAACAAAAGAUCGAAGCAAAGGAGAAAUUCUGCACUUCAAGUUGACAUUUAAAAAGAAGCUGUUUAGGGAGUCUGAUGAAGCUGUUGUGGACCCAAUGUUUAUACAACUAUCAUAUGUUCAGGUAGGAGUGUUUUUAUCUUGAUUACAUUACAAGGUGGAUUUUAGAACUUCGAAUGUUCUGUCUAAUAGAUUUAUGAACUUUGAAGAGUGCUCCUAAUUUUCACUUUUGUCAUUUUGUGUCGAGUAGGCCCCCAGCCCCAAUCUUUGAACUAUCAAUUUUGUAUCUAAUAAGUUAGCGGACUUUAAAAAUGUAUCUAGUAGGUCAGGAUUGAAUGGAGAUAACAUCGAAAGAUUAAGAACCCAUUAGAUACAUUUUGAAGUUCAAAACCUACUGAUGAUUAAAUUAUAAUUUAGGCCUAAUUUGAUAACCAUUUGGUUUAUAAUAGUUAAACUUGCAAACAUUACUUCGACCAAAUCCACAACAAAAUACGAAAUGGUUACCAAUGGGGCCUUUAACUUUUAUAUUUAACAUUUAUGUGAGAGUCAGUCUAUAUCUACAGCUGCAGCAUGACUAUCUGUUGGGGAAUUAUCCUGUUGGAAGGGAUUGAUGCUGCACAGCUUUCAGCAUUACAAAUCCUUGUUUGAAAUUGGAUUUAUUACCAGUCCAGAAUCUUGCACGUAGGUGUUUUUCUUGCUCUCCUUUAUUGCAAAUUUGUAAUUUAUCAUUUUGCUUUGUUUUCACAUUUUAAAUUAGUAUGUUAAACUUUCAUUUCCUUCAUUUUCUACAACAAGCAUCUUCUUCGCCCCCAAUUAUGUAGGAAAAGUGUUACUUUUUUUAGUAUAGUUUUGUACACUCCAUUUUAAUCGCACUUUUAACUGCUUGAUGGGUACUAGUGAUUGGAAUUCGCUUCUAGAAAGAUUUGUACCGAGACAAAUUGCCAUAACAAGACCAAAGCGAGAGUGGGAGUUGGAUAUUCUCUCGCGUUUUCGUUCAAUGGUAAGAUUUGGUAUUUGGAACAUUCUGUUGCAGACAAUUACUAUCUUGAAGAGUCUAUUUAGAUUACUAAAUGUUCUUUUCAAUUGAUUAUUGAGGCAAUUUUACUCUCAAUUUUAUGAAUAUUUUCUUAACACUGAUAAGCAUUGUUGUUUCUAGAGAUAUGGUAUUCAACAUGAUCUAUAUGUGAGUGGUUUAAUAUAUUCCUUGGAGCACACAUUCAACUCUUGAGCGUCUCUUUUUGUUUGAGUCAGGCCUUUGUUUCUGAUUGAUGUACCUAGUUCUGUACGAAUUAGUGAAAAAUAUGUAUCAAAGUUUAUGCUCAGUUUUCCAUGCUAUUUUUUCGUAGGCAUAUAUGUCUCUGUCUUCUCCAUCGCCCCUAGGUUGCUCUUUCCUGCCUUUUUGUGAAAUAUACUCACUAUUUCUUAUCCCCCAAAGAAAAGUCACCAAGUCAAUCUUGACCAAGAACAAAGAGUUUGCUGAUUUUUUUCUUACUAAUUUCCCAGGAACAUCUGACAAAGGAUGACGCAAGACAACAAUUUCUUCGAAUAUUGAGAACACUUCCUUAUGGGAAUUCAGUUUUCUUUGGCGUCCGGAAGAUUGAUGAUCCCAUUGGACUUCUACCUGGACGAAUCAUUUUGGGUAUCAACAAGAGAGGGGUAAUAUAGGUUUCUAACAUGCACAGCUACUUUGUUUUUGGAGUUAAAGAGAAUUCCAAUUCAAUUAUUAAUAUACACAAAACGCAUAGAAAUAUUGCCAGUUUUCAUAUGUUUCAAAGCCAUUCUUCCCUCAAAAGUUAGAAUUCAAAGAAUCACUCACUUCCUCAUCUACCCAACUACUUAUAAUGGCUUAAUAUUCAAACGCUUGCAUAUUGGCAUUCAUGUGUCAAAUAUAAUGAGAUACCUGUCUGGUGAUUUAAAUUUUUCUAGAUGGUUGCAGUUGGUUUAAUUGCUCAACUUUCUAUAGGUUCAUUUUCUUCCGUCCAGUUCCAAAGGAGUAUUUACAUUCUGCUGAAUUAAGAGAUAUAAUGCAGUUCGGUAGCAGUAACACUGCAGUCUUUUUUAAGAUGAGAGUUGCGGGUGUCCUACACAUUUUCCAGUUUGAGACCAAGCAGGUUACCGUCAUUGCUUUCUUCUCCGUACAUCCAUCAUUGCAUUUUGGGAAUUUCAACCCUUCAUGUGCCCUGUCACGGUGGUUUUUUGACUAGGUGCUCUAACUUUUUAGGGAGAAGAAAUUUGCAUUGCUCUCCAGACACACAUAAAUGAUGUCAUGUUGCGUCGUUACUCUAAAGCUCGAUCUGCUGCUGUUGGCUCCAUGCUUGGAGACUCUUCCUGCAACUUGAAGACUCAAAGUGUGGAAGCAUAUGAGAAACGAGUUCAAGAUUUGAGUAAGGGCAUUGAAGAGUCUAAGAGAAAUGCUGAACAAGUAAACCUUGAAAGAGCUUAUUCUUCCUUUUGUAUCGCUCCUUGUGAAUUGAAAGUUAUGAUUCUGAUCCCACCAAAAAAAAAAAAGGAAAAAGAAAAAAGAAAGGGCUUAUUCUUUGCCUUGAAAUGUUAAUAUGUGGAAAUGCAGAUGAAUAUGUGCUACUUCACGAUACCAUCCAUUAAUACAAUUUUGUAAUUAUAGCUUGUCUACUCACGAAAUCAUCCAUUAAUUUUAGCUUGUUUACUCGCAUUACAAGUGGAAGUGUUUUUUUGCAAUUGCUUUUUAUAGGAUUUGCAUAUAUUUUACCACAUUUAUCAUAUAUAAAGCAUUUUCAUUUCGAUAAUGGAAACCGUUCUUAAUGUAGUUGCUGAAGGAAUUGCAUGAAAAGAAUAAGCAAGAAGUGGUAAUGCAAGAAGAAUUGGAAGCUCUAAAAGAAUCUUUGAGAUUUGAAAAGCAGAACUUAGCUGAGGCAACACAUAAUCUUGAGAGGUUGAGAUCGCAAUAUGAUGAAAAAGACAAUGAACAUCAGGUCAGUACAGCUAUCUUUGCAUCAAACUUAUUUUGAGCCUUUAUUUCUAUUUAUUUGGUCUAUUCUAUUUUCAGAUCAUGUUAACCGAGAGAAGGAGUCUGGAAGCAAAAAUUGCAAAAUUGAGCACUAUGAUGUUGGAAAAUAAUGGGAAAAAAGAUACGGUUGGAAUUGAUGAACAGGUAUGACUUUAAGCUAUUUGUUUGAUGAAAAACAACAUUAUGUUUUUGUUUGAAAAUUAUUUUAAGAAUUAUAGCUCCAAAUUUUAAAACCGUGAUUUAUAACUUGAAAAGAUAAAAGAGAUUGAAAUGGGAAUGGAAGGGGGGGAAUUGACUUGGGACUACAAUUUACAAGUUGGAUGAAGGAAUGAAGAGAUGAAUGAUGAGGGGAAAAAAGCUGGGGUACUUGAGGGCCUCAUUUUUAUUUAUUUAUUAAUUAUUAUUUUUUUGGGGGAGGGGUCAUAUUUUAAGGUAGGGGCGAGCAAUAAGACCCGAAAAAGCGAACUGACCAACCAAAACCAACUGAAUUGAAGUUGGAGGGUUAGUUUAUGGUUGGAGUUGGUUUUGUGGUCAGUUUGUGAAAAAUGGCUCUGCCCGACUAUAUACUUUAAAAGAAACAAAAGAAGGAAGAACAAAAAUAGUAUAAAAAGAAAAAGAAACAAAAGAGAGAAUGAUGGAAAAAUGAAAUGAUGGUGGAUAGUAAUAAGAGGGUGGUGAAAAUGAUGGAAGAAAGGUUUAAGAAAAAUAGUUGUGGCAAGAUCUUGGAAAUGGAGAGGGUUUUGAAGUUCGGGAGAGGGGUUUAUGAGAAGAUGAUGAAGAAACAGGUUUUGAGUUCUCUUCUUGAACUUGUCAACCAUGAAUAUGGCCACUAGAGCAUCUGUUAGAUAUUAUAUUAAAUUUACCCUCACCCACAAGCUUAAACUUUUGGGUUGAAUUGGUGAUUUAAGAUGGUAUCAGAGCAGAUGGUCUAGGAAGAUCCUGUGUUUAAGUGCUUGUCCUCCUCAUUUAAUAUUGAUUUUCACUUGUUGGGUCUUUUUUUAUAAGUUAAACCCACAAAUGAGGGAGAAUGUUAGAUAUUAUAUUAAAUUUACACUCACUCACAAACUUAAGCUUUUGGAUUGAAUCGUUGAUUUAAAAGCUUCUGUAGCUAUCACCCUACAUUUUUUCUGUUUUGUUCUUUCCAUCUGCUUGUGUUUCGUGAAGUCGAUAAGCCGGGGUUUUUUAUUGUCUAAAUUGCUUCCAAAAAGAAAAACAGAAUUGAUUUCUCAAAUUAGAGAGGAACAUGUUCAAUAAUGAUUCAAACAACUUGUUAUAUUUCCAAAAAAGAAAAAAAAACCGUCUUAAACAAGACCAUUAAUUUCAAAGGAAAAGCUAAUUGGAGGGAAACUUUGAAAAGAUAAUUGAAGCAUAUUUAUCUUUUUACUGGAUUUCUGUUCCAAUAAGCAGAAAACUACUCUUCAAAGCAAAAUCCCAACUUUCAAUUUUUUUUUUCUGGUAUCCUUUUUGUAAUUAAACAUUAUGAUUGAUAUAACUAUUUAAUAUAAAAUAUAUCGCAAAUUGCAUUGAGUUUAAUGUUUUUCUUUAUAGCUUCUACAAAAACUUCAAGAUGAGUUGAGGCUUCGAAAUGAUGAGUUGCAAGCGUCUGAAGAAAUUAGAAAGAAACUGGUAAAUGAAAAGCUGUUCUUGGAACAAAGAAUUUUUGGACUUGAGAAGAAGACUAGCAAUGAGGUACAUUAUACAGGUUCUUAAUAUGAUAUCAUCUUUGCUACUUCUUAACAGAGUAAUGUGUAUUAAGUUUUUUACUUGCAGAUGGAACAUCUCCAGAUAAGCUUUGAACAUGAACGCAAAGUCUUGAAGCUGAGAGUGGCAGAACUUGAAAAAAAACUUGAAGAAGUAACUCAAGAACUAGCUGUCAUGGAGUCAACUCUCACGACCAGGAACUCUGAUUUGGCGGCCCUGCAAAAUAAUUUGAAGGAACUAGAGGAACUACGAGAGAUGAAAGAGGUUCUAGUCUGAUUUUUUCUAUUUAGUUUUGCAGAAGCGGAUUGAGCGACAGUAUCUCUUACAUCUAUUUAACACCUGGUGUAUUCUUUCGAUCUUAUUUUUCACUUUUCUUUUGCUCUUUUUGUUAUCAUUCUUUUUUUAUUUUAGGACAUUGACCGAAAGAAUGAGCAAACAGCCAACAUUUUGAAGAUGCAAGGGGCUCAGCUAGCUGAGAUGGAAGCGCUUUAUAAGGAAGAGCAAGUUCUGAGGAAACGAUAUUUCAACAUGAUAGAAGGUUUGUUUACCAUAACGUCCAUAUUGAAUGAGUUCUUUUGUAUCCAUAUAGAAAGUUUUGAGAAUUUCUGUGCUAAAGUACCAUGGGUUGGCUUAGUGAUUGAUACGACAUGUGAGAGGUAAAAGAAAAGAAAUAAAGACUUUUGGGGGAUAACUUUGUUGAGAAAAUGAAUUUGAUAAAAAAAAUUACGUUGUGGAAGCAAUGAUAGAAAUGUUUAUGUUAGAAAAUGAACUUUGGAAAAUGAGAGUGAAAUCCAAUAGAUAAAUAAAGUUCUAAUUGAAGGAGAACAAAUUGGUGAUACCAACUUUUCAUGGAAGCUCACUUUUAUGUAUGGUUCAUUAAUAGUUUAAUACCAUUAACUUACAAAUCAAAACUGUGUUUUUUCUUUUUCUUUUUCUUUUUUAAUGGAAACAAACCUCUUCAUUGAUACAAUGAGUGGGACUGAUGCUCAUAUUACAAAGUAGUGAAACAAGGAAAUAAACAUGUUAAAAAUAGAAACUCACUUAACUUAGAGAAAACUAAAAAGAACGAAAAAACUGAAAAUCUUAUAUCUAAGAAUUAAAUCGACUUAAAGAUACUAAACUGAAAAUUAAAUCUAACAACAAAAUAAGAAACUUAAAAACAAAAAAACUGAAAUUUGAUUAGGAAAAAUAACGUACUUUUUUUAAAAACGGAAACUAGCUUCUUUAUUAAUGAUAAUAAAUGAGACUAAAGCUUAAAGUACAAGGGUAUUAUACUAAGAGCAAAAAGAAAUAAGAGAAAAUGCAGGCUAAAUCUGAAAUAAAGACUAUACUCGGAAAACAAAAUAUGAUGGCAACCUAGAACGAACCCAAACAGAAAACAACGACCUAAUCAAAGCCACUAAAAGACAAUACAAAGUAAAAUUUAAAUGCCCACUCAAAUCUAAAUUUUUCCACACGCAAUUCUUCAAGAUGAAAAAAGAAAAAGAACACUAAGAAGAUGCAACCAGCUGCUUCAAAACUAUCUUUCCAAUGCCCAGAAGAACUUGAAAAUAUCUUCCAACCCACAGAUUUGACAAUCAUGCUUUGGCAUCAAUGUUUCAGUGAAGAAAUAGGACCCAAUAAACAGCAAAAAUUAAUUGCCUGUUCCAAAAGGUAUCCCAGCGGUUGUUCUCCAUUGGCAAGCAAGAAAUCGAAGAUCAACAUAAUAACCAUUAUUAAGCUAGCAACAACAAUCAGUGAGACUUUACUUGCUCGCCCACGUGAAGAAAAAUCAUGGAAAGACAAGUUGUUCCAACAGGUGGGGGGCAACUACAUUCAGCGGCUGAAGAAUCAAACUAGAAUAAGUCCACAAUCAGCGACUAUUGACUUUAGAUGAUCUGGGAUUUCACAAUAAUGAGGAUGAGAGCGAGUAGCAGAGGGAAGUUUUUCAACUUUCGGUUCUUCCUCGCAUUGAAACAGGGUAUUAAGAUCCGUCUCUGAUGGCUCAAAAUGUCUCUACCUCUAAAGCUCAGCUGAUUUAUCAAUAUGCAUCCCUUCCUCACUACUUGCUACUUCCAUUGCACUGGGAAUAAGCUGAAGAAAUCACCAGAAAAGUCUGAAGGUGAUGCUAGAGACUGAACGUAGAAAGUGAGUAUGCCAGAGCAAUCACCGGAGAAGGUGCAAAGGAUCAAUGGAGAAGACGACUGUAGAAGGAGUGAGUAGAGUAUUAAACCACCAAUUCAUCCCAAAGCUUAAGCUAGUGGUUGAAGACAAAUUUAAUUAUGUAUCUCUAACACUCCCCUCAAUUGUGGGCUUGAAAUAUUUGAAAGGCCCAACAAGUGGAAAUCAAUUUUAAUUGGAGAGGAAAUGACAAUGCAGAGCUUGAACAUAGGAUCUCCUGGACCACCUGCUCUGAUACCAUAUUAAAUCACCAAUACAUCCGAAAGCUUAAGCUAGUAGUUGAAGGAAAAUUUAAUUAUGUAUCUCUAAUAGAGAGAGAGAAUACUUUACCUUGUUCUGCUGAAAAUUGGAAAAUCAACAAGAUCCUUUUCAGUAUUUGAAAAAAAUAACGUACGUUAAAUCCAAUGCUGGCCAUCUACAAAGGAUUUUAUUUUAUUUUCAUGAGUUUUCUGAUAACCAAAAUUUGAGGUUCACGUAAUAAUGCAAAUCUAAAAUAACUUUUUAUUCAAACCGUCAAAUUAGCCCAAACAGCUCGUAGAUACAAGUAUGUGUAGGUGGGGCAGCAGCCUCCAAAGAGGAGAAGAUUAAUUAAUUGGCUGAAACAAUAAGCCCAAGGUAAAAAACCUGAAACUUACCUAGGUAAAAACAACAUUUAUCUAACAUUAAAGAACGGCCAAGGAUGGGUAUAACUUAGGAAAUAUCAAGAAAUACAAAACUACUCAAGAAACACACUAGAUAAUGUAAGCUGGCCCAAACACUCACGCUAUGAAAUAAAAUCAUCCUUAGUGCCUCUCAACCUUAUCUAAAGAUGCCUAUUUUCUUAAUUUAAUUACUAGUAUAUUUAUUACAUAAAUAUGUCAUAAUGGUUUUUAUUUUUAGAAAAAUAAUUGAACAGAAGCCUUGUGUGAAACAUGGUUGUUUUGUUGGUUCUUUUUAUUAGGAUUCUGUUGGUUGUAAAUAUGUUAAUUAGCUAUAAAACCAUUAAUGGUUUUAUUUUAUGAUUAUUUCCUUCUAUGUAUCAAGUAUUUCUCUAUGUAUCUUACAUUAAAAUCAUUGGAAUACAAACAUCUUAUUUUAUUCAACUCAAGAUGGUAUCAAAGUACAUGAAGCCUAAAUGGGCAUUCAGUCCAAAAAAGAAAAAGAUUUUUUUUUUGUGAUAUGAUCCAAGAAUAAUGAACUCAAAAUAGGCAGCCUUAAGGAGGCAUGUUGAGGAUCUCAUAUAGGGAAAAUCAAUGAACCUCAUACUCUUUAGAAAAUAGAUGGAUUACAUCUCUCAUAUUGUGAUUGGUUUUGAGAUGGAACCUAAUAGAUUCCUUCUUCUAUCUCUGAAGAAGGUGAUGGGGUCGUGGAUGUUGAAACUCCUUGGUAUGUCUCCUCUAUGAUUUUUGAGGAGUUGGUUGGUAGUGGUUCUAAUUUUUUUCAAUGAAGCUAUCUUAAAAAAAAAAAAGGGAAAAAAAAGAGAGAAUAGAAAACUUAUGCAUUGAAUUUAUGAAAUUUGGACGAAUAUAUUAUAGAAUACCUCAAUGACAAAAUAAAAUUAUAUGUUAUUUAAUUAUUAUACUAGUGAGAUCUUCCAAAAACAUGAAAGUUCCCUUUGUUUCUUUUACUUUCUAUGUCUCAUUGUAUUUCGAGCAGUAACUUCCUUUCAUUCAUCAAUGAAAAAUAUUCUUUCCUUUUCAAAGAGAAAAAGACUAAAAUUGUUACAACCAAAUUAGCAAACUAAACUCGGAAGGUGAAUAUAUGUACUGAUAUAAUUUUUAUUAAUAGACUUGAGUUGAGGCUGAAAACUAUAUGGUCUAUGUGAGUGGUGGUUUGACUGUUUGAGUGAAAUUAUACAACUAUUUAUGUAGCCUAAGUAACCUCAUGGAGAAAUCCUCCAAGAACCAAGGUUGUGGAUUUUUUAUUAGAAUGAAUAAUGUGUUUUAUACAAGAGGAGAAGUUUCCUAUUUAUAGAGUUCUAUUACAAUUGGGGUAAAAAGGGAAUUAACCUAGAAUAUUACCUAAUUACUCAAUUAACCCUUAGUCUUCUUACAUCAACUGUUAUGGAAAAGGAAGGAAAGAGAGAGAAAAAUUAUUAUUUUUAAGAUGGAACCUUAUAUUAUUUAAUUAUUGUAUGUAUCAGAAUCCAUAAAGUCCAAACGAGUGUUUGGUCUCCAAUAUGAUGAACCUAAAAGAGGUACCACCUUGAAUAGGGGUGUACAUGAGUUGGGUUGUCGAGUUAUUUAUUAAACAAAAAGUAAGGAAAGGGGGGAGUUAUGGCUGACAAAAUGCUUCGUUUCUAUGUUGUAUUCUCUAACUAAACCUUUUUAAAUUAGUUGUUGAGUGUAACUUAUAUUUCUUGGAGUUGUAUGUUUUAACUUGAGUAGGGUUCUAUUCUGCUUACUUUUCUAUUUUUCAUCAAAUCAAUGAAAUUUCUGAGGUGUACAUUAAAAAGAAUUAAAUAAUAUCCAUAUAUUAUAUAAUUACUACAAAUUGAUUUUUUUAAAAAAAAACUUAUGAAAAGUUCAAUUAAAUUUGCAUUUGAUUUCAUUGCAGAUAUGAAAGGAAAGAUUAGAGUUUAUUGUCGGCUUCGACCUCUUAAUGAUAAAGAAAUUAUGGAAAAAGAGAAAAAUGUGCUUACUAGUCUAGAUGAGUUCACAGUUGAACAUCUAUGGAAGGAUGAUAAGCUGAGGCAACAUAUGUACGAUCAUGUAUUUGAUGGCACUGCCUCCCAGGAAGAUGUUUUUGAAGAUACACGGGCAAGUUCAAUAGAACUCAAGAGCUUCAUUUAUUUAUUUUGAUAAAUAGAACUUUGUUGUUCUUUUAGCUGUCAUGAAAAUAGAAAACAUUAAUUGAUACUCUUUUGUACAAUCUUAAUGCAGUAUCUUGUCCAGUCUGCUGUAGAUGGUUAUAACGUAUGCAUCUUUGCUUAUGGUCAAACUGGUUCUGGGAAGACAUUUACAAUAUAUGGAUCUGAGGACCACCCUGGAUUAACACCUCGUGCAAUUGGAGAACUUUUUAGGAUUUUGAAGCGGGAUAGUAACAAGUUCUCAUUUUCUUUGAAGGUAAUGAUUUACAUUCGCCAAUAUUAAGUUAUGUCUUACUCAGUACCUUUCUUGAGUUUGUAGAUCACUGUAUACUGUGUAUAAAUUAUAUAUCACGGAAAUAGAUGGCUCGGUACUCUCUCUAGAGUUCAAUGAUCAGAAUGCGCAAUGUUUUAUACACUGGCUUUCAUACAAAAUGCCUUGUUGGUUCUAGUUUUUUCCACGUGUGAAUAAAUUUGAUUACAAUGCGUAUUUGAAGAUUGUUAAAAUGCAUAAAUGGAUUCUGUCUUUCUCACUCAUACUCUGCUUUGAUUUAGGCUUACAUGGUAGAAUUAUAUCAAGAUACGUUGGUAGAUCUUCUUCUGCCAAGGAAUGCAAAACGAUCGAGAUUAGAGAUAAAAAAGGAUACAAAGGUUAAUAUUUUAACAUUUGAUCGUUUGUGAUUUUUGCAAUUUACCCGGAUUUCAAUUUAUUUGAGUUAUUAUGUUUCUAACUUUAGUGGGAUGAUUAUUUGCUGAGGUUAGGGAAUGGUAUCCAUUGAAAACGUUACAAUAGCUUCUAUCUCAACAUUUGAAGAAUUAAAAAGUAUUAUUUAUAGAGGAUCGGAGCAACGGCAUACUUCAGAGACUCAAAUGAACGAAGAAAGUUCAAGAUCACAUUUGAUACUUUCAAUUGUUAUUGAAAGUACCAACCUUCAGACGCAAUCUGUUUCUAAAGGGAAGGUAUGGCAAUAACUUUAGUAGUUUCAAUAUUUUUAUUUAUAGUGAAGGAUGUCUGAGAGGUCGUAUGAUUUAAAUAUGAAAAUACACUAUUUGUCCUGGUAUGUUUGCAUUUUCUUCAUUCAUAAGAGACAAUUACUUUACAAAUGGUAGAUAUGAUUUAAAAAAUUUAACGAGCUUUUCAUGGAAUAAACAAAUGAAUGUUGCUUCUUACCAUGUAACAACUUGAUUAUCUUUUAUGCAGCUUAGUUUUGUUGACCUUGCGGAUCAGAGAGAGUGAAGAAAUCAGGCUCUUCUGGUAGCCAACUUAAGGAAGCUCAAAGCAUAAAUAAAUCACUUUCGGCACUUGGAGAUGUCAUCAGUGCUUUGUCUUCAGGGGUCAACACAUACCUUACAGAAAUCACAAGCUCACUAUGUUGAUGAGUGAUUCACUCGGUGGUAAUGCCAAAACGCUCAUGUUUGUCAAUGUCUCUCCAGCCGAAUCCAACCUGGAUGAGACAUACAAUUCACUCAUGUAUGGUAUCCUUUUCUUUACCAUAUACACUUUAAAGAAUUUACUAAAUUAUAUAUUAUUUUAUAAACCAAUUGGGAAUUUUUGUUAAAAUAUCUUCUAUGAUUUAUGUAUAUUUGAAAUUGUCAUGAAGUAUGUUUUUGACAUGCAGAUUUAUCUAGAAGUUGGUAAAUGUGGUCAUGAGUAUUUCUAGACUCAUCAACUAUUCAUUAAACAUAAAACUUCAUUUACUUAUUCAUUUUAGCUCAGAAGAAAAACGAUGAGAAUAAUAUAUUAAAAGUAUUUUAAACGAAUUGAAAGAAGUUUUACCAUCAAAUAUGGAUGGAAAAUGCGGACUUUGUAGAAAAAAAUUGUAUCUUUACAUUGAAGCUUCUUUUUAUGAAUUUGUUUUGUAUUUCAGGUAUGCAUCAAGAGUUCGAUCAAUUGUUAAUGAUCCAAGCAAAAUGUAUCUUCUAAGGAGGUUGCUCGACUGAAAAAAAUGGUUGCUUAUUGGAAAGAACAAGCAGGUAGAAGGGAGAGGAUGAGGAGCUGGAAGAAAUCCAAAACGAGCGACAUACUAAAGAAAAAGGAGACGUUAGAUAUUCCAUGUAGAACCUUUAGUACGUUGCAAUUAUCAAGUAUAUAGCUUGGUAGGUAGGGUUGGACGAUGAGAAGUGAAUUGACUAAAUGCCAUUUGUUACCAUUCUUACGUCUGAUUGAAUAUUGCCCAUUGGAAAUUUGGUUUGUAACUAGCUUAGCUUUUUUAGGAUGUCUUCCAUUGUAUAGUUCGAGUAGUUUUGUAUUGUAUAUAUGGACAAAUGUGUUGUCUUAUCUAUAGGCUACUUCUGUAAUUAAUGAAUACUUCAGCCCCCCGGGUACUUCUGUUUUGAUUUGAAUGAACUUUCAAUUCCAUCCAGCUACACACCCUUUGCAAUAUAUUAUAUAUAUAUAUGUAUCAUCGUGAACAAAUUGUCUAAUGUAAUUGAAAAAAUUGCAUUGUCAUUGCGAAUGGUAGUAGUAGAUGUUUAAGUAAAAUUUCUAAUUCUUUAUUAGACCGUCAAUAAUGUAAUAUUGUAUCAGUUUUCAUCACUAGACAUUGACCAAAACAAAUAAAAGAAACUUCUGAAAGACUAGUCUGGAUUCAAAAUAAAAGUGCCUUCAAACCAAUUUUAAUGGGUAUUAAAACUCAUAACCAAACCACCAAAAAAUCACUCAAAAACAACCGGAUAGCAGCGGAAACGAGUAGAUCCGGCGGCGGAGAUGUGUGAGUGGUGGCCGUCGACGGUGGAGGUGGACGAGCAGCCGGUAAAACAGAAGUGCAAACGGGCCGCGGUGGUGACCCUUGGGGUAAAGAAGAUUUGAAAAUAUUUUCUUCUCUUUUUCUUGUUACCUUUCACGUUUCCCAACCAAACCCUAACAUAAAUAACCCAAAGAGAAUAAUAACCAUAUUAUUAUUUAUUUCCUUUUUCCUAAAUAAUAUAAAAUAAUUAUAUGUAUUUACUUUAUCUUUCCUAAUUAAUUUUAUUUUGCCCCAUAUAAUCAAUAAAUACAAACCCACUCUCCUUAUUAAAUAUAUUUUCAUUUUUUGAAAAUAAAUACAUACAUCAUCCCUCUCACUCACAAUCAUUUUCUUUUUCUCUUUUUUUUUUUUGGCACAAAACUUCACCAUUUCUCGAACGAGACCCAUUACCAUUACUAGCUGGAUGUGAGUUUUCAACGUUAUUUUGAAACCAACCUAAAUUGGGUCAAUUUUUUGAGAUAUAACAUUGACCAUUUUUCGAAUGUUUUGGAUGUCACCUUAAUUAGUGCACCACAAAGUAGCACCAAUUGCCAUCCUUUCAAUUUUUUGUGCAAUAAACCAUGUCCAAGAUACGAUCUCAUACUUAUGAGUCUAGAAUCCUUAAACUAAAAAGGUACAAGAUCAAAACAAAUAAAAGAAACACUAGAAAGAUUAGUUUGGACUUCAAAAUAAAAACUUAGUCUAAGACUUCACUAAUAAUCUUUUUUUGGAAAAAAAACUUCUAACAUUUCUCUAACCAAGACCAACUACUAGACACACUUUGGGAAUUUUCAACAUUUUCUUAAGCUUGUCAAAAUUGAAUCAUUUUUCAUAUGCUAUAUCAUUGACCAUUUUUCGAAUGUUUUGGGUGCCACUUUAGUGCAAAACAAAAAAGCACCAUUCGCGACUCUUAGCUUAAUUUUCUGUGUUAUAGACCAUGCAAAAGAUACGAUCCUAUAAUUGUUGAUCUAGAAUUCCUUAACCAAAGAGGUGCAUGACCAAACGAAAUUAAAAAAAAACCAUAGAAAGACUAAUUUGGACCCCUAAAUAAAAAUUGUGUAUGAGAUUUCAUUGAUCAAUUUUUUGAGAAAAAACUUCAGCAUUUCUCUAAUGAGAACAAUUACCAACUCGAUGUAAAUUUUAAGCACUUCUUAAAACUAACCAAAAGGGGGUCAUUUUUCAUAGGUGUUAAUUGGCUAUUUAUCGAACAUUUUGGGUGCACCUUAGUCCACCACAAAGAAGCAUCAAUUGCGACCAUAGUUCAAUAUCAUGUGCUAUAGAACAUGCAAAAGAUACGAUCUUACACUUAUAAGCCUAAAAUCCUUGAACUAAAGAGGUGCAUGACCAAAACAAAUAAAAGAAUCCAUAAAAAUACUAGUUUAGACCCCAAAAUAAAAAUUGUGUAUGAGGCUUUACUAAUCAAUUUUUUGGGAACAAACUUCAACUUUCUCGUACACAUACUAUUUACUAGUUUGUUCUGAAUUUUCAGCAGUUUUUUGAACUUGCCAAAAUUGGGUCAUUUUUCAUAGGUGUGCAAGCCAUUUUUCGAACAUUUGGGUGCCACCUUAGUGCACCACCAAGGAGCAACAAACGUGACCCUUAGCUCAAUUUUCUUUGUCAUAGACCAUAACAAACAUACAAUCUCACACUUAUCAUCAGUCUAGAAUGCCUGAAAUAAAGAGGCACAUGACCAAAAAAAAAAAAAAAUGAAAGAAAUUGUAGAAAGACUAGUUUAGACCCUAAAAUAAAAAGUGAGUGUGGGACUUCAGUGAUAAAUUUUUUUUUUGUUAAAAAGCUUAAACAUUUCUCUAAAUGAGAUCAAUUACAAGAUGGAUGUGAAUUUUCAACUGGUUUUCUGGACGUUUUGAGUGCUCCCUAAGUCCACCAUUAAGGAGCACCAAUUGUGACCCUUAGCUCAUUUUCUAUGUCAUAAAACAUCCCAAAUAUAUGAUCCCACACUUAUUCGUCUAGAAUCCCUAAACUAAAGAGGUGCAUUACCAAAACAAAUAAAAGAAACUCUUGAAAGACUAGUUUGAACCCAAAAAUAAAAACUAAGCAUGUGGCUUGAGUUAUCAUUUAAAAAAAAAAAAAAACUUACAUUCAUUUAAAUGAGACCAAUUGCUAGUUUGGUGUGAAUUUUCAACAUUUGUGAAUAUGCCAAUUUUCAACACUCAUUCCUCUAAAUGAGCGGCGGGGAACGACGACGACAAAUCUCUUCUUCUUCUUCUCUCUCUCAUGCUCCUUCUUCUCUUUUGAUUUUUUAAUUUAACAUAAUGAAAUGAGUUUAUUAAAAGGGGAACUCCCGAUGUAUCUUGAAAACGUCGGGAAAUCCACCCCCAUUCCCGAUGCAUAACUAAUGGUGUUGGGCAUGGUGAUCAUUUUUUCCAACGUUCUGACGUCGCGCAAAGUAAAGUUAACGAUAUAAUUAAUUCUUCAGCCUUGUCCGACACGACACUAUAGACGUCAAAAAGUACAAAGGCAGUCCCGACAUGCUCAAUAUAAACGUCGAGGCUUGGCCACAUUUUCCCAGCGUGCAUGGACACAUGGACAAUAUGUCUAUAACAAUAACAAUACUACUUAUGGUUAUUUACAUAUUAGUUAUGGUCAUUCAAGUGAUUGUGGUUCCUAUGGUUAUAUUGACAGUUGUAACAUAUCGGUUUGCAUAAGGAGACCACAACUUCCUCAUGAAAGUGAUGGAAAUUCAUACUCAAAGUCUCUAUAUUAUCUAGAUUCUUCAAAGUCAUCCUCAUUAGGGUGGAAUAUGGUUUGAUCCAAGGUAUUGUCCUAUUGGUAGCAUUGAGGUUGAUAAUGAGAUUCAUGGAUGACAUACUUUCAAUUAUGUUGGAAACUUUUAGUAUACUAAAAAAUAUUAUCAUUUGAAAUCGAACAUGAUUAUUUCUUUUUCUCCUCCUUCGAGAUUUGAUGUUCCAACUUACUCCUUCACCGGGUUUUCCUAUUGCUCUAAUUCUUGGUUCACCAGCUCUAUGGUCAUGUUGCAUGCGUGAAUUGAGAUUCUCAAGUGUGGGGGCUAAGUUCUUUAUUUUGUUGACUCUUCCCACAUUGUCAUAAGCUUGGCCACCCCCAUUGAAAAAUGUUGGUUUUUGAAAAAUUUUAAUUAGAAAUUUGAGUUGGAAAAUGUUGUAUUUUAAAAAGAAUGAAAAAUAGAUACUUUUAGAUAUAUCAGUUGAAAAUAUGGAGAAUAUCCACGACAUUCAUUUGAUAGUUCCACAAUAUUUGUCGAUGCAUUCACAUUUACCAAUUUUUGUAUGGAUAAUAUUCACAAAAUGGAUAUUAUCUAUGUAUGGAAAAUUUUGAUCGGUUUGUCAUUGGGGACAACCAUUUUUCAACCCUCGUAAUAGUAUCAUGAGGUUUAGUGUAUGCUCUUUUCCAUAAACUAGUCUAUCUAUUCAAUGAAAAAAAAAAGAAACUUUCCUGGUGAUCAUUAUCUCCCUUAUUUGAAUACAUUUAACAUUAGACCUAAAAAGUUGAGAUCUAUGAAGAAUGUUUAAGUGCCUAUUACAACUCCAACCAUACCUUACACAUUGAAGAAAAAGAAAGAGAGAAGAAAAAUGAAGCAUGGGCGUAAAAACAAAACUUCACUGAAAUGGUAGUGGAAAUUGGAAGUAACAAGUACGACGUGACUUUCACUCAAGCUUCCACAACUGCUUCAGCAAAUUAGUAAAAAGGGCUGGCAACUAGAAAGUCCUGUGCUCGGUUCUUUCUGGAUAUAUUGCGAAUUGCGAUAACUUCUCCAUUUCUGGGGGAAACGGAGUAGUAGGAUGGGGAUGGGGAUGGGGAUGGGGGUGGCGAGGGAUGAGAUAGAUAAAAUCUCAGAACCUUCCGUCACAGUUUUCAAGGGAGGCGGUGGGGUCGGCGACCAAAUGGCGGAUGAUGCACAUAAUAGUAGCCCUGGGAAUUUGGCUUGGCGGUAUUCAUCUCAAUUUUGCUCUAGGCCUCAUAUCCCUCUUCUACCUCUCCCUGUCCAAAGCCCUCUUGUGAGUUUUGUUUUUCUCAUUCUCUCAUCCCUUUUUUACCUUUUCCUUUGGGUGCGUCUCUUUCUAAUCUCUCUCUCUCUCUCUUUUUAAGGGUUUUCGCUUUACUUUUGAUAUUAGUGUUAAUUCCUGUCGACCAUAAAAGCAAAUACGGCCGCGUAUUGGCUAGGUAUGUUUUGCACCUCUUUUCGUUGGCCCCCCUCUCCUUCUUCUUCUUUCAUCAAUCUGUUGUCCCCCCUCUCUCUGCUUAUAAUCUGCUGUUUGCUUUCAGAUAUAUAUGUCAAAAUGCUUGCAGCUAUUUUCCAGUUACUCUACAUGUUGAGGAUAUACAUGCGUUUGAUACCAAUCGUGCUUAUGGUUAGUGACUGCUGUUUUUAUUUGUUACUUUAUUUUUUCAUCCCCUUCUACAAUUGUUCGGUCUCUCUCUCACCAUCGUAGAAGAAAUUAUUUAUUUAUUUUUUUAAAAAAAACCAUAAAAGAAAUAUGAGAAACGAGAUGUUUGGUUAUAGGAAACUUGGCUCCUCGUAUCUUGUCUUAAUACCUUGUUUAUGGCACAAGGUUAUAAUGAGCAAACAUGCAUGAUAUCCUAUUGGGUGCAUUUUGGUUUUUAGUGCCUCUAAGAUUACUGAAUGAGGCUACACUUCCCAAAUUGUUGUGUGGUCGGAUUUUUGUGGCUGAGCAUGAACCACCACUCUUUUGAGUCGUUUCCAAGUAGUGGAAGGGCUUGAGCAAGAGCUUUGGAUUUUAUACAACAUCUUACGUACUCCACUUUUUUUUUUCAAGUGUUAUUGUGUUCUUUCAUUGUUUCUCAAGGAAAGCAAUUGUUUCUAAAAACAGAAAAAGAAGUGUACUCCUCAUAACGUCUCUGGGGCUUAUGCCUCAAGGAUGUCUUGAAGCCUUUCAAAACAUGGAUAAUCAUUUUGUAUUUGCGUUUAGUGGUUUCCUUUUUGUUUUCUGCUUCCAUUUUGGUUUAGGUGAUAAAAAACUUAUGUUCUUUCUUUAUUUUGUAUUACCUAAAGUUUUGUUUCCCAAAUAAAAAAAACAAACAAACAAAUAAGUUGGUAAUAAAUUACAAUAGUAGGAAACGACAAUACAGUAGUCUUCUAUCAUUGUCCUUGUUUGAUAGAGGAAUCAACUGAAUCCAAAGGAGAAAUCUUCACUUUCUUCCUUGGGGGACUGUGCAUCUUUUUCCUUAUUUUUUAUGGAUAUUUCUUUUAUUUAAGAAAUCCUUUAUUUUCAGAGAAAAUAUUUGGAAAAUACAUUUUUUUGAGCAAUUUUAUUUUCCAAUGUUGUAGUUUUUGGUUAUGAGCCACAUUCAGUUUUACCUAUUGGUGUUGUUGCGUUGGCCGACCUUACUGGUUUCAUGCCUCUCAAAAAAUUGAAAGUCCUUGCAAGUUCUGCUGUAAGACUUCUUUCUUUUCAUUCUAGGCAUUUACUAGCUUUCUUUGUAACUUCUAAUCGUUUCAUCAUGUGCGGGGUAUUCUACCAGGUGUUUUAUACUCCGUUUUUGAGGCACAUAUGGACAUGGAUGGGCCUAACGCCAGCGACAAGGAAAAAUUUUAUCUCCCUCUUGGCAGCUGGCUAUAGUUGCAUCAUUGUGCCUGGUGGAGUACAAGAGACAUUUCAUAUGGAGCAUAAUUCGGAGGUCUUUAUCCAUCCUUUCUUUACCUGUAAAUUUUGACAUUGAUUCUUCUAUCUUUAUUUGAUUUAUUUACACUUUCCUCCAUUUUAUUAGAAGGUUAAGGCUUAUCCACUUGCACAAUGGAGCCAAGAUAGAUAAAACUCUAGUCCCUUCUUGUUUGUCUAUUUUGAACUUAGCCAGAGCAUUGCUAAAUUUUCUCUCUUUUUCUUCUACAUUCUCCUAUUUUCUAGUAUCAAAAGGUAGAUAUAACUGCUGGAUUUUGCUGCUUCAAGCAUUCUGGAGUUACUUUUCCUUUGUGAUCAGUGCUAGAUGAGUUUGUUUUUUGUAAUUUUUUGGGGUCUUAAUCUAGUUGAGAUGUCUGAGAUGCUCCUGAUCCUUGAUCCUUGGUUUCUUUGCUCAUUGUAUGUUCCUCUUGUACUUUGAGCUUUUGUCUCCUUAUUAAUAUAUUAAUGAAAGAGGUUGUUUCCUUUUCAAAAAAUAAUGGUGCUUAGUAUGGAGCAUGUAAGCCUUAAAUUAAUUAAUAACAUUUUACAAAUCCUCAAUUGGUAUGAACAAGUAUUGUUGAACAUAAUAGUUAUAUAAAAAUUAAAAAGUAACAAAUUCCCACACUAAACAAAAAAAUCUACUUCACUACUAUUAUUAAUAGGAUGGACUUAUAAACAUUUUUUAUCAAUAAAGUCAUAGUAGUAGUAAGAGUCAAUGUUUUCGAGGCAACCCAUGGUUCACUCCUAAGGCGAGAUGUGAGGCAAACCAAAGCCAUUGAUGGUGAGGCAACAAGGCUACAGCAAAAGAAUAUCCUUUCAGAAAGAUCCUUGGAUUGACAAUUAGUCUUAUGUUCAUGUCUUCCUCGUCUUUUCAGGAUAGCAUUGUUGCCCGAUGGGUAUGUAUUUGACCCUUAGGAUGGUGAAACUUUAUCAUGAGUAGUUUUCUUUAGAAGACUGUUGAAAGAAGUUGAAAUUCAAGAUUUUGAGCCAUUACUACAAAUCGGCAUUGGUGGUUCACAAAUAAAAACCAAAUAUGUCUAAUUCUAACUCCUUCUUGUGCUAGUUGCUUCACAACAUUCAUGAAAAUGGCCCUAACCAUUAGCACUUCUGGAAACAGAUCUUUUGAAGUAUGGUGGCAGAUGAACCAUCAUGGGUUGGCCUAAUGGUAAAAAGGUCAUUACUUAACUAAGAGGUCAUGGGUUCGAUCCAUGGUGGCCAUCUACCUAGGAAAUAAUUUUCUAUGAGUUUCCUUGACAGCCAAAUGUUGUAGGGUUAGGCGGGUUGUUCCGUGAGAUUAGUUGAGGUUCGCGUAAGCUGGCCCGAACACUCAUGGAUAUAAAAAGAAAUAUAUGGUGGCAGACGAAUACAUUUUUGGUUAGACACUUGGAUUGUUGAUUCUUCUCUAAAAGUUGAUAUUCCUUUUCUAUUCAACAUAGGUUCUCCCUCCAAUUGUUUGGUUUAUGAUAAUUGGGAUGGUAAUUUUCGUUCAUGGAACAUUAUCUUUCGAUCAUCGCUCAUAGAUGAAGAUCGUUCAAAGAUGAGAUUCUUGUUUCUCGGAUCUUUACAGGUAAAAAAGUGAAAUUUGGAAGUCUGGGACUCUUAAAAGAAUCAACAUUCUUAUUUGGAUAAUGAGUUCUGGAUUGCAGAAUUGUUUUGAGCUUUCUUGAAAGAAAUCUUCCUUUGCAUUGCCCAUCACCUUUUAUUUGCUUUCUUUGCAUGAAGUAUAGGGACACCUUGCAACAUUUAUUUUUUGAUUCUAUUUAUUGAAGGCAAUGUUGGUGGAAACCCUCCACGCAUCCCACUAUUGUUCCUUUAUUAGUUGGUCUCAGAUGUGGCAUUAGCGUCCAAACUUUUGUGGUCUAAUGUGGUCUAAUGGGCUGAAAGAGUGCAACUAGAGAGUUCAAGUCUCUUCCUUAGGAUGACCGUUUUGGUUCAGCUUGUCUGAAAGCCUCCCCUCAUGAUGUUCUUUCUCUAAAAGCUUGGCAAACUACUCUAUUUGGGAUAUUUGUCUUAAUUGGAAUGCUUUAAUGGAAGUGUCUGUUUCCUUUUAAAAAAAACUUUUGAUUAUAAGAACAAUAUCUAUCGACAUUCUGUUACGGGAAAAAAUGUUGAGGUGGUCGCAACACUAAAAGAAAGAUGAUUUUUUUCUUCAAAAAAAGAAGGAAACAGAAGAAAAGAGAAAAUAAGAAGUCCGUAUUUCUCUUACCACCACAAAAUUAGGAAACAAAAGAGGAGAAAGCCUGCAGCUACCAUUCAGGUCGGUAUUUCUCUUGUCCCAUUGAUGAUAAAAUUAAGUUUGUUCUAGUGUGUCACUUCUUGCUUUUAAAGUGUAAACUUGUCAAAUUCUGAGGUUUUAGCUUCAGAAUAAUUUGUCAGAUCAUUUUAAUGUCCUAAGCAAUGCCUUUUGGUCUUUUUGUACUCUAACCCCCCCCCCCGGCACACACACACCAAAUAAGGAAAAUAAUUGUCCAAAAAUGGGUCCAGUUAGAGGUAGGACGGUGGUCUGGCUUGGCGGGAGUUCUUAGUUAGAGUAGAUUAUGGAUUAUGUAAGGAAUCAUUAUGGAUGCAGUAGGUCGAUUAAUAUAAAAUAAAAUAACACUAACAGCAACAAUAGUCACGAGCCUCCUUUUGUUUGGUUGAGGCAUAAAUCCUGAGACACCUCAAAGCCCUCUUGCUAAAGGCUUAUGGUUAACAUUCAGGGAGAGGAAAAGGAAAUGUAAUUAGUAGAACUUCUUGCUUUUCUGUAAAGUUGGGUUGCAGUAAUCAUUCUCAUUCCAUGAGAAGCUUGGCAGGAUUGACAAUUCUGAAAUUCACUUUGUAGACUGUCUUCCUCAAGACAAGACGAGGAUUUGUUCGUAUAGCGAUGGAGAUGGGUACACCACUGGUCCCAGUUUUCUGCUUUGGUCAGGUAUUUUUCUAAUGUUUUCGUAGUGUUAUAUUUCUCGUGCUAUAAUUUGUAUUUUAAAAUUUGAUUUUGAUCAGUUUCCUCCAAAUUCAUGUAGUCAAGUGUCUAUCAAUGGUGGAAACCUGGUGGUAAGUUUUUCCUCCAAUUUUCAAGAGCAAUCAAGUUCACACCAAUUGUCUUCUGGGGAGUUUUUGGGUAUGUGUAUAUUUUCUCGCCGAGUCUUCACAAAUAUCAUGCUCUUCUCUUAUCUUACCAUGCUGUUCUUGUCCAUCUUGCUAAAAAAGAAAGAGCACGUCUUGUUAAAUGGUUGCGUGGUUGCAUUGUUGUAUGAUUGUAUCUAGAUUAUUGCUUUUAGGAGUCUACUUUAAAUAUAUGUAUUUUUAGUCAUUAUAUCAUCAAUUGUGCACAAAACUUCUAGCUUCGGAGUCGAAGCUCUAUUAUGUGCUCAUAACACAAACACUCCAUUUUAGUUAGUGUCUAGUGUCGGACACAGACAAACACCUGUCCAACAUGAAAAUUUACAUGUCCUAUUCUUAUUUGUUGUUUUCAAUUUUAAACAUGCGGGCCAUGUUUGGGAUACUUCCUGGACACGUCUAAACAAUUCUUUUAAAGAAUAAAGACAAAACAGCCCAACCUUUCUUGUUGCGAAUUUAAAGCCCAAAUCAAUUAUAUGUUGAAAGAUGGGGGAAGCCCCUUUUUAAAACCAGAUUUUCUUUAAAAAACUGAAGUUAGGAACCUUGGGUUUCAUCUCUUAUAAUUGUUAAUUAACUUCAUUCUUAAAUCAUCCAUUGACCUAAAAGUUUAAGUUGACGAUGGAAGACAAAUUUAAUAUUAUGUCAUCUAACACUCACCCUCACUUGUGGGUCUGUAAUUUGUAGAAGACCCAUUCUUGCCCUUCACUUCAUAGGGAUACUCUCCUGCAAUCAGGGAUGCCUAUUGUAGGCUUUUGUUGAACCUUCUAGGAGUUGCAUAGACUGCAACUUGAGGCAAGCUGAGUUUGGGUGUCAUUAACAACCAUGUAAUUGCUCAACUGUUCAGGAUUUAUGAUUAUUGUUAUUAUUUUCUUUUGUGUAUUUCCCUUUCGCAGGUUUUUUGAAAUCUAUUUAUUUUUCUACCUAAAAGGUCAUUAUGUACUCUGAAUUAUUAUAUUUAAUAAAUAUAAAAUUAACAGGUGCCAUUAACAACCUCGUAAUUGCUCAACAAUUCAGGAUGUCAGUGUUGACACUGCACAGUCAAUAUUGAAUUAUAUAUUUAGUUAUUUUUUUGGGAAAUUGGACCGGGCAAAACUAACUUCGCGCCAGCCUUGGGCUUUAGUUUGGUAAAAAUGUUGUAUACAUGCAAUUUAUUUUGAGAAAUUUGCCUCAAGAGGAGGAGGAACAAGAUGAUCCAUGAAAAAGUUCAAUAGUAUGUUAUAACAUUGGGAUCAAGUGUGUUGGUUGGUGAUCUUUGGUUUUGUUCGUAAGUUAAUCUAUCUAGUUCUAAUUUCAUCGUUACCUGCCUAUCAUUGAAUAUUGUUGUGUUUUCAGAUCGCCUCUUCCUUAUAGGCGGCAGAUGCAUGUGGUGGUGGGAAGACCCAUUGAGGUGAAGAAAAAUCCAAAUCCAACGAGUGAUGAGGUAGGUGUCUCAAAGGUCCAUUAACAAUUUAACAUAUAUGCUAGAAUGAUUGCAAUUCUUUACGAACGUUUAAGCAUACAUAAUAUUGACGUCAAAGAAUCUCUCUUUUUGGUCCUCUAUGGAACUCCACCGCCCAACUUUGUUUGGCUAGAUGAGUGCUGAGAAAGAGAGGUAGUGGGGGAGCUGAGGGGUCAAAACUAGUUGCCUUACUUUUUGAAUUUAACAAUCAUAAGUAGGAUUCAAACCGAUUGUUUGAGUAAGUUCUUUAGAAUUAUCUGCUUAGGGGGAUCAUUUACCAAGUCCUGUAUUUCAUUAUUCUUACAACUAUCAUGGUAAGUCCCAUAUCUCUUACAUGGUUUUUAUCAGGUGCUUGAUUUACACGGUCGGUUUGUUGAAGCACUCGAAAGUAUGUUUGAAAGGUAUAAAGGACAGCUUGGCUAUGAUGAUCUGCAGUUAAAUGUCCUUUGAUUAAAGGUUGAGAGAUUUAUUUGGUCCAACUUCAAUCAAUCCUGUACUCAUCUCUUGUAUUCAAGAAUAUCUGUAGCAAUGAUCGGAGUGCCCAUUAUUAUACAUUCGAGAUCUUUUGGCAAAUGAUGUGGGGUCCAGCAGAAUAGAAAACCAGGGUUUUAAAUCUUUGAGAAUAAUACACUUAAAUGGAAUUCGAAUUCAGUUAUGAAAUGUUGUAGGAUAAACCAACCCUUGUUGAAUUAGAAAUGAUGAUCAUAAGAUGGUUCGAUUAAUAAUUUAAUCUUUAAUAUUUUGUAGUCGGAUGCUAUAAUGGUUUACAAAUUGAAGGUUUUAACUCAAACCAUGCUCGAAAACUUCGAGGAUGGUGAUUUUAGAAAAAUAAUAAAUCACUAACAGUUGAAUUUUGAAGCAUUGUAGGAUGAAAUAUAUGUUUCGAAUUUUCUUUUAUUUUCAAUAUGUGCAUUCUUACCUCAAUAUCAAUCUGCAUGUUAUUGAUCUAACAAUAAAAUAAAUUAAUAAAAAUAUAUAUUUACUAUAAUUAUUUUUUAAAAAAUAAACUUUCAAAUAUAAAAUACCACUUUAGCAAUACAAUGGUUCUAAAAUCGCUUUUUGUAUUAAAUUGAAAAUUAAUUUUAAGAGUUUGUUAUCAAUUAUAGAUUUGAUUGUUUGAGAAAGGGUAGUUUAGAUAUGAUUUUAAAAAAAUUGAUCGAAUUUUAAACAGGUAGUAAGCUUUUUAAAUUAAUCUUCAUAAUUUAGAAUUGAUCUUUAUAACCCUUAUGUUUGAUUCAAGGUUAAUUUAAAGUUGUCUAGUUAUUCAUUUAUUUUCUAUUUGAGAAACAAUUAUUUAAUUAAUUAAUUACAGUAUAAAUGUACUUCUAUUUAUUUUAUUUUAUAACUCAUAUACCUUUAUAUAUAUAUAUAUAUAUAUAUAUAAAAGAAUUUACGAAAACCAUCUAACUCGGAUAUAAUAAUAGAAGCAUUGCAUUUUAACAGAAGAAUGGUAUGCGGUAAUAUUGAGGCCAUCGAUGUUUCGCAACCACUUGUGGAGGUCCAAGUUCUGAUGGCGAUCGCUCUCCUUCAAGGCGUGCACCUCCUGCGCGAGAUAAACUAGAAAUAGACAACCUCCAAUUCAAAUUUCUGAAGAAUCACGUUAUUGAAACGGACAAUCGGAUUGGAAACGGUAUCAUAUAGGUGUGAUUUUUAGGGUUUCUUUCUGGGUUGCAUGUUCGUAAAAUUACAACCACACAUCAAAUCAGCAAUUUCAGGUUUGAAUCCCCAAGCAUGCAGCUCCUUCUCUUUUCCAGAUUAACCCAUUAGCAUCUGCAUCUCAUACCGUUUCCCCGUCUUCUCCCCCUCAAAAUGCAUAUCAUAUAAUACUACCUUGUCUCUCUUUUUCGUCAAUUUUAGGAAAAUGUGUGCAUGCUGUUCCGUUUAUUUGAUUCGAUUGAUGCAGGGAGGGCACGAGAAGCGAAUCUUAGGGUUAGGUUUUUCCAUAAAAGUUAAGAUGAGGAUCAUGGGUUGAGCGUUUUGUAUAGGAAGUUGCUGUCAUCUACCGAGUAUUGAUACUUUCAUGUCUUAUUUCUCAUAGACGCCAACUCCUUUUUACGGAUUUCUGGGUUGGGUUUCCCUUUUAUUAAGUGCAGCAUUUUUUUCCCCUUAUCUGUCUUCUGAAAAUUACGUGUUGCAUUCUUUCCUUCAUUUCUUAAACUUUCUUCUGGAAACCUAACUUCCAUUAGUAUUUACUUGUAGGAUUCUGAUUCUUCCGUUGGAACUGAAGAUGUGUGACGCGAAGGAGAAACAGGAAUCUGUACAAGAUGUGUCAACUGCUUUAAGUGAAGGAAACCAAGUUAAUGCAAAAGAAGAUGAGCUCCAUGAUUCUCUCUCUGUGCCAGCUGAGGCAACUCCAAACUCUUGCGAAAAAGAGAUUGAUUCACCUGGAACUUGUGUACAGGAAAUUGUACCUCUUGAGGAUAAUUUAGAAAAACCUACAAUUCUUCAGCAAUCCAAUCAAAUUUCUGGGCAUUCACUUCCCAUGGAUUAUGACCAAGAGUUGGAUAAGUCUGUUGCAGAACCUGCUUCCGAUGUCAAGUCUGGCCCUGUUGAGUUACCCUCGAGGGAUCUAGAUGCUGCUGUUUCCAGCUCUCCCCUAGAAACUGUUCAGUCCUCCAUAGAUGCCAAAUCUGAGGCCUCUAAGAUGCCUGAAAUUAAAACCUGUUCUCUUGAUGAUGCUUCAACAGUGAGUCACGAUGAACCUGUAACUCCCCAUCCAGUGUCAUCUUGUGUAAAAGCUGAAACAGAAAAUGCCAUAGAAUUGAAGGUCAAUGAAGACAUUGUUACUACACCACAUAAUGGGGAUUCAAACAUGAAUCACUCGUUUCUUUUGGAUGAAAAUCAUAUUGCUGAAGGUAGUGAAUCAGGAACAGAAGAAGAGCAAUCUGCUUUCAUGAAGGAGCUUGAGAACUUCUUCAGAGAAAGAAGCUUGGAAUUCAAACCUCCUAAGUUCUAUGGAGAGGGUCUGAAUUGCCUCAAGUAAUAUUUUUAUUCUUCUUUACUGUAGCAUGAUUUACAUCAUCCAAUAGGAAAUGGAGUUCUCAGCUCACAUUUUGAACUUUUUAUUAUAAGGUUGUGGAGGGCUGUGACUAGAUUGGGAGGCUAUGACAAGGUAUUUUUUGUUCUUUCUGUAAUGACCACAAUGUUUCUUGCUUCAAUGAUGACAUGUUUGGAUCGUGUGAAAUCUAAUAUAAAUAUUUCAAAGAUGCUUUUAGUUCCCAUGUGACUUUUUGUUUAGGGCUUAAGCUGCCUCGUACACAUUGAGGCUAUAAAAUGCAUUUGAGUUAGCACGGACACUUUAGUUUGGAUAGUGUGUUCGUGUCGGACACUUGGACACUUUGACACUUGGUGGACACCUUUUGUACCUUUUUAGUGCAGCAAAUGUAUUAGAUUUGCAUAGAACAUUCAUUGAUUAGACUAAAAAGGCGUAUAUAUGACAAUGAUAAUAACUUUUGGGCAUGGAAUACAUCAAGCUCAGUUUUUUAAGCAUAUAAAUGCAUCAAUUCAUUUACUAUGAAUUUUCUUUUACUAUAAAUAUGAUAUAUAUACUUUAAAUAUGAAUAUUUUAAUAAAUGUGUCCUUGCCUUGUCGUGUCCUAGAUUUUUAAAAUAUGGUGUGUCGUCGUGUCCGCGUCAUGUCGUAUUCAUGUCUCGUAUCUGUCUUCGUGCUUCUUUGGCUACUGUGCCUAAAUUUAAUGGUCGAGAAAAUGAACAUGGUAUUUAUAUCUUCAUGCAAAGUGUUUUAACUGCUCCCCUUCAUCAACCUUAGGGCAUAGGUAGUUAGGGGAGAAAAUUGCGGGUGUAUGAUUUACUUUUUUAUUUUGCUUUCUUCUCAUGAUAUUUCUUGUUUCAUUUGAUUCAAUUGUUUUUUUGGCUCUGAAAUCUUAUUUUUGACACAUCCAUCACUGGCAUCCUUUCUGGACAGGUGACUUCAUGCAAGUUGUGGCGUCAAGUAGGAGAGUCUUUCAAGCCUCCAAAGUAAGGACACAAUUGGUAGUCUAAUAUCAAAAUUUUCCUACGUGUGACACUGAGGGAGACAAGUUGCUGCUUUUCCCAAUCAUAUUUUUCGAAUUGUUAAUUUAGCUUAUGUUCUUUCACCUGUCUUUCUUAUUGAGUAAAAUUAGUUAUAGUGCCUGAAAUCUUGAACAGCAUAGCCUAAUGCCCAACCUAAUUCCGGUUUACAUUUAUACUAAAUCAUUGUUGACAAAUUCUUCAGGUAGUUUGAAGAAUAAAUGGUAUCAUGGUAUCUGAGUUGUAACAUCUCCAUUUUAGGAGGAUUUUUCUUUAUCUUUUACAUUACCUCAUCUUUCAGCCUAUAUAUGAUAAGCAUUCUUUUUUUUUUGGUUCUACAGGACAUGCACAACAGUUUCAUGGACAUUUCGAGGAUUUUAUGAGAAGGUGAUGGCGAAAAGAUAUUUUCUUUGAAUAUUUGUGUAUUUCCAUUGAUGUAUUUAUAUCCAUCUUUUGUAUGUGCAUCCUAUGGGAUUUUCAUAGUCACAGGUUUCUUACAAAUAAAAGGUUAGGGGAUUAUUAAUACUUCUUGUGGGUCAUUUGAAGUUUUGUAAUGUAAAUAUAAUCCAUUGCACUUGUUUCAAAUGGAUGAAGUUUUAAAUCCAUGUUUUCUUUCUUACCAUAGCAAGUAUUUUUUCAAUUUAUUAUCUGAGUUUUGUUGCACUCGUUUUACCCUUAGCUUUGUAUCAAGACUCAAGUGUCUCCAAUCUCUAUCUACUGCUUAGAAGCUCAUGGAAAGAGAAACGUAUAUAGUUGCAUAAGUUAUCUAACACAAUACUUUUGGUUGUAACUUCUCAAUUUUUUUUAGGCUCUUCUUGAUUAUGAGAGGCAUAAAACCAAUGGUGGUGAACUUAGUGUACCUAUUGCUUCCAACUCAGAACCGAUGAGUAUUGAAAACCAGGUAUUGCAGAAUUUCAAGCUCUGGACUUAUAUUUAUUUUAUUUCUUCAUGACGAAUAGCUAAUAUUUUUUGGGCAAAUUUAUUUCUGUUAUAUUUUAUAUAUGAUAGCUAUUAUGGUGUUUUUUGCUCGUAAGAGGUAAGAGAGUUGAAGGUUACAUACAACGCAUUUCAUUUCAUAGAUUCAGGGCUAGUGACUGGUUUCAACUAUUAUUUAGUUUUUUUCACACUUUUAUAUGACUUGUGUUUAGCGAUACUUGGUUAUACCAAAUUUGGAUUUGAAAAAGGUUUUUAAUUCACUAUCAGAGGCUUACUCCCCAUUUUCCUUGUUGAGGCUUUUGCCUUACCUCUCCGUGAGGAAAAGGUCUUCUUUAGUCUUUUAAGACAUUGGUCAGAGACUCCCAAAUUUUGGUGGGAAAUUGUGUCAGGCUUUGAUAGAUGAUUGAUAUCUCUAGAAGCUUACUUAUUCCGUAAAAGUACAACAUUCCAUCAAAGAAAAUUUUCAAUAGACAAAUAGUGUUCAAUAAAAUCAUUGGUAUUAGUCCUGCCAAUAGCCACUGGCUAACCAAAAAGUGUAUUUUCUUUGAAUUUUUUAACGUCCAUAGCUUAGAUACGAACAAAAAGAAGCUGAAUCAUGAGGAUGGGUUUGAGGAGCUAACCAAAGAUCUGGAAUAAGAGAAGACAUCCAGUCCGAGGUCAUCUUAAAUGUUGCAUAUGUUAGAUCAUAAAAAAUAGUGGGGGCUAGUUUUAGGAAGUAUAGGUGUUAUUUGUUAAUAAUGCUGGUGUUAUUGAUCCUGCUCAUGUUUGUGUUAUAUUGCCCCGAGGAAAUAGCAUCCUGCUAAUAAUUGUUUGCCUCAAGGAUAUACCUAAGAGUCUAACUAGUACACGAUUGAACAAAUUAAUGUACAUACAGUCAAAUUUCUUCAGUAAUUUUAUACAUCCUGAUUUUCUCUCACACAACUUUAAUCAGGGAUCCGGAUCAGGUAGAGCACGAAGAGAUGCUGCUGCACGUGCCAUGCAAGGUUGGCACUCACAACGUCUUCUGGGAAAUGGUGAAGUUAGUGACCCUAUUAUCAAGGUCUGGUGAAUGCUGUGUUUCAUGGAUUGUUUUCUCUUGUGCAUCCUCAAUUUAUUCCCUUACCAUCCUUUUCCAAUGGAGUAUCAUGUUUAAUAAUCUCUGUAGGACAAGAACUCACUCUCAAUGCAGAAAAGGGAAAAACAACUAAAAAGCAUUGGUAAGCUUCUUUUGUGUUCUUCACAGCUAGGAUGGCUGCAUAUCUGUAAUUCUUUCUUCCUCUGGUUACAACUAUUAUUAAUAAUUUUUGGUUGAUGUAGGUCUUCUUAAACGUAAGAAACCAUCUUACAUGGAGCACUCCAUGAAAUCAGCACGUACAAAAUCACCAAAACCACAGUUAGUAAACUCUUUAUAUGGAUUUUUAUUUGUGCAUGUAAGAAAACAUUGGAUGGAAUGUUGGUAAAAAAAUUCCUGUUUGUGGCUUAGGUUGGACGUAGCAGUAGUUGAUAUUGGACAACCAGCCGACUGGGUCAAGGUCAAUGUGCAGAAAACUGUAAGUUGCGGAAGUAUGUUUUAAUGAAAAACACCAGUAAUAAUGAUCAUAGAGCCAACUCACGUAGUUCCGUUCUUGUGGCAGAAAGAUUGUUAUGAGGUCUAUGCAUUAGUUCCUGGACUACUCCGCGAGGAGGUACAUCAUUUCUGUUUUAUGCCUUUUCAUCAUUUGCAAUGUGUACAGUUGUCAUGGAGAAACCAUUUAAUUUGUUUUUCUAUUUUAUUUAAUCAAUAAAAACUUCUAAGAAGUUCAAUGGACAACGUAUUUGCUUGGGUUUUUUUUUUUUCUUGCAAUGGUUAAGAGAGAUGAGCAUCUUCUAUCUGUUUGCUGUUCUAGCAGCCUUUGGCUUGUGAGGCCUUGUGCUAUGAGCUCAAGGCAUCUUUACUUUUAACCUUUUUUUAUUGUUUUGGUCUGAAUUAGUACAUAUGUUUCAGUGUUGUCCGAGCAGUGUGUAAAUCUUUUCCAAAUUCUGUUUCUGCAGGUGCGUGUUCAGUCUGAUCCGGCAGGACGCUUGGUCAUUAGUGGUGACCCUGAACAUCCUGAUAAUCCAUGGGGUGUCACACCCUUCAAAAAGGUCCUUACUGACCGUAACUUUAUUAAGAAGCAGUUUAUUUUAGUAACCAGGAUUACCCUCAACAAUUUACAUUAUCGUUGAAAUUUACAAGACUUCCUACGUUUUCUCACUCUAAUCUGCUUUAUUUCCCUAAUUUCCUCACCUCGGACCUUCAAAUUCUUUGCCUGGAAAGAGGCUGAAGAAAUAUUCAAUGCGUGUUUUUCAACGAUUAAAAUUAAUCUUGUGAAUUUAGAAAAAAUAUUCAAUGCUUAUUUUUUAUUGCAGGUGGUCAGCCUACCGUCAAGGAUUGAUCCACACCAGACUUCUGCCGUUGUCACCUUACAUGGACAGUUGUUUGUUCGUGUUCCAUUUGAACAGUUGGAAUGAAUGCAUUACAUAACCACUCAACUGAAGCUCGAUGUUCAAACCAAUCUUGUAGUUUGACGUGUUAGUCUGUUUUAUAAUGUUAAUACAGUUUGACAGUGGCAAAAGACCGUUUAGAUAGGCAGGAAACAUGAUUUUGUUUUGUUUUGUAAGAUCUUUGAUAGUGGUUAGCUAGUAUCGAAAAGCUAUUAAUGUAUCUUAUGUGAACUCCUAAUCUAAGUAUCCUUUACGGCGUAUUUAUAGUAGCAAGGAUACUACUGCUCAUUUUUUCUUGUUGACGGUUGCAUCAUUUUAGCCCUAGGAAAAAGGAGUACACCAAUUGGGAGUAUACUGUAACAAAUCUUGUAGAUGACAGCAUUGAAAUAGGAAAGCAGAUUGAUCAGCGUCAAUAUUAAGCAUGAACGUGAUGAUAUUUUCAUUUUCAAACAAACUAAGGUAUGUAGUUCAUAUAAAUUUAAAAUAGAAAUGUAAAUAUUUUAUAACACUUAAAAGAAAUCAACCAGAAAAGGAUACUCUUGCAACGUGAUGUAACAAUCAAUAUCCAUUUAAAAAAAUUAGAAGUUUACACAUUCAUUGUUCAGUUGCCAUUGAGGCCAAGUCUAAUUCUUCGUCGGAAUCAAUUACAUCCUCAAAAUCAUAAUAUGCUUUGACCUGCAUGUGAAGUAAUAACGGUUAGCUCCAUUUACAAGACCUCGAUAAGCAUAACAGUACGAUACAUCUAUUCUAUCAUCAUACAAGAUAAGAAAAAGGGCUACAAUUGAGAGGUGGAAUGUGAUUAAUCACCUUUACCAACAACUGAGGCAUUCUGAGCCUCUUUAAAGGGAAACCAAGAGGGUGUUGCGUUAAAGAAAGAUCUGAUUGGCCAUCAAGCAAAAGGACAAGAUGGUUUACGUCUUCAUUUUUUAUGCAGUGCAGAUACGAUCGUGGAUUAGCCAUUCCUCUCUUUUCUUUCAUCGCUCUUCUCUACUUGACCCGGUGCCUGGAGCUAAAACAAUCGGGGUGCAUAAAAGACUCGUUUUCACUCUUUCUUUGUUGAGUGCAUCAUUGGAACGUCAAAUUACAAACAGUACUUGUCCAGAUAUCUCUAGUUGGACUCCAAAUACAGUUUUCUAGAGAUCUUUAGAGAACUUGGGACUCAGAAGGCAUUUCAUUCAAGUUAAUAUUGAAGCUCAAACUCUUCAUUCAUUCCAAACUUUUUAUAUUAUACAUAACAUUCAUAUCCAUCUCACCUUUUAGCAAGAAGCGCUAGGUUAAAAGGCUAUUUCCACCCAAAAGCUCUGAGCAAAUUCUUUAUAGAUGGUAAUGCAGAUGGCAAAUUAAGCCAUUUGGCUUGUUCACAAUUUGCUUCUCAAUCGCUUGAAGCUGGCUGGCUUGCUAUCCGAGGCUUGAAAAAGAAGCUAAAUGGUACUAAAAGGAAAAUGGGAUUGGAGGCUUUUUCAUGAAUUAUCUGCUUUGUGGAGAAAAGUGAUGACUAAUAUUUAGUUGAAAGGAGGGAGAUCUCCUUGUCUAGUUACCCUUAAAACCCAAAAUUCAUCUCUAAGUCUUCCAUUUAUAGUAUAAUUGGAAAUUGGAAAGGCAACCAUUUAUUUCAUCAUGAAAAUAAACAAUUGUUGGAUAUAUGAAAUAACAAAAAAGGGAAAGGAUAAUUUAAGGCUAUGUUUAAGUAAAUUUGUGUAAUGGCAAUUUCGUAUAACUACAAAAGGAUCUUCCACCUUCGUAGGGCUUUAACGUGAAAGGUGUUUUAAGCCAUAAGAGGAAAUUAAAUUUGUCAUUGAAGAUACAGCUAUUUCUUCGGGCAUUCAAUUGCUUAUCGGGCUCGUUUUGAGAUAAUUUUGGGGAAAUUUUGCUCCAAGUUCCAUGAAUCUAUUGGCAACUUGGUUGGAUUUUAUAGCCUGUUGAGCUUAGUGAAAGAUUUUGGUAAUCUUUAGAUUUUGAUUUUGAUGUUUUGAAGAGGGUCAUGGAUUGGUUGAUAGUUAAGCCUCAAGAAGCUGGUUUUUUAUUUCUUCAAAAUUCAAUCAAUCAUAGAAGUCUCAUUUCAUGUGAAUCUUUUAUUUUCUCUUCUUUUAUUUGAUAUCUUGGUCUGGUUUUGAUUUACCAUUCUUACACUGACAAGUCUUUUAUAGCUUUAUGUUCCGUAUAUUCUUUCGUAAAUUUGCGCAUUAGUCUCAGUUCAUUAUUUCAAUGGAAAGCUUUGUUUCCCUUUUUUAUUAAAGAAAAAAAUGUCUACUGCAUUCGAUCUAAACGAACCACAAAAAGGCUCUCAUGAGGUGCAACCAUAAGGUCCUGCUUAUUUACAGAUUUAACCCAAGGGGUUCUAAAAAACAUCAAUUCCAUGACUAAUUUAACUCCCUGUGCUGUGUGCACCACGACUAAACAACUCUACUCCAGGCUACAAAUGUCAUAAGAGUCUCCUCCAUUGAAUGGAUAAUCCUCUAGAAUAAGAUAAAUUAGAUAUAUCGAUAGAAAGAACCACGACCCAAUUGAAAAUAGAGAUCAUGGCGCUCUAAAAUCUGUUAGAAUAAGGCAGAGGAUAAAGAGGUGGCUUUGAGACUCAUGGACUGUAUACUCUAUAGCAUAGGGACAGUGCACCAACACUAAUGGUCUAGGUCCUUUCAUUGAUAAUGCCAUGUUUGAAAAACUCUUGGAACACUCUAAUUUUGUUCUUUCUUGGUGUCCCCAUCCUUUCUAAAAAAUUCACAUUUGAAGGAAUCAGGACCUGAUGAUUUUUAGUUUCCAUUUGCCAAAGUUGAUUAAUAGAAAGAUUUCUGUUUCUUCAAACGGACUCUCUAACCAUUAUACUAAGCCACUGCUAAUAGGCUGGCAUGAACUUCCCUCUAGAACAAACCGUUGCUUCCAUCAUAUUCAUUUAGAGGAGAAAAUCCAUAAUUUCAUUCUACAUAAACUGGAAAUGGAGUUUUUACCCACUCUAUGAGAAGUCCAUCUAUGAAAGAGUUUUGAAAUAAGGUAGCUCUUUCAGCUAUUUUAGCUUAGCUUCUAACACAGCCGUUACUCUUUCAGAAUCAACUUCAAUAUGUUUUGUCUUGUCGUGAAGGACUGUAUUGUGGACAAUGGAAAUUGCUGCCUUAUUAUCACAGUAAAUGUGCAUGCACAUUGUCUGAGUGAACUUCAAUUCUUCCAACAGUCUUCUUAUCCAUAUAGCCUCACAAACACCAUGAGGUAAAGCUCUAAAUUCUGCUUCUCUACUACUUCUUGCAAACACUCUGUUUUUUACUUCGCCAAGUAACAUCCUCCACCAAAGGAGCAGUAACCAAAAGUGGAUCUUCUAUCCAUCGUGCUACCUGCCCAAUCAGCAUCAAUGUGAACUUCACCUUUGAGAUGGCCAUUCCUUUUUCUGAAGUACCUAUCAAACAUCUUAGGGUUCUAUAAACUGCAUCAAAGUCAGUUAACUUAGGACCAUGCAUGAACUAACUUACCAUACUGACUGCAAAAGCGAUGUCAGAAUGUGUGUGGAAAGAUAUACGAGUCUCUUCACAAGUCUCUGGUACUUUUCUCUUUCUUUUAUCUCAUUUUUUAUUGCAACUUCCAAUUUCAGAUUCUGCUCAAUCGCAGUUUCUGCCACCUUGAAACCAAAGAAAUCUUCUCUUCUAGCAUAUUAAGAAUAUACUUCCUUUGGUGGACAAGAAUGCCACUUUUGGACCUGACGAACUCCAUGCCUAAGAAGUACCUUAAAGUUCCUAGGUCUUUGAUCUGAAAAUCAUCGACUAACUUUUUCUUCGCCAGUCUUGUCUCAUCAUUGACGGUAGAAUGAUAUCAUCAGUAUACUCUACAGCCUUAUCAUUUUCUGUAUGUUUAUAAAACAUCAUAUGAUUGACUUGACUUUAAUUGAAUCUAUGAGUGAUAUAUAAUUAAAUUUUCCUUCAACCACCAGCUUAAGCUUUUGGGUGAAUUGGUGAUUUAAUAGAAUCCAUAGCUUGUGCCUGCUUUUUCAAAGGGUUCAAACCAUGCUCUAAGAGAUUGUUCGAGAGUGUAGAAUGAUCUCUUUAACUUGCACAAUUUGUUAAUUUCGAGAUCUACCUCAAACCCGGGUGGAACAUCCAUACAUACCUCUUCUUCAAGUUCCCAAUUGAGAAAGAUAUUUUUAACAUCCAUUUAAUAAAGGGGUCAAUCAAAGUUAACUGCAACAGACAACAAAAUUUUGAUAGAAUUGAUUUUAGCAACUAGAGCAAAUGUUUUUUGAUAAUCAACUCCCUAGGUCUAAGUAAACACCUUAGCAACCAAUUUGGCCUUGUACCUUUCAACACCACCAACUUUACAUUUCACCGUGAACACCCACUUGCAUUCAAUUGUUUUCUUUUUUUUUUUAGUUCAACUAUGUCCCAUGUGCAAUGUUGUUUCAGAGCAUUCAUCUCUUCCAUCACUGCUAAUUUCCAAUUCAAAUUACUUAAGGCCUCCUGUAUAUUCCUUGGAACAAACAGGUUGGUUAUUUUGGAUGUGAAGGCUUUGUGACUGUCAGACAAUCUAAGAUAAGAAAGACAAUUUGCAAUGGGAUAUUUGACAAAAUUAAAAGUACCUUUCCUAUGGGCAACUGGAAAUAUCAAGAUCAGAGACAUCAGAUAAGGGAUUAUGAGAAAAACUGAGAGAAUUAGAAGAAGGAGAAUGUAUUUUACCUGGAUCUUUAGAAUCAUUUAUCGAGGUAUUAGAUUGAUUUUGUGAUAGAUCAACCAUCUGUUCUCAAUUCUUUUGAGUUAAGUUUCUUCUAGUGUAAACCCGUAGUUUUUUUACUUGUCAAGUCAGUCGGUACUGUUUCUCUGCCUACAAGAAGAACUCUCCACACUUGGCAUCAAAGAAUUAGAACUCAUAAUUUCAUAAUCAAUGAUGUUUGGGAUAAGUGAAGUGUUCCAAAAAUUAUCUUUCAAGAUUAGGUCUCCCCCCUAAAGAGAAUUUUGGCCAAAAAAAAGGGUUGAUUCUCCAAAAAAGACACAUGCAUACUCUCAAAGUACUUUCUGGUCGGAGGGUCAAAACAUUUGUAAGCCUUCUUAUGGGAGAACAACCAAACCUUGAAUGAUUGGCAUCUCCACCAAAGGAGUGUCUGUUCUCCUUAUUUUAAAGAAACUAUAAUGCUAUGGCGUCAGAAGGCUUACAAAUCUAGACAUAUACACCAAAUACAAGAAAGGUUUGGUUGUUCAUCAGCCUUCAGACACCAAAGCAUUAUAGUUUCUUUAACUUAAGGAGAACAGACACUACUUUGGUGUAUAUCUCCUAAUUUGACAUUUCAACUCGAUUUCUACUCGUAUGAAUCAAAGAGAUCUAGGUCUCGCCAAAUCUUUUCGAAGGAGUGAAAGUAUUGUGUCACUGAGUUACUUUUUUGGCUUAUAUCUUCCUAGUUUGAGAUUCAACUCAAAAACUUGUGAUUGAUUGCCUAAAUAAGAGUACAUUUGUGUCACACUGUCCCACGAUUCCUUGGUCGUAGAGUAGCACAUGUAAUUACAGUUGAUGUCUUCAACCAUGGAGUUUACAAGCCAAGUCAUAACCAUGGGAGUUUUCAACAUCCAAUGCAGCAAACAAUGGGUUGUUUGGUUUUGAGGCAGUUUUCUCUCUGAUAAUGAAGCCAAGUUUCCCUUGUUCACGAAUAUAAAGUCUAACACCUUGUGACCAACGAAGAAAGUUGACUCCAUUAAGUCGCAUUGUGGUGAUUUGGAUAGUGGGGCUAUUGGAAUGGAUACAAUUAUCGACUUUAGCCAUAGGUAACUUAGUAUUUGACAUGGUUGAAGCAACAAAGGUAAAAAAAACGGAGAGAACAGAUCUGAAAACACAAACCAAUCUUGUCAUUGGCAGCGGACGACUCAGAAAGGGGUAACCGGCAAGGACCACAACAAACAACGGCAAACAAAAAAAAAACCAACUUACAAACAAAAAUCGCAAGAAAAUGCAGGUACUAGAGACGUCCGACAAGUUGUGGUCGGCAAGGCGAUCAGUCAAAGUAGAACUACUGGCAACGACAAACCUUGAGGGGCAGAACACAUGGCUAGCGCUGGCAAAGGGCUAUAAGAGUUUUAGGGUUUUUUAGGGUUUCAAAAACCUUCUCUGAUACCAUGCCAAAGAAUGUAAUUUUUAGUAUACCUCACAAAGAGAAAAGGGUUUUCUUAAAUAGAAGAACAACACAUCUACAAAGAAGCAAAAAAAAUUGGCAAAUAUAAUACAACUAGUACAAUAAAAUAUAAUACAAAAAAGAAAAUAAUCAUCAUAUAGUUCUAUAUCAAAGUAGGAAAUAUCCACCAACUUGAGAAUAAUUUUCCAAACAAGGCAAUAACUUGCUACCUUCGGUCGUGGAGUAAUGGCUUCAAAACUAUGAAUGAUUGGAACAUCAAAAUUCGGAGGUUCUAGAACAAUAUAUGCACCUUUGUUUUUGUAUCUUUCCUCAGUGGCCUACAAGGGAAAAACAAUAAGAAAACUAGUUCUCAUUUCAAGUGAAAUAAAAGGUAAUAUAAAGUUUACUCAUUUAUCAAAAAGGUUCCCAACUGGAACUUAGGGAAGGCUGAAAGAUAGACAGAUUGGCCCAUGUAGAAUAAUUGCUAAAUAUGAGCCAAAUGCCUACAAGAUUGAGUUGUCUGAAGGGUUCAACAUCAGCCCAAUUUUUAAUAUUACUAGUUUACUGUUUUAGCUUACUGUUAUAGUUUAUUAAAACUACUUAGUUAGUUACAAAGUAACCAACUUGUAUUACUUUUCCUCAAUAAAUAAACACCUCUCGUAUUGAGAGGCAAGAUAUUCAUUCAUUCAAAAAAUAGUCUUUGAUAUUACACCAUAUUAUAUCACUGACACUGAUUUUUUUAUUGCCAAGUUGAUGGAUAGAAAACUUAUCCCUUCAAGCUGAGUUUAAAUAGACAAAAGGGAAGAACUCAAAAGAAAUACAAAAAUUAAAAACAAUCUAUGUCAUCCACUCUACAAAGAGAUAAAGAUCCGGUCAAUACCUGAAAUUGUGGAUAGUCUGGAGCACUAAACAAAGUAAUCAGCUUCCCUGAAUCUACAACAUGAUCUAUCGUGUAACCCUGAUCCAUUCCUGCAAGACCGGGUCUCUUUUCUCUAGCAUCAGGACCUUCAUGGGAUCUGAUAAUUAGCUAGACAACCGAAAGGAAAAGGUUACAAACUGAUUGUUCAGACAAUUUGCUUUAUGUUAUAAAAUACGUCUAGAGUAAUGUUGGAGCGUCCAACAGUAUAUGCUACGUUAGUUGACAGAUGGAAAGUUAGGAAGUUGGACAAGUUUUUACUUGUUAGUUAGUGAGUUCGGGUGUACCGUGUACAACAUGACCUGUAUCAGUCCUUGUUUUCUCUAUUUCUGUCGACUUUAGAAUUAAAGCACCAAAUUCACCAUGUCAAAGAGAUGGAACAUGAAAGGGGAAUCUAUGAAGGAUAGAGUAAAGUCAGCUGCAGAAGAGAUUAAGAAGACAAAAUACAGAAGAAAAAAAAGAAUGGAAAUGGAGAGGGGAUUGCAAUACUCUUGGAACGAUGGAGAAGGAAACCAGCAAGCAACCAAAAAACCCUAGAAGGCUAGAAGAACCAUAUCAUGAGGCUUGAUCUAUACGUUAAGCUUCUAUAUCUAUAAGAACAGUUAAAAGGAGAAGAAAGCAAAACAUACUUAUCCUAAAAGAUAUAUAGAAAUGGAGAAGAAAAAAACUUUUUUGUUAAGAAAAAACAAAAGAAUACACAGACAUUAAAAAAACUAUCGGGCCUAUACAAGAAGGGGCUCUAAGCAAGAGAAAUAAGUCCAAGCGAAUAAUUACAAAAGAGCCUAGAAACAAAGAGCCAAAGAUAAGCAUAGAAUCUAACAAGAAACCAAACAUCAUCAAAAAAACUAUUGAGCCCACUAUUGGUUCACCUAACUGCCACAAAGCAAACCCUUCAUCACAGAAGGGCAGAUGAAGGAAAAGCUCUUCAAAUGCCUCCCUACACUAUCAUGGAGAAGCCUUCGUAUCAAGGGUCCACUGCCACUAAUCAAUCUCCUCUUCCGGAAGGUAGCAUCUCCCAUAUUGUUUAGGAUAUCACAAGUCAAGGAGGUUCUAAUGAUUGAAAUAUAGGAGGGAUGGAAUGCCAGAUGGAAUAUUAUUAAAAGAAUCAACCUUAACAAUAAUGAGUUGGAUUAAUUCCAAUCUCCAUGGAAGAGAAGGUAGAAGUUAGUUGGUGUUCGGUAUUCCAUCUAACAAGCUCAUCCACAUUCUCAUGAGAUACUUCGUCUUUGGAUUAACAAACACAAGAUUAAUUUUGAACCCCAAAAGGAAAAUAGUGAAUGUAAUACGGAAAGGCAACCAGAAAAGGUGAAAUCUUUUACUUGAAGUAUUUGCCAUGAAGUCUUAACAUAGCCUAAAGGUUCCAAUAAAGAAGAUGAAGCGUGAAUCUUGGUCCAUCUCAGAGUGUCUUUUGCUAGAGGGAGGAGGAAUAGAGGAAGAAAUUAAUGUGUUUCUUCCCAAUGCAACUGGGAAAGAUUGAUGUAAAUAAGAACAAGAGAAUCGUUAUAAAAUCGUCUAGAAACAAGGAUGAAAAACAAAGAAUCUAUUAAGGGUCCAAACAUCAAAAUAAGAACUCACGCCCUCUAAAAAUUUUGAUGUUUCUCGGUCUCUGAAGGCCCACAAAGUAGCUCAUAAUCCGUAUUAAUACAGAUGGCUUAGUUGUUGAUGUCACAUAUAAUCAGCUUGGAUCAGACAACACUCAUGCUUUUAUGCAAAUAAAGAUGGCUAACAUAAACCUGGGCGCAGUCCAAGCAACAAAACUUAAAUAGUCGAGUGACUAUAUACUUCUAUUUAAUAUUUCAAACAAGUUUUGGACCCACUGACUGCCACCGGUAAAACUUAAUUCAUUAGCUAAGAAUUGCAUUAAAAAUGUAUCUCUGACAAGAAACGCUUUUAUAGAUGACAAGAAAUAACCAAAAAGGAGGAAAAAACUCAAGCCCCAAACCAGGGGAGGGUUGUAUUAAAAUAUAUCUUUUAAAGAAACAAUAUAGAUGUCCUGAUUCAAACACACACACGCGUUUUAACAUCUAAAAUAAACUAAGGAAGUGUUUGUUAUAGUUACCUUCAGAUCGAAUUUUUUCAAGAAUUCUUCAGUGCAAUCAGGACCCCACAAGAGACCAAUGCCCCUCUCUCUAUUUGGGGAGAGACCAGGAUUCAUAGAAGGAUCAGACCACAACACAUCGCCCGGAAUUAAAUUCAAGCCUUCCCAUGGGGGAUCAAGAACAGAUCUUCUGGCUUUGGAUAGCUCCUCCAAAGAACCAAAGAGAUAACCCGUUGGCUUCCGGAUUUAAGAUUAUCCUACGAUUUUUUUUUCCUUUCGAUCUUUUAGACGAAGGAACUGAUAUACUGCGGAAAAGUCCUCCAUGAGCCGUAUAUACACAUCCAGCAAUAAUGGAGGCUAAAGGCAGCCCUUCGAAACACCCCAAACACUUCCGAUAGACGUGCUUACCUCUGUCUCCAUACUUGGCUAGCACCUCCUUCUCAAAACCAUAAACGGAUGUGCAGUACUUGGAUUCGUGGUUUCCACGAAGAAGAAAUACACGAUGUGGCAUAAACACCUUUAGACAUUAUGGAGCAGAAUUUAAUCAAAGGAAAACCACCUGUUCAAGGCAAAGAAAGACUAGAAAGUAGCAAGGAUAAAUGUGAUGCAAUGUUUUUCUUUUACAGAAGGGCAACUACUUCUAGGCUGAGAUAAUAGAGAUUGGACAGAGACUAGAUAGAGAAGAUUAAACAGCAGGCCACAUGCUACUGUACGCAUAACAUAAAAAUCCCGACGAUGCAGGGAACAUGGUUACAUGAAUGAUUAAAAGUAAAACUGAUGUUCAAAAAUACCUUCCAAGCCAAUAAGAGCAAAAAAGUUUCAAGACCCCAAGCCCCUCUGUCGACGUAGUCCCCAUUGAAGACAAAGAAACGGUUUUCAGAAGGAAAACCAGCAUCCUGCAGAAGAAAGAGGAGAUCAUGAAAUUGACCGUGGAUGUCUCCGACGACGACUACAGUGGAGUCGCUGCUGGGGGGUGAAUCUUGGAGGAUUUUGAGGCAAUUGGGUUCUUUGUGGAGGAUUUUAGAAGCGGUGAGGAUUAGAGUGUCGAAAACAGAGACGGGAAGGACGGAAGGAAAGUGGGAUGGAGGUAAAUUUUUGGAAGACCAGUCGAAGGCGGCGAUUAGAUGGUGUAUCCACUGGAGGGAAAGGGUGGCAUCGGGAGGCCAAGAGAGAGGUAAGUGAAUCGGAGGUGGAGUGGAAGAAGGUGAAGAUGAUGUGCAGGGAUUUUCGUCAGAUUCAGAGAGGGUGGAGGAGGUGGUGGUGGAGGGUAGAUGAUCGAAAGGAGCCGGAGUAACAUCCGUGGGAAUCGGAUUGGGCGACGCUGAAGAAUCCAAAUCCGGAAAAUGCUUCGACGACAUUGUUAUUUUCUUCGUCGUUGAAUGAUGAGAGAUGUAGCAAGCCCUAGCAAUGGCAGCGCCUCCAUUUCUAUACUAUUUUAUUUUUUUACACUUAACUACUGCCAUGCCACCCGCGCGCCAGCUCCUUUUGCACUCCACUGUCCCAUUAAUUAGGCAUCACCAUUGCCAUAAUAUGCUGGCCGAAAAGUUUUCAUUAAACCGAGCCCAUCUAUCGAACCCACCACUCGCAAUGACCCUAUUCAAAAUUAAACUCUAAUUUAAAUCAGUGAGUUUUUAUAAAUUAAAAUAAAAAUGACCAACUAUUUACCAAUAUAAAAAAUAUAUAAAAUUAUUUAACUAUUAUUUUUUAAUGUAAAUAUUUUAUAAAUUUAUUAUUUUUAUAAUUUAUUAAGAAACAUUUUUAAAAACAAUAAAAUAAAUUAAAAUGUCUACCCGCUGUACCAAAAUAAACAAAUAAAUUUAGAAGAGUGUCAAUGAGAGCAGAUCACCAAAAUAAAAUAUAUUCUCCACAUAUAAAUAUAUAUAUAUUCCAUUUGCACAUAUAAAUAACGAUAUCCUGCGUGAAGUUGGGUUAAACUUUUCAAAGCAUUUCUUUUCAGACGAGACAGACAACCGGCGGAAGCCACCAAAAAAGAAGAUUAUAUUCCGGAUCGAUUUUUCAAUAUGGACCCUAUCACAUAUGAGAGGAUUACGCGGCGGCAGAGGCGGUCCUGCAGAGGCUUCCGGCUCACCUCCAGAAGACUGUCGGUGUCAAAGCUGCGGUCCAAAUUCGGGUGGCUGUUGCGUAUCUUAAAUCGGUGGCGGCGCUCCAUUGUUGAGAUUAAGAAGAGCGGAACAUCAUCAAAAGGUUCUUCUAAUUCAGCUGCGCAAGCUGCGAAGCUCAGGUCCUUCCGCCGCUCCAACUCCUUCUACGCCGAAGCCAUUGCCGAUUGCUUGGAUUUCAUCAAGACCACCUCCUCCUUCUCAACGCCUCCUUCCACUAUACCUACACAUACCUUCUAAUUUUCUAGCUUUUUUUCUUCUUUUCUUUAUCGCAUCCCAUAUGGUAUAUUAUAUUAUUACUGGCGAUGGUUUAAUCCUUUCCUACACAAUCAAUUGAACAUACUUCUUCACCUUACUCCUAAUACUAUCUAUCAAUUAUCAUCAUAAUACAUCAUUUAUUUUAUUUCAGCUUCUAAACUAUAAACAUUUCAACUAAAUUUGAAAUACCCAAUUUAAUUAUCAAAUUAUUUAUGCAUCCAUGUUUUCACUUAUCAUUAUCCCAAUUAAAAAUCUCUCGUUUGCUCGUCCCCAGGCCCAGAUUGUUGUUCUACGCUCUUCUACUUUUAAUUAUCUGCCAUUGAAUUUUAAUUUUAUUUGCAUCACUUGCAAUGAGUAUAGUAUUUUAAAAUUAAUAAUUAAAUAUAUAUCUAAACUCCUAUAACGAUUUAAUCUCUUGUAUAUUUACGAAGUGAGAUGAUAUUAAUUUAAAAUAAUAUGGUGGGGGUAGAAAAUUGUGGUUGAGUAUUUAACGAAGAACAAAUUUAAUUAGUUGAGUUUGAGUAGGUGAAAAAGAAAAAUUGGAAAUGGAAAUUGUGAGAAAGAUCCGUGAUUACGCCACCUACUUCAUUUCUAUCUUUUGACUAAUGCGUUGCGUUCCAUCAUUGAAAACAAGGAACCAACGCAGCACUUUCUUCACCUGCUCUUCUUUCAAUCUUUUUUUUUAUAAACAUUUCUUGAUUUCAAUGCUAAAUUGUAAUCACGGCUCUUUUGGUCCAAACUUUAUUUUAAAAUUUUUAAUCAUUUUCAAUCAUUUUUUUUUUACCUACACAUUAACAUACCCCCAAUUUAAAUAUUUUGAUGUAGCUAAGGGUGUGGUAUAUGCUUUAUCGCUACAAUAAUACUUUCGUGCAUUUAAUUUUAAAUAUCUAAAAAGUUAAAAAAAAAAAUUGACAUGUGAUUGAACAACAUGUUAUGUGAUUUACAUGUGUACUCAACACAACAACGAUUUUGUUUAAUAAUGGAAUAUACUACCUUGCAAAGUAAAAAAGUUCACUAAUGAAUUAUUAUGGAGUUGUAAUGAUGGACGGUGAAUAUAUAUAUAUAUGUAUAUUGGGUAGAUAAUUUAUGAUUUAAUUUCUAAUCUUCCUCUUCAAAUUUGGGCUUCUCAAGUUCUCAAUUUUUUCUCUCAGUUACUACGAGGUUGAAGAGGACCCAACUUGUACUUCUACUGGUGAUUCAUUUGCCCAAAUCUAUCAGUGAUAUAUUAUUAAAAUUUUGGAAUAGAUUGGUUAGGAUAGUGUUAAGGAGAGUAUGUCAAAUAAAAUAAGAAAGUUAGAUUGGAAUUUCACGUGGAUCGUUAUGCUUUCAAUCUUUAAAACCCGUUUUUGAAUAAUGAUAUACUAUUGAUAGGUGAAGCCCCAACCAACACCUAAGAAGUCAGCUUAAGAAAGUCAUUUCAAAUGAGGUUCAUUAAUUAGUUAAACAACUUAACUUGAACUCAAAAGGGACAACAAAGACAAGUAUGUAAUCCAUAUUAAUUGCUCAUUGAUUUAUUGGAGUCUAUAUAUUGAUGGAUUUUAAUUUGUAUUUGUAUUAUACAAAAUAAUUAAUAUAUAGAGACACAAAUGAAUUUUCUUCUCAUGGACAUACACAUACACACAUAUGAACAAGGACCAAUAUAACACCAACCAACCUAGAGAGAAAAAUGAAUUCUCUAUUCAUAAACAAAUUUUAAACCACAUAUAUCGAUCAAUUUAUCAACCACAUGUUCAUUAUUUGACUAUUGAAAAUAACUAUCAUCUUAACUUUAGAAGAUUACUCGAUGGAUAUUAAUUAUUGUAAAACGAUCGAGGAAUUAAUAUUCAAAAUUAUUGCUUGAGAACCAUCUUUUUGUGACAUGUCAAAAUAUUGUAACCAUUAGCAAAACAAGGACGAGGAAAAACACAUACUAAAGUUUGGUUGAAAUUAAAACAUUAAUUAAGAAGGAAAAAGGAGAUGAUGUUUUGAAUAAAAACAGUGAUAUCCUAAUUAUCCAAACAAUUGUAUAGUGUGGCAUAGAGAAAAGAUAAAAGAGAAGCGUAUAUGAAGUCUAAUAUCCAAAAGAUUUUAACCCUAAACCCAAAGUUAGGUCAUUUGACAAAGAAAAAAGAUUAAGAAACCGGAUGAAUCAAAUUCACUCUUAUAAAAUUACCAUACAUAUCAUGAUGAAAAUACCAUGCGACGUUUGGGGCAAGUUACGGAGUUGGUUAUCAAAGCUCAAAAUUAUUAUAGUAGGGUUAUAAGAUUUUUUAUUGUUUGAAGUUAUAUAUUAUUUAAGUUCAAGUUAGUAUGUGUUUGAGGUUGUAAGGUAUUUUAGUUUGAUAAAAAAAAAUACAUAUUUUUUCAUUUUCCACUUCUUCUAUUUUGUAUGUUGUCUUCCUUCUUCUCUGGCGCUUUUCUUCUUAUUUGUUUUUCAAAUUUUUAUUUGUUAGGCAGUUUUUCCCCAUUUUUUGUGUUUCUACUAUAGAACAAAACGAAGGAGCGAGAAGCGGGAGAUCGAAGUGAAAGGAAUCAUAUGAACAAAGUAAAAAUCAAAGAGAAAAAAUUAUUGUUGCGUUUGAUAAGAAACUGGAAACAGAAAACUAAAAUAAUAAGUUAUAACAAAAAUCUAGUAAGAGAAACUGAAUCACAAAAUUAUCAAAGAAAAUAAUAUUUGCCAAGGAACUAGAAAAAGGAGCUAAAAACUAAAAAUAUAAAAUAUAAAGGAAGAAAUGUUCAAUGAGGAACUAGAAAGAGAAGUGUCAACUCGAGGCCUUCACCACGGUUUGAGGACAAGAUGAUACUUUCACACGUGACUGACAUAAACAAAAUGUCAUUUUCAAGCAAAUUUAAAUCUUGGAUUAACUUUCAUUUGGGCUCAUUCGAACAAACUUUAUUCUUUCGGAGGAUGAAGUGUAAUCAAGAUUAUUGAGAAUCUAAAAGAUGUUAGGAUGAGUGAUUUAUCAAUGGCAAAACAAAAAUGAUGAAAUAAAGAGUUGAAUCGAGGAUUGUCGGAAUGAAAUAAGUUUGAUAUUACAAAUGGGGUCCAAAAUGCUUAAUCAAACACAUGAAUCUUGGAAUAUAUGACAUUACAAACGCAUCCCACUUUAGUCCACAAACAACUCUUAUUAGAACUUGCACACUUAAAAGAGUAACUUCAUCUUUCCAUUUUUUAUACCUUUCACACCUACCAAGAAAACUCAAUCUUACUCUCUAUCUCUACUUUAGCAUUUGCCAAGUAAAUUUAUCUUACUUUCUCAAUCUAUUUUUCACAACUAUUAUUAAAUUUAAUAUUUAAACUCUACACCCUAAACACAAAUUUACCAAUUUCAACGUAUUAACCCCUCAAUUACUAACUCAAUUAGCGGGCCAAAUGCCCCACAAGGACGUAUAGGUCUUAUUUGGUUAUUGGUUGUGUUGAAAGGUUUAAGGAAACGAUAACUAGAACAAUUAUCAAAAGAGCUUUUUUUAAAAAAAGAAAAAAUUUCAAAACGUGCUAGUUAUAAACUUUAAGCUUGAGAAUGAUUGCUUGAAAAACACAAAAAAAAAAAAAAAAAAGCUUUAUUCAGUCUUAAAAUUUGUUGGUUUAUGCUUAAUUUAUGAUAUUUGAUGUUUUUAUUCAUGUUUAAUUUUAAGAAAUCCAAUGCUUGGACCAACACAAGCAAUUUCCAGAGUAAAAUGAUCAAAGUACCCUUUAGAAAGUCAAAAUUCGACUUGGAGCCAAAAAAAAGGUGAGGAAUGCGGGUACGACAUGCUGCAUCAUAGUUAGGUCAUAACUUUUGAUUCAAGGCGACUGUUUUGGACGAAUGAUCCAUCGUUUUCUUUAUUUUUUCAACCUCUAUCUAGACCUUGCAUUAGUUUUGAGCUUUGAUUACCGAUUUUGGAAAGACUUAUGAAAGUUUGAUUAGGGCCUCCAUCGAGAGUCGAUUUUUGGACCUAGAUGACAAUUUGGAACUUCAAAUGAGUGGAGAUAUAUACGAAGGAAACACAAGAGUAUAAGUAUGAUUCAUAUUUGAGGACGAUAGUCAAGAGCCCAACUUGUAUCUCCUUUCCUCUUUAUUUUGUUAAUUUUAUAUGUACUUAGAAACAUCGUGAAUAGUUUACGCUUGUUAUGUAUCCAUGAAUAAAAAUAGUGGAUAUGUCUUAGGAGGGAUGAUUUAGCACGUUGUUUGGGUUGCAAGAACCUUUUUACUUUUGUUUGUUUGAUAUUUUUUUUUAUUUGCUUUUAUUAGUUUGGGGAUGACUAUAAUUCUUUUGCAGUCAUUUUGGUUUUCAUGUAAGUUUGAAAGGAUGUAAGUCUUUGUUGGAUAAAAAGAUAAGCAUGCCUUGUUUCACACUAUAGGCAUAAUUCACAGAGUAUUAGGAAGGGUUAUGAAAUGGAAUAAUGGUGAUGGCUUGAACAACUUGGAAUAAUGUGAAAUCAAAGGAUAAGCAUACCUUUUUUGACACUAUAGGCAUAUUUUUAAGCUAUAUGUUUGAAUUAAUAUAACAUAAAGCAUUGGGAUUUAAACCUAAAAAGAAAAAGGGUAAAAAGAAAAAUAAUUAAAGAAAUCAGAAUGAGCAGAGGGCUUGGCUGUGGAGGGAAUGAGAAUAAUAAUAACGAUAAUAAAAGAGGGUUGAAUACCAUUCCAAGCUUACUGCGAAAAGCGCUCUAUUCUAUUUGCCGCGCCUCUGCCCCUCCUUCUCCAAUAUCUUCCGCUCCCAUCUCCUCCAAGUCAACGACCUCAACAUCAAUGGCGGAUGCUACCGAGACUCUUAAAACCAAGGUUUGCGUUAUUGGGAGUGGCCCUGCUGCCCACACUGCUGCCAUAUAUGCCGCCCGUGCCGAGCUCAAGCCUAUUCUCUUCGAAGGAUGGAUGGCCAACAACAUCGCUCCCGGCGGCCAGCUCACUACAACAACCGACGUUGAAAACUUCCCUGGAUUCCCCGAAGGCAUUCUUGGCAUCGAACUCAUGGACCAUUGUCGCAACCAGUCGCUUCGCUUUGGCACUCAGAUCUACACCGAGACCGUAACCAAGGUCGAUUUCUCAUCCAAGCCAUUUAAGGUCUUUGCCGAUUCGAAAACCGUCCUCGCCGAUUCUGUGAUUGUCGCCACUGGUGCGGUUGCCAAGCGAUUGACAUUUCCUGGCUCCGGUGAAGGGAAUGGGUUCUGGAAUCGGGGUAUUUCGGCUUGCGCUGUCUGUGAUGGAGCUGCGCCUAUUUUCAGAAACAAGCCCUUGGCGGUCAUUGGGGGCGGAGAUUCUGCCAUGGAAGAAGCCAAUUUCCUCACCAAGUAUGGCUCCAAAGUGUAUAUUAUCCACCGAAGAGACACUUUCAGAGCUUCCAAGAUCAUGCAACAGCGCGUCUCCAGCAACCCUAAAAUCGAGGUGAUCUGGAAUUCGGUGGUUAAGGAAGCUUAUAGCGACGCUAAUGGGCGAGUCCUGGGAGGUCUGAAGGUCCAUGAUCUGAUCUCCGGAAAGGUUUCUGAUUUGGCAGUUUCCGGAUUGUUCUUCGCUAUUGGUCACGAACCAGCCACCAAAUUCUUAGAUGGACAACUGCAACUCGAUUCUGAUGGGUAUGUGUUGACGAAGCCAGGCCAGGGACGACGCAUACCAGUAUCCCGGGAGUCUUUGCUGCUGGCGAUGUUCAGGACAAGAAGUACAGACAAGCUAUCACUGCCGCUGGUACAGGUCAGUAAAAAUGUUUCUGCUUUCCAUAAUUAUUUUCCUUCUUCCUUGUGCCUGUUUGUCACCAGACAUGGCCAUAAGUGAGGUAAAAACUUCAAGAAAAAUACAUAUUAGAUUUGAAGAUGAAUGUGUAUUAGAUUAUGCAACAAAAAGUUUACUCCGAACUGUCUAUAUCCAAGUCUAUUGCAAAUGUUGCAUUUAGUUUCUAAUAUAUCUGAUAAAAUAUAGAAAAAUGAAAUGAUUGAGGUCCACGAGAACGAACUUCCAAACACUUGGUGCCUGUGUCUUGAGGCGUUAGGGACACCGCCAGGCUAAAGCUUUUCCUCAUAAAAACAUUGCUUGAGUGAAACAAUGUUUUGCUAUUUUAUUUGUAAAAACGGAUACACACGUUCAAAUAUUUAGUGUACUUGAAUACAUAACCUAAAUUGUGAAGGACAGGGAGCACAUAACAUCAAUUUUACCUCCUAGGAACUGUUUAACAAGACAUGCAUACUAGUUGAUCUAAAUAGGAGAAGAUAAAGAAUUCUCUCCCUAAUUUAAUCAGGAUAUGAGGUCCGAUUAGCCCAAAUAAUGGUUAGCAAGUAAUUUAAGGAGGCUGCAUGUGUUGUGCACCAUGAAGCCUUAGAAUAGGUGGUAAUUUCCCGAUCAGUCUCGAAAUUUGUCUCUAACCGUUGGAGAGCUGCUUCUAUCCCUUUUAAUCCAAAUUAUCCAGAAAAUACAAGUCACUCACGUACUUCCUCGACUUCAUCGUGUGUGAAUGUGUAUGGAAGAGGGAAAUUCAUAAAAUAAUUAAUUUUAAAGUUAUUUUAGAAACAACUUUUAUCAUUGAAAAAAAAGUGAAAGAAUACAAAGGCAAAUUAAAAAAACAAGCCCAACAAAAAACAGUCCCGCCAAAGGAAGGGGAUGAAACUAAGAUUAAUGUUUUCUAGCGAAUAGUUAAAAAAGAGGAAAAACUUCGAAACCGUGUGGUGAAAGGGGUGAAAAGCACAGACCGUCCUUUUUUGUUGUACCGGUGUGUGCCUUUAAUUCCAAAGAACCCACUAAGAUUAAUUUUGAGGUUGUUUCAUUGUUAUAACAUUUAAGUCCAUAUCAAAAGAAAUCCUCCACUAACAUUUUAAGUCCAGAUCAAAAGAAAUUCUCCACUCGUUUUCCUCUCUCCUUUAUUAUUUCCAGAACGUUAUAUAUCUUAUCUGCUCAUGCCUCUGUGGACACACUUGAGAUAAACGUAUUGAUCACAACUUGGCCAAACCCUACUGGGACUUUGCUUCUACCUUUUCCAAUUUCUCUUCGUGAAGGGAAGCACUUCUACUUCUCCCUUUCUUCCCGAUGCACAAGGAGGUAUAGGAGGGAAAUUACUUUAGGAUGGAGAGAAAAAGGUGUGAGCGUGGAAUUGUGUAGCAGGUAUUUGGGCAAUAUAUUAUUUAAUGGUGUGGAAUUGUAUAGCGUCGCCCCAAAGAGGAUUCUAUUAUUAGGCCUAAAGUGAAAUGAAAAGCUAACAUGCUUAAAUCCCAUAUGAAGAACUCUAAAUAAUAUUGGAUGGGUUUUCAUGGCUAUAUUUACGAGGAGUUGCUAAAAUAUUAGUGGAGCCGCGCUUCUUUGAACGUGCAGAUGUGACAGUGAACCUGAUUCAUGAUUGAGAAGUAGGAGCACUGAAUUAUAUACAUAUGUAUUAUUAUUAUUAUUAUUCAUGGCAGUGAAAGUUAUUUGUCGAAGUUUAGACAAUGGGACUUACCUCAUUUUAAAUUUAGUCCCCUGUUCCUUUUCCUUGUAAAAAAAAAGUUACUUUUGUUCGAAAAUCAUGUCUUUCUUUCACUUGUCCUUCAUAAAGGUUGAUCGAAUGAAGUUGCUUCCUUUCCUAAUAUUUAUUUGCUGUGGUACAGGUUGCAUGGCAGCAUUGGAUGCGGAGCAUUACCUGCAAGAAAUUGGUUCUCAAGAGGGGAAGAGUGAUUGAUGAUAGACUUUGCCUGGGUUUCUCAAAGUUGGCCGUAGAGAAUUUGAAGACAAAUGGCCAAAUGUUAAGAACGACUGUGGAAGGGAAAGCUUGUUAAUUAUUGAUUUUGGGGAGCUUAUGGGGAGGGAUUGACGGGAAAUUGUUAUAGUAUUUUGGAAGAAGGUUAUUCAAGAUAACCUUUAACUUGUGCACUGGAUUUGUGGUGGUUGGUUUAAAAUCUAUUGCAGGUUUGGGGAGUAAGGUUUGAAAGUGUAAACUUGGUUUUCAUGCUUUGUAUUAUUUCUUACAUGGGAUAAUUUUAAAUAACAUUUGGAUCACCUUUUUCUUAAUUUAGAGACUUUUAAGACACUUUGGAGAUGAAAGACUCGUAUGUAGUUUUUCCCAAAAUCUUCUUUCGAAAUUUCCUCCCAUGAGCAUUCAACAAGAAGUGACACCUCCUGUUGCAUGAACUCCAUAACAGUGGACAAGGGAAUUUGACAAAUGUAAAACGGGAAAAAGAUAGAGUUGAUGAAAAUUUCACUGAGCGCUCCAGAGCAUCAUUGAACACUACUUUUCCUUCUCCUUCACCCCUUUUAUUUUUGGCUUCAUUUUAUAUUCUCUUGCAACUUUUCUUCUCGCAAUUCCCUUGCCCACCGUCAGUCACCCAUCUCUCAGAAUAUGUUGACAGUAGCUUGGCUCAAGCCAAACCUAAGCAGGUGGUACCACACACGUUCAC